GGAGAUUAGCUUAACAUAGAUCAAUUAAAGCCACACUUACGUCAAGCACUAUGUAAUCUACAGCUAAAAAUCAUAUAAACUAAUGAUAAAAGAUCUCUAAUACUCCGCUAAAGAUGGACUAGCCCUUUGCCACAAAUGAAAAGUGGUUAUAGAUGCAAGCGAAACAACUAUGGGGUACAGCUAACAUCAAAUCAGAAAUCCUUAACAAAAGAUAGUAUUUGUUAAUCAAUUGAGGAGGAGCUGUAAUUUUGCAUUCACAUGCACACAUCUCUUUCUCUCGUUUUCUUUUCUUUUUUUCAUUUGUAUUUUAUGUUUUGUUUCGAUACAAUUGUGUGUAGGAUUUGACUACUAAUAGAAAUUAAAGAAAAAAAAUCUUGGACGACAGAACCGAUUAACCGACCCCAUUAUCCAUCAUUAUCAAAAACAGAGAAGAGAAGUGGCCAUUGCAUUUUCCCUUCCCUUCACACUGGCCCAUUUCAUUUUGCCAAUUGCCAUUCACAACACAAAUAAUCAAGAAACAGUGCAGAACUAGAAAAAUACCUAACUCUCAAUCUUAUCACUUUUUAGAAGUUAUUAUUAUUACUUUAGUGGUUAGCAUGGUUCCCUCUCACUUUUCCACCCAACUGCUGGCCACCGUAGGCCAUUCCUGUCUCCUUCCUCCAUCCAUUUCCCUUCACUCCCACAUUCUUUUCCUUUCUGACUAUACCAUCUUAGCUUUCAUCCCAAAAAUUCCUAUUUUCCACCGACUUUCUUCACAUAAAAGACAUAAAUGGAAGCUUUUUCAACAAAUAAAAAAAAACACCAUCAGAAUCAAAGGAACAGAAGCUAAGGAAUUUAUCAUCUGCCUCUUGUUGAAACAUGAAGAUAACUAAACUAAAGCCACAACAAAAACUAAGAAGAAAAAGAUUCUACUAAUAGAUACUAGUUAAUUUACAUUUAAACAAUUUUACAACGCCAAAAUUUCUCCUGUAAAAUCUAAAAAAAAAAAGAGAAAAGAAAAGAAGGAAGAGAUACAGUACAGUAAUCCAUAACAGUAACACCAACAUCAAAGGCCUCAUCAACAAAGAUCAAUUUGCUUCAGCCGUCAUGUAACCUCCAUGGCGCAUGUUAGCAACCACCACCGACCCAGAAAAAAAAGACAGCAUCAUUUCACUUUCUUCUCAGCUCACAUCCCAUUCAUCCGAACUCUCGGGUUCUGGUAAUUUAUUCAGGUCAACCCGCUCCGCAAAAUCUCCAGACCCGCCGCCUCCACCGCCUAUGAGAAGCUCCGGCACCGGCGCCGCACGAGGGUGGUGGUUGUGGUGGGGAAGGGGAAGAGUUGCCGACUGGAGAGCAUCGACUCUGGCACCGACCUCUGUCGCUUUCUUCCUGAUAAAAGCUGCCGACAUAUCGCAGUCGCCGCCAACGAAGGCGGCGCGUUCUCCGGCAAGAAGCUCCGGGAAGUUGAGGCGCGCGGAGGGUCCCCGGAGGUAGAAAACGGCGGUGUCGUAGGCUCUGGCGGCGGCGACAGGGGUGGAGUAUGAACCGAGCCAAAUCCUGGAACGCUUGUUUGGUUCUCUGAUUUCAGCAACCCACUUCCCCCACUUCCUCAUCCUGAUUCCUUUGUACCUUCUCUCAGCACCACCUUCCACACCACCACCACCUCUCUUCCCUCCUCCUCCUUCACCCUUCAUCUUCUUCUUCCUUCUCUCCCUGGUUUGUUUCAGAGGUCAGAAUCAAGAGAGAGAAAGAAAGUUGAAGAAAAAUGAAAAAUCUAAGAAAAAGGGGUUGUUAAAUGGGAAAGAAGGAAUGGAUUUUUGGAUUGAAGAAUUGAAGAUGAAUGGUUCAUUCAUGCGAGCGAGGACUCACCCACUAAGGUUUGUCAUCUGGGUAAGCCUCCACGUUGGUUUCUUUCUUUCAAACCCCACCUCCUCUAUCUUCCUUUUAUAUUUAUUCUUGGGCUCAUACUAAUAUUAGUCCCGGAUUUCGUAAGCGAGUUUGAUUUUAAUGUUUCCUCAGAAAAAUUAUGUUUAAAAACGGUCAUUUUAUAACUACGAGCUAUUUUCAAUCUGCACUAAACAUAAUUUUUCUCAAAAGAAAUAGAAUCGAACUCACUUAUGAAAUCAGAGACUAAUUUAACUAUUAAUCUCUUUAUUUUUUUAUCACCAAAUGAAUUAUACAAAGCAACAAAACAAACAAGAUAAUCACUACUACUGUUUUUUCUUCUUGUUUGUUAAUUGAAUUUAUUAAAUUCACCGACAAAAUCACUCUCUUGCCUUUUUUAUUUUCCACUGACAGAAAAAAUCUAUUUUGUUUUGGAGUAGUAUUAAUGGCUUUCCCUUUCACCGUUUGGUGCUACUAUUUAUUUAUAAUCCUAAUUCUAAGCCGUCCUUUUAAUUUCUCUAUGGUUGUAUCGAUUUAAUGUAUCUAUAUCAUCACAUACCACCGAGCGUGUACAAGAACAACUAUAUUAAAAUAAAAUUAUGUUUUCUUUAACGAACUGUUUAAGUUUUGAGAUAAUAGAUUGUUUGAUAAUCAGAGUUUUAUUCGUCUAGACUUUUGGUCCGGGUUCGAUCCCCUCUGAGGUAAAAAAUGAUACCGUUGUGGCCAGGGACAUCACUACCGUAUCCCGAGCCAAAUUAGUCACGUGGGUUUUUUUUUUCCCGUUGAGACCGGUGGCUAAAUGACAAAAAAAAAACUUAAAUUCAAUCUUGCUUAAUUAAUAUAAAAUUAUUUAUGUGAAUCUUGCACUUAUCUAACAAUUUAAACUUCUAGGAUAAUUGUUCGUUUGAUACUAACUUAUGUGCGUUUUUGUUUAGUUUAAGCAAAAGCCUCAAUCUAAAGUACUCCCUCCGGUCCUAUUUAUAAGCAUGAAAGAGAAGAAAAAUCUUGGUCCUUUUUAUAAGAACCAAAUGAAAGUUUGAGCUAUAUUAAUUUUUUUUUCCAAUGAUGCCCUUAUUAAUUCUAACAUGUAAAAUGUGUCUUAUUAACUAUUCUCUCUUUCCCACUUUCCAACACUAAUAACAAAGGGUAAUUUUGGAAGUUUGUUUUGAUUCAAGCACACUUUACAUCUAAUAGAUAUCUCGAAUUUAAAUAUGUCUUUAUGCAUUACAUACUUGAUAGAAAUAGUUUUACCGUCAAAAACUCAACCAUAAUAUAUUGUCUCAAUAGAAAAUAUUAUUUUUUUAGUACAUUAAAAAGAAAAAGAUAUAUUGCGUUCUCCAGAAAUUUGAUCAAUUGAUCUUGUACCUCUCUCACCCAACCCAUUUAUCUCAUAAUUCUUAUUAUUUGAGCUAUUAUUCGAAGAAAAAAAAUGGUAAUUUAAGAAAAAGGCAAUAAUACAUAUAUAAAAUUUCUCACAAAUAUUUUACAUCAUUUCUACAUUAAGAUAAAAAUAUAUGUUAUGCGUCUAUUUAAAAUGAGUUUAAUUUUGAUGCACCGACGGUGUAAAGUUUUUUUUUACAACGUCAACCAAUCAAAUUUCAAGGAUGUGAGAAAAUCUCUCUUUUUAUUUAAUUUCAUUAAUUGACGUGGUAUAUCCUUGAAAUCUGAUUGGUUGACGGUCGGUGCAUCAAGCUUUUUCUCAUUUAAAAUAUACUAAUAUGUAUAAUUCUAAACACUUUAGCUUUGUUUGUUAUAGGAAAGGAAAAAAAGAAGUGACGUUAGUAGAGAGAAAGAUAAUAAAUUUUGUAAGUUAUCUAUCUAUAAACUCUAUAAAGGAAGAGUNNNNNNNNNNNNNNNNNNNNNNNNNNNNNNNNNNNNNNNNNNNNNNNNNNNNNNNNNNNNNNNNNNNNNNNNNNNNNNNNNNNNNNNNNNNNNNNNNNNNNNNNNNNNNNNNNNNNNNNNNNNNNNNNNNNNNNNNNNNNNNNNNNNNNNNNNNNNNNNNNNNNNNNNNNNNNNNNNNNNNNNNNNNNNNNNNNNNNNNNNNNNNNNNNNNNNNNNNNNNNNNNNNNNNNNNNNNNNNNNNNNNNNNNNNNNNNNNNNNNNNNNNNNNNNNNNNNNNNNNNNNNNNNNNNNNNNNNNNNNNNNNNNNNNNNNNNNNNNNNNNNNNNNNNNNNNNNNNNNNNNNNNNNNNNNNNNNNNNNNNNNNNNNNNNNNNNNNNNNNNNNNNNNNNNNNNNNNNNNNNNNNNNNNNNNNNNNNNNNNNNNNNNNNNNNNNNNNNNNNNNNNNNNNNNNNNNNNNNNNNNNNNNNNNNNNNNNNNNNNNNNNNNNNNNNNNNNNNNNNNNNNNNNNNNNNNNNNNNNNNNNNNNNNNNNNNNNNNNNNNNNNNNNNNNNNNNNNNNNNNNNNNNNNNNNNNNNNNNNNNNNNNNNNNNNNNNNNNNNNNNNNNNNNNNNNNNNNNNNNNNNNNNNNNNNNNNNNNNNNNNNNNNNNNNNNNNNNNNNNNNNNNNNNNNNNNNNNNNNNNNNNNNNNNNNNNNNNNNNNNNNNNNNNNNNNNNNNNNNNNNNNNNNNNNNNNNNNNNNNNNNNNNNNNNNNNNNNNNNNNNNNNNNNNNNNNNNNNNNNNNNNNNNNNNNNNNNNNNNNNNNNNNNNNNNNNNNNNNNNNNNNNNNNNNNNNNNNNNNNNNNNNNNNNNNNNNNNNNNNNNNNNNNNNNNNNNNNNNNNNNNNNNNNNNNNNNNNNNNNNNNNNNNNNNNNNNNNNNNNNNNNNNNNNNNNNNNNNNNNNNNNNNNNNNNNNNNNNNNNNNNNNNNNNNNNNNNNNNNNNNNNNNNNNNNNNNNNNNNNGUGCAUCGCACGGGUAAAAAAUACUAGUUUAGUAUGAUAAAAGAGAAGAAAAAGAGUGAAAGAGAAAAAUUACUUAUUAUAUUUAAAAAUAAAUUUAUUCCAUUUUAAACCGGCUAAUGCCAAUUUCAAACACAUUUUGCAGUGUCAAUCUGCUAGCUAAAAAAGUGGUGCGACUAACCACUGCACUUCCUCUUCUCUUCCACCAAACAAGGGUAUACUCAUUCCCUAUAUCUCUCCUAUCUAAGAGAAAAAAACCUAACCAAAAUGCCUUUAGGUAAGUUAUAGGAAAACACGAAUUUAGUUCAUGUUUGGUUAGCAAUGUUUUAAGUUUUAGUUAGAAACAAGUGGAUUAAUAUGUAUGGUUAAGUGUGUUAUCGUGUGUAAACAUGAAAAGAUUGAAGUAGUCUUAUCGUGUUUGAAGUUUGAACACCGUAUAUGUAUGCUCACAAAUUAGAAACUCCGUAUGUAGCUUCUCAUUUGACGUAACUCCACUUGCUUGUGUGCUAGCAAAAAUCAAAAGAAACAACAACCUUUCAAGUAUGACAUGCUUCCUUUUCUUUCAUACUUGAUUCCGUGUUGUGAAUAGCCAAAAUCAACUAAAUUCACCAUAAACUACUCAGCAAAUUUAAACUCAGUUCAUUGGAUAAACAAAAUCACCUGACUCUAAAAUAGCAAUCAGCCUGCUGGAUAAGGGAUGUCCAAACUCUCACAGCAGUGCUCCUCUUGUGGACCAGAUCAAGUCCCUCACCUCCCGCUGCUCCAACUUUCACUGGAAGCAUGUUUUUCGUGAAGCUAACUCUGUAGCCGACGCUUUUGCUAAGAAUGGACUAUCCUUGCUCAUGCCUAUGAGGAUCUAUGAUAGUAUACCUCCUUUUGCUUUCGUUCCUUUUAGGUUUGACUCUUAUAAUACUCUCUAUAAGAGAGUUUAGUUGGGCGCUUUAAGUCCCGAAAUUAAUAAAAAAAAAAAGUUCAUUGGAUUCUCACUUUAUGCAUGUCACUUCUACGAAUAUGCACUUCAUGUUUUUUAUGUUUAGAUUAAUUUCCAUCACAUAGUUUUCCUUCAACGAAAACGAAUUUUAUUUUCGUUUUACACAUGUAAAUUGACAUGAAAAAACAGGAACCAUGAAAAGGUUCAAGUUGUGGAUAAUAAAUUUUUAUUAUGGUUUGUACUCUUAAUAUUUCUAGCUCGUGAAUUAUUGAGUAUCUUGUUCGAAGUUUACGGUCGAAUAAAUUCUGAUAAUCGAUCGCAAUCGUAUAUAUGACAACAUUUUUUUUUUUCAUUUUAUAUAAGUUUGUUAAAAAAAUAAAUAUCUUAUUUAAAAAAAAGGGUCGUUGGCGUAAGACGUGAUUUUAUAUGUUAGUGACACAAUUUAUAAUAAUAUAUCAUACUAUAUUAAUUAAUCAAUGAAUGCCUAUCUGGUGUAUGAUGGUGAGCGGUAUGGUUGGUGUUUUUUGCUGGUUCAGGAAACACAAAGAAGGAAUCGAAUUUAAUUAGUGUGUGUUUUAAAAUUCUCUUUUAAUGCUAAAGUCAUAAUCAAUUAACUCAUAAGGAUAGCUCAAUUAACAAUCUACUUUGAGUGUGCUGAAGAUUUAUGCUUGUGAAAAAGAUGAAUAGUCUUAAUAUUAACUGUAAUUAGAUUCAAAAUUUAUAAUAGCCGAUAUCUAAAGACUGACCGAAACCUGACUGUUUGUAAAUAUUUUUUGGUUGUUGACAAAAACAUAUUAUUAAUUAUGGGGAAAGAAAAUGAGAAUUGGUUUAGAUAAUAUUUUGUUUCGUUUUCAUUAUUAAUACUCCCUCCGGUCCUAUUUAUAAGCAACAAAAAAAAAAAUUCGCAUAGUUUAAGAAAUGUAGUUAAACUAGAUAAAAUGCAUUAAAUUUGUCUUAAAUUAAAAUGAACUUCCAAAAUUACCCUUUUNNNNNNNNNNNNNNNNNNNNNNNNNNNNNNNNNNNNNNNNNNNNNNNNNNNNNNNNNNNNNNNNNNNNNNNNNNNUUUGUAAUAUAAAUAGGACCGGAGGGAGUAUUAUUUAUCUGAUAUUUAUUUAAUAAUUCUGAGUGGGAAGAAGGGCAGGUCGGUGGUCGGUGGAUAGAUACCGUUAGCAAUUGACUUUCCCUCCACGCUAUAACGAUAGGACUGCAUGCCCCGUUUUGUCCUUCUCAAAUUUUGUUGUCAUGCACAUGACUAGGGGUUCUUUCGGAAUAAAGAUUAAUUUCGAUGGCCCACGGUGUUAAGUUGUUGUCCUCCUAAUCAUUUUAAUGGGCUUUUUAUUUGCCUAUUUAUAAUUUUCUUGUUUGCUCUUCAAUUAUUGAGAAUUUAUUAUUAUUUGAAGUAAUUUAAUUUUAUUCCAACAUUUUAAUUAAAUUAUUAGAAAUGAUAAUUCUUUGAAAUUUCUAAAGAUGAAUGCCAAAUAGUGGUUAGAUUAAGCUGUAUAUAUUUUAUUUCAAAAAGCUGUAUAUAUUUGAUUUUCUUUAUAAGUAUAAGGCCAUUAGAGUACUAUAAAUACUAACUAUCAUACAAACCUCUCCAACUAUCAACUUAUUAACAAUUAACAAAUACUAUACAAAUAUGGAAACAUCGAAGGAGGCGUCCAAUAUGUGCCAUUUGGAAACAUAUUAUGUGCUAGUAUAAUUGAGGAUAGAAUAACUAUUUCACCGACAAUUAAAAGUACUCAACAUUGUAUCGGUUGCAUUUAAAAAAAAUGUUGAGGCCUGAGGCCUGAGGGUGAUGGUAAAUUGUAUGGGAUGGAUAAUUAAUAAUGAUAUGGGAUAGAUAAUUAGUAAUAAAUAUAUAUUUUUAAUUUAACAUAUAUGCACAGGCAAUCUAAAAUUAAUUUACUCUUAUAUUUAACUGUUAUUUACCCUGUCAUAAAAUAAUUUUUAAGACUUAUUUACUUAAAAUAAUAAAUAAUUUUGUAACAAAAAAAUAAUAAAUAAUUUAACUGUUUAAAUAAAUAUUGUAUGAUCAUACGGCUGAAUGUGUGUAAAUAAUGCAUGAAAAUUAAACUAAUACUUAACUAACCGACCUCCUUUUUGUAUGAACAAUAUCAUUUCAUCAAAACCUAAGAAGAUCAUAUUCGAGAUGAAGAUAAAUUUAUGUUUAAAAAUAUAAUCGUAGAUACGGGGGUGAUAUCUCAUGAUAUGGUUACAGGCUUAUAGCAGUAGCUAUUAAGUAACAAGAGGUUUGUUUUGACUUUUGUUUAUCAAAACAGACAAUUAUGCAUGCACCUAGAAAAUCGCUUAUGUUGGAAACGAUCCAAUAGAAGUGAUUUAUUGUCAAAACAUAUCUCUUUUGUUCAGCGUUUUGGAAUUUUUUUAUAGAAAGAUGAAACUUUCAUUAGUAAGAAAUACUUAGAUUGGAGGAAAGUAUACUGGCUAAACCAACAGAAUACUCCUCCCAGCGUUUUGCAAAAUUGAUUUUAUUAAAAUUUGCUUAUGAAAACCCGAGUUAAAAUUAUGUUAUUUAUGUUGUAAUACUUGUUGUGACAAGUGUACGUAAUUAAUUUUGUAGAAUUGAUUUUGUUUUAUUAGUACCUUUGAACAUCAUUUUUAACUCGUUAGGAUUGAUUUUGACCAAAUAAAGUGGUUCCCAAACAUAGUCAUAACUCUAUAGUAUAAAGCUACUCACAAUAUAUUUGGGUUGAUUAAUAUUUUAUAUAAUAAAUUGAAGAGUUUUAAACCAUUCUAUUUUUUUAAGCGUUUAAUUUUGAUGCACCGACGGUGUAAAGUUUUUUUACACCGUCAACCAAUCAGAUUUUAAAGAUGUGAGAAAAUCUCUCUUUUUAUUUAAUUUCAUUAAUUGACGAGACAUAUUUUUGAAAUCUGAUUGGUUGACGGUGCAUCAAACUUUUUUUUCUUUUUUUAAAGUGUACCAGAGCAAUAUCCAUUGAAGAAGAAUUCUUAGUAUUUUAAUUUUUUUUACUCUAUCCUGUAACAAAUUCUAGAGAAAGUAUUAAAUAUUUUAUAUUUUCAAAAUACUAAAUAUAUUAAUUUUUUAUUUAACAUGUUCUUUAUAUAGUACAGUAAGGAAAAAAUUAGAAUAAUUUCAAACAUGUUAUGUAUGGUUCAGGUGUGGUUGAUUGUAGUCAAAUAUGUGUUAAUUAAAUGUUAUUUUAACAUUAUAUAGAUAAAAUACUAAAAUUUUAUAAAUAUUAAGAAAUAAUUUAUUUUUAAAAGUAAGAAAUUAAAAUUAAUGCAUCUAAAAAACAUACUAAUAUAGUGAUAAAUGACAUACUUCAUUCUAACUUCUUAUUAGAUUUUUUAACUAAAAGUGAUAUUUAAAAAAAAACAAAUAGUUUAAAACAAAUGAAAAUGUAUUCAUUCAAAAUGGUUUCAGAUUUACCAAUUCUUUUUUGAGAAAAAGUUUGAUGCACCGACGGUGUAAAGUUUUUUUACACCGUCAACUAAUUAGAUUUCAAGAAUGUGAGAAAAUCUCUCUUUUCAUUUAAUUUCUUUAAUUGACAUGUCACAUCUUGAAAUCUAAUUGGUUGACGGUAUAAAAUUUUUUUACACCGUUGGUGCAUCAAAAUUAAACACUUCUAAUUAAAUGAAUCUGAUAGAUUUCAAUUCAACAAAAUUAAAUUUCUCAUAUUAACUGAUUACUACACGCGCCAAGUAGUUAUGAGUAGUACUAGAUUGUUUUGUAGUGUAGGACACAGGUCUAGAGGAGAGGAGGUUAAUGUGGUUGUUCCAUGAUUGAUGGAGAAGUCAAAAUGUUUGGUGAAAACCGCACGGGUGAUUUUAUUCUUAAUUUUUUAUUUUUUUAUGGAGUACAAGUGGUGAAGUUAUUCAACGUUAUUGAACAUUAUUGUAGUUGACAAUUUUUUUUUUUUGGUAAAUUUGUAAACGAAAUGAUAAGUGGACAUACAGAUUUUACAUAAUCUAAUAUUUCUCAAUUCUCAUAUUUUACCUCUUAUUUUCCAAUUCUCAUAUUUUCGAUCAUUUAAUUAAAUGAAUAUGAUAGACUAUGCAAUCAUUUAAUUUUCGCAUAUUUUCUCGCCUCCACUCGCCUACGCCCAAUCAUCAUCCCAAACUAUGCCUCUCUGUGACUCCACCCGCAACUACCCAUAGUCUUAGCAACCUCGACGUCUUCAUCAACAAUGUUGGUGAGAUGGUGCCAGUCAUGGUGUUUGUAAGGUUUAAUGGUAAGAUUGUGUGCGUUAGAGAAAACAUCGCAUUUCUCUUUCUUCUUUCGAUUUGAAACCCUUCUUUUCCCCACAAUCUCUCAUUCCCUCCCAACUCGUUGAAACCCUUCUUCGUCCCAAAGGAACCUCACCCUUAAUCUAUUACUUCUUCCCAUCUUCUUCUUGACCAAUUCUAGGGCAAGCAAUACUUCCUCAAAUACACACAAGUCGAAUCUAAUUUGGAAAGUAAGACAAUAUUGUCAAGACCCAAAGCCACCAUUCAGAUCAAAUCAAUUAGGGUGAUUGAUGAAGUCACAUAGAAACAUGAAGGAGGCGGCACCAUCCUCAUGAGUGAAACUAAAGAACGAGAGCAAGAGUUUGAGAAAGAGAUAAAACGUUAGAGAGAGAAAAGGGAGACCGACGAGGGAGAGAGAUAAUGUUAGAAGAGCUCUGCUUUGCUGGUUCAAACUCAACUAGGGUGGUUCAACACAAUGGUGGGGGUCCUAGCGUUUCUAGCAUGGGAAUGGUGGAGAAGGAGGCGAGGGGAAGGUGGCGAGGGAGAUGGUCCAAAAUGCCCCUUGAUACACCAGGGAACCAAAUUUUUAAAUGUCAACCCUAUUCUUAACCAUAUACCUUAAUAUUUGAUACUGUAAGAUUGCGACACGUCUAUUAAAGAAUAUUAUUUAAAAAUGUCAUGCUAAGGCUGUAAUUUGGAAAAUAUAACUAAUACUCUCCUGAAAUUGUAAAAGUGAUAAAUAUUAGGGAUAAACUAUCAAAAUAGUAAUAACAGGAGGUAAUACUUCAUACUAGAACAAAAUUGGAAAAAUCAUACAAAAUACAAGUACACCUAAUAAUUUUCGAGAAACGAGAACUCCGGCGAUGAGUCAAAUAUCAAAUAUAUGUUCCACGCCUGUCGAAUUCCAUGAUCAGUUUUAAGUUUUUCACUAAGUAUGAAGUGGCAUAUAAAUUACACUAGCAAAAUUACAACACAUAAGAUACACAUCAAACAAAAUUGAUAUGAAUUAUCAUAAAUCCAUCAAAAGUAAAAAAAAAGUACUUCUAUAUAAAAUUUACAGUCAAUAAAAUCCCGGGUGAUCUUUUCCAAUGUGAAACUCUAACACUACGAAAAAUACAAACAAUUAACUUGGGCCGUGGGGUCCUACUAUGUAUUUUAAGAGACUGAAAUUUGAAAUUUGCAAAUUCUGGGAUAAAACCACUCAGCAUCCAUUCUAUUGUACCGGGAAAGAACAAUUCAUAGCGCAGCACAGUGUGUAUCUCAAUUUUUUUUACUUACUAGCAUGUAACUUACUUUGGCUUCUUCCGCAUUCCCAUCCGCGAUUUAGCAAAUCUAAAAUUAUCAUUAAGUAUACAAAACAAAUGUUGGUGAUGAGAAAAAAAAAUCAAUGAAAGAAAACAAACAGGUAACCAAAGGAUACUCUAAACGCAUUCCCUCGCCAGCUGGAGAGGAGUGAAGAAUGGUGCCUUGCAGAUUGUUUAGAGCAUCAGCGGAGCUACCAACGUCCUGCACAUAAAGUUAGCAAUCAAUCUGGGAGCUUUACAAGAUGCACUUGUCGUGAUAGUUCACAAAAACCUCCUAAUAAAAUCAUGCAAAUCAAAUAUGGGAAUAACUAUAAUAUUUAGGUAAUAGUUUUAUGCAAUUUUCAACAUGGCUUUCAAUGCUUUCACAAGAAGAAGCAUGCUGACUGCUGAGUGAUAACACUCCCAAGGGUAAAACUUAGGUGCUAUUCUUUAGGUACUUUUCAUGUUGUUGACUUGUUGCCUAAUUAAAAACUCAACUACCCACUUUCUUAAUUCAUUAACAUAAUUUUUCAUUUUUUUAUUCAUGUCUCAUCAUAUGCAGUGCAAAAAAAAAGGACAACAAUAAAGAAACCUGGAAAUCAACAAAUGCAACUGGAGCCCCAUAUGUGCUCUGCAUCUUCAGUUUCAAAAAUCCAGGAUAUCUGAUAGAAGAUACAUACACCAAAAUAAAAUCAACUUCAGCAUCUACGGACUGUAUAGAUACGAAAAUAAUUCGAACAAUACAUAUACACUGACCUAGAAAACACUUGUAUUAGCUCUUGUUCAUUACAAGACGGCCCCAGAUUAGCUACAAAUAAAGUUGCACAGGGGAUUGUAUUUUGAGGAAUGUAAGGUAUUGAACACUUUUUCUGUCAACACAAGAUAUGAAAUAAAAACAAUUACUUGAAGUGGAAAAUGCAAUAAUUUUAAAUUAACUAUAGUCCUAGAUGCAAGAGAAACAAGGAAAAACAACACGGUUAGAUACAACAAUUUAAUAAAGCAUAAUAAUGUUGACCAGCCUAAUCCAUGUAAAGCAUAUAACUGAGAAACAUUGUACAGUUUAACCACAAAUUUUAAUAGUCUGGAAAAAAAAGAUUAUGAGAAAAGCAUUUUGAGUUCACCACCGAAAGAUUUAACCAUUUAGAACAGCUAAUAGAGGUAAAUAUCUUAAGGUGAUGCAAAAAACAGAUAGAUUGAGUGCUACAUAACACUAACCAGAUUUCCAUAUAGACCAUCAUUGACAGCAUUUCCAUCAGCACUCCCAUAACUUUUGCAGAAAACAAACAAACAGACAAUUAGAUGAGAUAGCAUGAUAUACAAAGGCAAUAGCCCAAAAGAAUUUCUCUUGUACUAUAAACACAUUAGUUAUUUUCUUCUAAUAAUAUAGAAUGAGUUCCCCAACAGCAGCUCAAAAUAAUUAACUUGUAAUAUUGAAAAAUGUGCUCUAUUUGAGUUAGAAGCAAUGACUUCCAUAUAAUAAAGGUGUGAUUAAGUAGUGCAGAUGACCUUUGUGCAGAUGGAUAACCAAUCGUGUUCAUGUUGAUAGAAGGAUUACCCAUUCCAGGCAUGUGAAUGCUGCUAACACCUGCUAGUGCCGAAGAGUGCAAAACAUGUGCAAUGUGAGAUAAAAGUGUCCUUUUGUGUGAUCAACAUUUAACUAGUCUUUAAGCAAGAGAUCAUCAACAUCAACCGCAUAUACAUAGAACAACAUCCUACACACUAAAACAAUCUAGCACCAUCUUACUUACCGGAAUCAGGAGUCGCCCAUGACGGUGCAGACCCUCUAGCUUUCUUAUCCGAGCCACCUCUCUCAUCAUCUGCUCACCAAUGUCAAUCAACCAUCACAAUUCAAUUCAAACCUCUUAAAAUGUAAAUGGGAUUAGGAAAAUAAGGUAAUCAAGACACACACACACCUAUCCGCGUUCGCUUAGAUCUAGAGUUGGAUUUGGCAAGAUCAAUAUAAAGAGUUGAAUUCUUUUCAAGAUCAAACACCAUCCCCUGCAAACCACAGCAAUCAAAAUAUUCAAUUCAGACACUGAAAACUGCUACUGAGCAUGAAAUGUAUGUAACACAAAAGAGCCUUACAUUCAGAGCAUGCAUUGCCAUUACUGCAGAUUGCUGAUUCAUGAACACAGCAAAAGCAAAAGGCUAUCGGAACAAAAAAUCACGUCACAGAAAGCAUAUCAGUAAUCAAUCAAUGCAAACACAAUUACAAGAUAAUCAAAACAGUUGAAAACGCUUUGCAGUUUGCAGAAUCGAUUAUUAUUGUACCUGUGAUGAAUUGGUGGGGCUACGAAGAUGCGAUGAUUCGUAACCAGGAAAUUCGCGGAAGAGGUUGUAGAUUUCGCGGGGUUUUACAUCUUCAGGGAGUCCAGCAACGAAGAGGGUACGGACCUCGUGUGUGGGGGAUUGAGGAAGAGCGAAGGAAUUGUAGAGAGGUUGUUGCUGGUGGUGAGGAACAUACUGCGGAUGCGGGAAAACGGUGCCGGGAGGAGGUGGCACCACCGUCAUGAUAGGCGGCGGCGGAGGUGGCUGAUAAUAUGAAUAAUUGAGAAGGGCGGGUGGUUGGGUUUGAGCGUAGUAGGCAGCCAUGUCGUCCAUCGGAGCACUAUUGCAGUGGUUCGGAAGCCCUAGAGUAUUUCAUUUCUCUCUCAACAACUCCUCUGUUUUUUUUGUUGAAUUGUUGUGCUUUUCAUUUUCUUGACAAUAUUGGGCUGGCCCAUUAGGGAGCUGGUCUUCCUUAUCUGGGCCUGGCCCACUGGGAGUUUUGCAGUGAAAUUAAUUUAACCUACUAAGUCUAGACUAUAGAUUGACCAAAAAAAAAUUCUAGACUAUUGCAAAGGAAAAAGAAAACUGAAUGAAGAGAAAAAUUGGAAGCAAGCAAUUUAUUUUUAUCUUUCUCUUUCAUGAACUUUACAAUUUAUAGUUAGGGUUCAACCCUUGGGGUGUGUAUGUGAGUUCAAUUUUGAGGAGAAGGAAAGGGAAGAUGGAUGCUUGUGAGUAGAGGCAGGCGGAGGAACAUGAGUGGGGCCCAUCGAUGUCACAAUCCUUUCUAUCUUUUAGAUUUUUAUCUUAAUAUUAUGUAUGUAUAUUUUUCUUAUGACCUUUGUAGUCAGCUUAAUAAAAUAGAAUCAAUACUAUGUAUUUUUUUUAUGGCCCACUUCCAAACACGUACACAAGGUUGCUCAAAUAAAUUUAUAAAUUUUUGUAAUUAGAACGUUAUUAUCGUCGCAUUGAUUCUUUUUUACAGUACUCGUUAUGGUAUGUUGGAGUGUUUUUACAUGUGCCCAUAUACCAAUACGUCUAUAAAAAAAAAAGGCAAACUUAAAAAUGUUGGUUGUGUUUUAAACCCUCCGGCGUCCCUGUUGUUUUCGCCCGCCGUCGUUCAUAAACGUGCCAGCGCUGUUUCUAAUCGUAGUUCAUGGGCAUCGUUAUCUGGUUCCCUUCAAGAGUACACUCUGUCGCCGCUGUAGCCCCCAAUUCUUUUUUCGUCCUUCAUCGUUUGCAUAAACCUUUUGAACCUUCCCCCGCCACAAGCCUUUUUUAUCUGAUAAGAAGCACUUCCGCAGCAAACCCCUUUUGGGGUUUUAAAAUUAUUCAGAUCUCUAUGAAAUUUCUACUUUGAGAUACAUGAAUUGAUAUUCUGGGUUUAAAUUGAUAUUUUCAUUCUUGGUUUCCAUUCAAUUGGUUGUUCAACAAUUCAGUCUGGCCAAUGUUUUCUGAUAACAAUUCACACGAAACAUGUUAGGCACAUGUGGGAAUUUAUGAUCACCUCUGCUAUACAGUUUCACUCAUGGAGGAUGGGAGAGGAAGAGAACGACAUCACAGACGAAGAUGAACACAGAGGAGAGGAGGAAGGAUUAGAUUAAUAUUUGCCCCAAAUCAACUUGAAAUGUUUAAAAUCAACUAAGGUUAAAAUCAAUUUGAAAAUCAGAAAGUAAACAUUUUCUAAAAAAAAUGUAUUUUAAACACAUAGUAAAACUUAUAAUAGAGAUAUUUAGAGGAUCAAUUUAACAACUUUAUAAGUUAAAAUGACAUGACACAUUUCCACACUUGGCAUUCACUGAUUGGGUAUAAGAGAAACAACAUUAUAACCCCCUCUCACCAACUAACAUGUAAAAGUUUGCCUUUUUUAUAAGCCAAAUAUCGUAAAAACUCAAGUAUCCCUUACACGUAGAUAUGAGAUUUUAUUAUAUAAUUAUUAUCGAAAUACAACAUAAUCAUAUAAAGUUCAAUCGCUUAGCGAGGAUCGUGACAACUCAUGGGGAGAUUACACCAUCUCUUUAUUCUCUCUUUGCUAGUUAUUGCCAUAACACAAGUACUGACUCAACAAGGGUAAAUACCCUCGUGCAAUUCCAGCUGCUCAGUUUACCCUGCAAUUACAACUUACUCACAAGUUAUAUUUAUAGACAUAGCUAGCUAGUAAGCAAGCAAGCAAUUUCUCUUGCAGAAGCAGAAUGGGUGAAUUUCGUGGAAGCAAAUCAAAAAAUUGUACGUAUGAGUGAUCGCAGGCUGUUUUCUUCUUUAAGAUGAAACACGGAAAAAAUCGCACACGAUCAUGUUUUUCCGUUCUUGCUUAAAGGGAAUUUGAAAUUGCGACCAUGCAAUUGAAAAACGCUGCUUUCUUGUUUUCUUUCAUUGAUUCAAAGCAUCUAAUUCAUCAAUCAAGAAUGAUACGUGUAGCACGUUGUUUUUGUUCAUUGAAAAACGCUUCUUUCUUGACAUUAUUACAAUAUAUAACAUUCAUAUCUAUCAUUUAUAAUAUAUCUCUAGUCCUCCCAAAAGUUGUACACAAAUUCAUGACUCAUGAGUACCUAUUAAAACAUAAUUGUUUUUUAUUACCAAGAUAUCCCCACAAUUGAUAACAAUGAGACUAAUCUUCUCGAAGCUUGAAGAUCAUAUUAAACGGAUAAACUCUUUUUAAUAAAUCAUUCUUCAUACAUAUUACUCUAAGAUUGAAUCCUCGACUAAACUUAAGGAGCUUAGUUAUCUACCAACUCAAAACUAUGACUAAAACGACUUUUAUCAAAUUCAAAAGAGUAAUGCAGGUUACAUUAACUUAAUAUUGUUUGUAAAAUUAACUACAUUAUGCAAUAAUAACCUCAAUUGCCACACAAAUGUAUAUCAUAUCAGAUACUACCUCCGGUCCUAUUUAUAAAAAUCAAAGUUAAAAAAAAUUUUGGUCAUUUCUAUAAGAACCAAAUGAAAGUUUGUGUUAUAUUAAUUAUUUUUUUUCCAAUGAUACUCUUAUUAUUUCCAACUAGUAAAAGUGUAUCAUUAAUUAUUCUCUCUCCUUCACACUCUUCAACACUAAGGUUAUGUUUGGCACGCCUAGCUAAUAAGCUAGCUAAAAGAUGAAAAACUAGCUGAAAACUUAUAAGCUAGUUGAAAGCUGAAAGUUGAUAAGCUAGCUGAAAGCUGAAAAGCUACGUGAUUGGAACAAAAGUGUUUGGUAAAACUAACUAUUGAACAAGCUAAAUUUGUAAAAUGACAUAAAAGGACAUACUUAUAUAAUUUUUUUAUAUUUAACAUUAAUUUGUUUUCACACUAAUACCUAUAUGAUAUUAAUAUUAACUUUAAAUAUUUUGAUUCCACUCAAGUUAUUUAUCAUCUUAAAAAUAUAAUAUUAAUUAUUACUUAUUUAAUUUUCUAUAUUUUUAUUAAAUUAAAUAUAAUAAAACAAAUAAUUUGUAAUUUGUAAUAUAAAGUUAAAUAUAAUGCACAGCUGCUUGUGCGUUAGUGUUGUGUGGAACGGUAUGCAUAUGAGAUAAGUGUGAUAACUGAUAAGUAAAUAGGUUUAGUAAAAAACAUAUAAGGCUAAAGGUGAAAUUUUAAUAAAAUAAUAAGGAUAAAAAUGAGAAUAUAUUUAAUAAGUUAUAAGCUACCUAAACUACUGAAAUAAGCUCAUUCACCAAACAUUUUUAAAAAGUUUUUAAGCUAGUAAAAUAAGCUUUAAGCUAGCUGAAAUAACAUGUCAAAAAUAGCCUAAUACUACUACAUUAGAAAAAAGAGUAAUUUUGGAAGUUUAUUUUAAUUUAGGACAAAUAUAAUGCAUUGUAACUAAUUGAACUACAUUUCUUAAACUAUGAGAUUUUUUUCAGUUUUUAUAAAUAAGACGGGAGGUAGUACCAUGCUAAGCUUUAUUACAAAUAUGAGGAUUGAUGAGGAAUUAAACAGCAACACCAUGUCCUAGCUAUAUCUUAUCAUGAACUUUUGUGCCAUACAUAAUAUAUUAUAUGAGCAAUUAAAUAUGAAAUUUAGAAGAAAAUAUAGGGUUAAAUGUUUUCGGUCUCCUUAAAAUUGCAAAUUAUUGAUUUUGUCCCCUUAAUUUUUUUUAUUAAUGUUAGUCCCUCAUUUAUAAAAAUGAUGAGGUUUUAGUUCUUUAUCCAUUUUAAUAUGCAUUUUGUCGCGGCUUUUUAGAAGGUUUAAACCGUCACUAAUAUAUUUUACGUCAGUUUUUGUGUAUUAGUGACGGUUAAAUUGCCUCAAAAUGCUCCACAUCAGAAUUAAAAUGGAUAGAGGGAUCAAAACAUGAUCAUUUUCAUAAAUCAAAGAUUAAAAUCAAUGAAAAAUCAAAGAAGACUAAAAUCAAUAAUUCACUAUUAAAAAAUAUAUUUAACCCAAAAAAAUAUAUGAAGUGAAUCUUCCAAACCUUUAUAUAAGUGACAGAGUAGCUAGUCUAUCAAUUAUAAGAUUAUACGUUUGAAAACAAAUUAAAGCUGGUGUAUCUAUCAAUUGGGUACCAAAUAUAAACAACUUUUUUAUAAGCGAUAGAUAUGGUAGUUUGAAUGGGAAAAAAAACCAAAAAGAAAACCCCUAUGGUAAAUGAAAAUAUACGGUAAUUAAUUAAUAAAUUUAAAAAGUAGUUUAAGUAAUUGAAUUUUACAUGAAUUUUUUUUUCCCACACUUGUCUUACUAGCUAAAUGAGCUUGCUUGCAAAUGAGCUUUGCUGUGCAUGUUAUUUGUAUGGCAGAGAUGAUGUGGCACGCCACGUGUGUUAAUGAGAACCAAAAUCAAACAAUUUUUCCCUCGUGUGUUAAGGAGUGACAAGGCCCUUGAGUCAAUUGUUUGAUUUCUAACGUUGUAUGAUUAGGGAUCGAUCUGGUAUUAAUUUCUGAUACCCAUUAGCCAUCUUCUCCAAAGUUUUGAUAUCUUUACCAUAAUUUUUCCAAAUUUAACAAAACAAUAAGAUUUUCAAUGUUCGUGGAGAUUAUGGGUUCGACACACUUCGAGGAGUGGUAGAAGUGAAGGAGAGGACGGGGUGGCUGUGGAGGCUUGAGGUUUAAACUGAAAUUGAGUUUCUGAAAAUGCAUCAAGAUGAGGAAUUUGAAUUGGGAGUGCAAGUGUUUAAUUAGUUUAUAAUUAGAUUACUAAUGAGAUAAUAAAAUUGAAGUGGGAAAAUGUUUGAUUUAGGUAUUGAUCAAAACACGAGAUCAGGCACAUUAUCUCCGCCGCACAUUAACACUUGACAUGCUCACCAUACCUCAUUUUCAAGAGAUAACUAAAAGCGGGGUUGGUGGUGGCAGUGGCGACAUUAAUAGUUGUGGUGGUGAUAGCGGCGGUGACGGUGGUGGUAGUGGCAAUGGUAGUGAUGAUAGAAGUUGCAGCUUGUUUCAUUUUCACUUAAAAUGAAAAUGAUUUUUUUCUUAUGUUUUGGUCAUAUUUUAAAAAAUGUUUUUGAAAAAAAUAUUUUCUAAAUAUUAAUCGAAUAUGUUAUCAGCUGUAUUUUUUAUUUAUAUUGAAAAUGAAAAUAGGAAAUGGGUCAAUUCCUACUUUACUAGUAUUUUUUUGAAAUUUACUUUACUUGGUAUAGUGAUAUCAAGGAAGUAAAAAUCAUUAAGCGGCUUUCAAGAUCUCAUUUUAAUUACCAGCUAAACAUACUAUUACUAUUGUCUUUAAUAAUGGGAAUCUUUUCAAUUGGUGCAAUUAACUAAAUUAAUAAAGCAUUAACCUAGACAGAAUCCCAACUAAUCUGACCCUUGUCAUUAAUCAACAGUUCAAAUUAAUUAAGUUAGAUCGAUGACCUCUCGUCAAUGAACAAUCUAUACCUAUUUUAAAAAUAUGUAAUAAUACUUAUGGAUCAAAUUAAAAUAGUUCCACUCUCUUCGUUCCAUGUGAUCAGAUUGCUUUCUCAUGGAAUAAACACUAUACACAUACAGAGCAAGCCUUAAUGCAUGUGCUUCUUCUUUUAUUUGCAAGUACGGAUGAAGUUGCCGGCAUUGACCCAUUAUAUAGGUGUUUUGAAAUAAGUAAUUAGUAAUUAUGUAUACACAACUCAUUUUCUUUUUGAUCAUAUCAUUUUCAUACAUUUUUCUUGUUUCUGCAUUUUCUAAAUAGAUCACAUAUUUCUCUUUUUUCUCUUCUUUAAGGUGAAGGGCUGAAAGUGGAAAUAAAUUGUUAACAUAACAUUAUUCGUUUAGAAACUGAUAAGUCACUCCGAUCAGACUAGAGACUAGAGACAGGGGCGGAACUUGGAGAGGACAUAAGGGAGCCAUGGCUCCUUCAAAAUUCUUAGAAAACUCUUACAUAAUGCCCAUGAUAAAAAAAAAAUGUUUCACUCAUAUUAUAUAUACUGUAAUUUGUAUACUGUCACACAAACUUCAUGGUGACUUGGUGGAAAGUCAUCAUUCCUCUCUUUUUUAGAUACUGGGUUCGAAUCCCGUAUAUGUCAGUAUUUAGGUUACUUUUUUCUGUUUCACUCCCUUAACUAGCUUUAGGUUAGUGUGUAGAAUUUUUAAAAUGUCUUUUUAAAUAAUUUUUUUUGAUAAUCUCUUUAAAUAUUUAUUUGUUUUCUCUACUAUUAUUUAAAUUUUUAUUUAAGUCAACAUUAUUAAUGAUAAAAAAAUUCAGAAAACAAAUUAUCAAAAGGUAAUAUAAAUUCAGUCAACAUUAUUAAUAUAUAUAUAUAUAUAUAUAUAUAUAUCAAGAAGGUAAAAAUUGAAAAAAAAUGAGAAGUAAGUUUUUAAUUAUUAACAUAACUUUUAAUAAAUUUUCAAUAUUCAUGUAUAUAAAUUUCAUCUUUAUUUUCUUUUGUAUGAAUAUAUACAUGUAUUGUUGAUAAAAUAUUUUAAUUUAUGUAUUGAAAUUUUAUUUCGGCUCCCUUAAAAUUUUCCUCCAAGUUCCGCCACUGGACAUGGAGUUCUUAAAAAUAAGAACUAGUUCUUAUAUAAGAAGUUUUACUUUUUGAGUUAUUAGCAUAAAAAAAUUAUUUUUUCUUUCUCAUUCAUCAACUUAUUUAAUUUAAGUAUUGAAUUAGAAUUUAAAUUUAAAUCAAAAUUAUAUGAAAAUAAAAAAUAUUACUAAUAUAAUGGUAUUGUGAGACCAGAUGAAUAGUGCUAAGAACUAAGAACUCAUGGUUGGAGCAAAUCUACAGAGAGUUGCUUAAGCACAUGUGGCACUACGUGCUCACAUGAAUAGUGCCAAAAAUUAAGAACUAAGAACUAAGAAACUAGCAUUGAAGAUGCUCUAAGUACUCUCUCCAUGGUAAGUCAUGGUUUUCUCUCAGUCAUGUUUGUUUUGUUACCAAAAUGAAGUAUAUGAGAUUCUGCAUCUGUGAUUAUUAGGUUUGGAUUUAGUCCUUGUGAGAGCGACCAUAGUGUUCAACACCUUGUACUGCAUUUAAAGAAGAAUAUUUUGACACACAUCAGGACAGUGCGUUCGUCUGUAACACAAUGUUCUGGAGAGCUUCUUGCGCAACCAAAAAUCAAUCCAAAUAGUGUAAAUAAAAGCAAUGUAAGUGCUAUUACUUUACGUUCUGGAAAAACAACUAACUCUCCUGCACCCCUUAAAAUUUUCCUCCAAGUUCCGCCACUGACUAGAGACCCGUUCAGUCACAUGAAAAUGAAAAAAUCCUGAACUGGUUGAACUGGUAUGCAUCGAUGCCUAGAAUCGGUGUUAUAGACCAAGUUAAACAAGUGAAUUUUUUGCAUUUUAAAAAAAAAACUAAGUAUUUUAACUAUUUAUUUUUUUAUCAUAUAAAUUAAAUAAGAUAGUUGAGGACAUAUGAGUUGAGAGGGGAGGUACAUGGAUUAAUCUUUAAAUGGUGCAAUUUAUCUUUUCAAUAUAAAAAAUAUAUAAAUUAAAUAAGAUGAAAAAUUUAUUAUAAUUGAAAAUUCAAUCAUUCUAAUUUUUUUUAAUAUUGUAUAUGAAUGUAUUACAUAGUAACUAUAGUUUAAUGAUGCUUGUCAAUGUGUGGUGCCUUAAAUGAUAUAGACCAAUAGAAAACAUAGAAUUUAAACUUAGAGGAAGAGGAUUAAGGAAGAUUUGGAGGUUCAAUAUAGGUGGAGAAUGAAGGAAGAUGAUCUUAACAUGGAAGAAAUUUAAAUGAUCUCUCGGAGUUAUAAGUUCAACUAAAAACCUUAAUUUUCAAAUUGUGCAUUACAUAACAUAAACAAACUUAAGAACUAUAUGUUAUUAAUUCAUCAAGUCGAUCAUAGAACUUUUUAAAAUUAUAAUAAUACAUACUUUCAUCUUUCUUUAACCAAAUAACAAAAUUAUAACUUAAAAUAUCAUAUGGAAUACAACACCAAAAAAAAAUCUGCGUACCCCAAAAUUCACCCAAUAUAAUUGUGGUUCAACUAUUAAAUCUUGAACUGAUGUUUCGACUAAUUCAUGAUUGGUCCGACUUUUUAAUAUUGAUUUAUAUCAUACAACUUGCAGCCAUGCAUGGAUAUUUGGAGGAAGCUGACUUUUAUGCCUCUUUCAGUGCAUGAGAGAUUUGUAAAAGGGCACGUGCAUACGAUUAUUUAGAAAAGUAAAUUUUAAACUCUAUUUUUAAUAAUGAGUUUGGAUCUCACUUGGAAACUGAUGCCAUUUUUUUGAAGAAACUUGAUAAUGGUUAUAGGAGUAGGAUUAGUAUAAUCAGAGAUCGGAGACCAAUAGUGUGCCUGUUUGGAUAGGAACUGAAAGUCCGUUUGCUUCUCUUGAAAUGUGUGUGCGUGAUUUCCAAAGUGCUCAAACGCGAAAGAUAAAAAUUGUUUCGCUUACGUUCACGUUCAAUCCAACAUAAAUACAAACAGACCAAGAGUCCAUUCGGCAAGGGGCUUGGGAGUAUAGCUUGGCAAUAAUCUCUUCUAUAAUUCUAUAAACAUGGUUCAUACUUGCUCAAUGUAAGUUGUAUAAAUAUGGUUCAUAUGUAGAUCAAUUGUUUAUUAAAUUACUUUUGUUAGUCAUUUUCUUUUAAACUGCUACAUUCGUUUCUUACUAACGGUUCAUAAAGAGAAAUAAAUAGGUUGUAGGCAUGUAAAGAAAUACAAUUAAUUUUUUUAAAAAAAAUAUAAUUUAUUAUUUAUUUUACCUUUUAUAAUGCAAGUUAUCUCUUAUUUUUUUAGUAUAAACAUUCGGUACUCGGUUACCAUUUGAAUACUGCCAGAUUCGGGAUUUAAUUAUAGUUAAGACUCUUCAUCCCUCCCCUAGAGUUUAUUGUAUGGGGAUAGAACCCGAUAGUUAUUCUCACACACUCAAUCUGAGCUACCCCUCUUAAGAAAAUAUCAAUUAAUACAUUUUAAAAUCCGAAGUGGACAGAAAAAAAAUUGGGAGAGGUAGUAAAUCACAAGCAAAUCCUUCUGAAAAUAUCAAAGAACAACAUCAAUUAACAACAUAAUAAUCAAGGAAAUUUUCUUAGACUCUUAUAAUAAUGUCACUGGUUCCCUUAUCCUAAGAUUUGCUGAAGAUUCAAAUGCACCAGCUCCAUAACUAGAACGACAAGAUGCAAUUUUUCUUUCCUUUUUGCUUUCUUGGAAUACAAUAUGAUGAGGUGAAACUUAGCAGAUGACACAGGCAUUAGGAUUCUCUUCCACACUAGUGUAAUAGUAAUGUGGCUGUCUCAUCAUCUGAUUCUGACAUGCUUCAUAUACCUUCGCAAUAUCAACCAUGUUCUGAUUAUGAUUCUGAUUCUGAUUCUGAUCGGUUUUCUUCUUCUGAUCCUCUGGCUUCUUUCUCUCUUCUUUCUUAGGAGGUUCCUUGGCUGGUCCAACAGAGAGUAUCUCAGUAUGACACAGCUUCCUCAGCUUACCCACCACUGCCACAGGGUCAAUGUCCCCAGUUAAGGUCAGUUUCUGCUCAUUCAUAUCCAUAGAGACUGACUCAAUCCCUGCAUAAAGCAUGUCAGUGUAUAUUUAGAAAUUUUUCUCCUAUUGAUUCUUAACUCAAAAUUCAUGUGGGGAGAGCUAGCAGCUUUUGAAUUUAAAAACUGAUUCUGAUGAAAGACAAGUUAACUCAAACAUGCUAUUUAUCAACUAUGUACAAAAUUACAAGGGGUUGAAAUUCCAUACCUGAAAUAUUAGAGACUUUCUUCAUAGCUUUUUUCUUAAUUUUGUCAUCGAGUAGUUCCACUUUUAGCACUACUUUCUGCCAGAGUGCAAAUAAGAUCGACGAGUGUUAGUUAGGACACUUGUAAUUUAAUCAAUCUAAUAAAGAAAAACACCAAUCUUCAAUUUGUUUUUCAAGAGACGAAAAGACAAGCCUAUGUUGAAAUUUUGACACGAGAUCUAAAGCUUUGAGUGUCAAAGAGUGCCAAAAAAUUAAAAUAAACAUAUAGAUUAUAUAGUUGAUCUAUGAUGAUGAAUGAAUGAUGAACCAUGCAUGGAGCUGGAACUGAAACAGAGCAAAACUAAAAUUAGAAGCUUUCACAAUAAAACUUGGAGGGGUGACAAAUUCUUACAUUCAUUGAUGUGACGCUGGUGAAAAAUAAGGGAAGUUUUGUUUUGGAAGUUCUGGUGUAUGGAAGUUCAGUUGGUUGAAGGUAUUUAAAGAGAAAAAUAAUAAAGCUACAGAGACUAGUGUGUGAGAUAGCGAGAUAGGAAGUCAACCCAAGUCUAUAAUUAUGAAAAAUAACAAUGAUAUAUUCACACCUCAUUUUUUAUACAUUUCAUUUUCACAUAUAUUAUUUCUAUUUUUCUUCUCUUAUUAUUUAUCGCAUCUUAUACUUUCUCUCUCUUACUUUUUCUUUUAUUCCUAACUCUCUCCUCUUUAAGAUGUGAAUGAACGAUUAUUCUUAUAAAAAAUGUUUAUAGGAAGGCUAGUGUUUUGUUUUUUUUUUGGUAAAUUCUUUUCUUUUUGGUAAAUGACUAGUGUUUUGUUUAUGUAUGAAACAAUCAAUCAAUCACGUGCGUUAAUACAUAAAAACCGUCAUAAAAAAUUUAAUAUAGAUUAAUUUCACAUAUUUCAAUAAUAUUGGAACUAAAAGCUAUAACAUCUUUUUAAGGAACCGAAUUCAAUUCAUAGGAAUUAAAAACAUGGUUAACCAUUUACUUGUUUAUUUUUGUCAAAGUGCCACAGCCAAAAUAAAAUUGAAGCUAGGUGUAAAGGGGUCUCGCAAUCAAGAGCGUGUUGACCUUUGUUGGUAAUGGAUUAAGUGUGUGUUUGGAUUUCCAUGUUAAAUUCAAUGUAGAUUCAUAUUGAAAAUAACCUGUUAAAAUUAUGCAUCUACAAUUUAUGUUAAAUUUAAUGUGACGAAUUUCAACUUCUUUGAAAUACGUGAAAUCAAAUUUACUACUACUAACCUCUCUAAGAGCAUCUUCAAUGGAGUCCUUAUUUUGGGACCUUAAAAUAAGAUCCGGAUCUUAUUAGAUCUCACCAUUAGAGCUAUCCUACAUGGCAUGAGAUCUUAGCAAAAGCUAAGAUCCGUGCCUUAGCUCAGGUACUCUCAAAUGUGAGAUCUUAAAUAAAAUAAUAUUUUUUUUCUCUCCUUCAAUACCAUAAUCAAAGUGAAAAUUAGGGAGGAAAAUAAAUAAUAUAAAAUAUAUUGAGUACUGUGGGCUCAGACAAAAGUAAAAUAAGAUAUCAACCAUUAGAGUAAAAUGUGUAUGAAGACCUUAUGAGUGUCUUAAAUCCUAUGUGGCAAUUUGGGCCCACAAAAAUUGAGUUAAGUCCCAAAAUAAGUUUAUACCAUUGGAGAUGCUCUAACAAGCUUCUAUGCUCUUUGAUUUUAAUAUAUUAUCCAUUUAAAAAAAAAACCCUCUAACAAUAAACAAAGAUAGACUAAGUGAUUUAAUGCUGCACAAGAAAGUGCAAUAACAACAUACGAAGAGGAACAAAAGAAACACACUUUAGCCAACCAACAAAGAAAGAAAAACAGAAUUGACAAGAAAAGGCUAGCAAAGGAACCCCCUGGAGAUGGUUAUGGCCCAUCACAAUUAAGUGGGCCCAGCAGAAAAUAUCUAUUUGAUAUCUGAGGCCCGUACUCAUAGCUUUUGGUCCCACUAAUCACCUCAUGACGGAAGGGAGAAUCUUGGGCCGAUGGGUUUCAGGCACAAACCCUCCUUAACACGUAAGUAACGCCUUCCCGUGUCGUUUUUGUUCAGCAACCGACUCUUUCCUAUGUCCUUCAUACUUCACAGUUUUCAAUUAUUCUAUAACUAUUUUGUGGACCUUGGACUUCCUUUAAAUAAAAAAUAUUGGUGAGAAAAAGUUGAAGUGAAGUUAUAUCUGAAAAUAUCGUAUGAAAAUAUCUAUGUUUAUAGUGCAACCUUAUUUUAAUAAUCUAAAUGUGAUAAAAUAUCUUAAUUUGUCACAUUUUAUAUUCCCAAUCAAUUUUGUUAGCUUUAUUAUUUUUUCUUUUGUUAGCUUUAAUAAAACAUGAAAAACAAGAUAAUAUCUAAAUUAACAUGGGUGCUUCAAUGGGGAUAAAUUUACCCAUUAGUGUGUUAAAUCUUUCUAAUGAUUAUUCAGCAAUUUAAACUUAAAUUAUUAUUCUUAUUAAGAAUUUAAUUUGUCUAUUACUAAACUAACGCAUCGAGCAUGUUUAGGCUGUGUUACUUGUGGUAUGAAAAAAAUCAUAUUUGCACAAUUUUCUUUUUAUCCUUUUACAUGAUUGGAAGUUCACAUGGCACUAGCAGGAAUUGUAUCCCUUGGAGGAAAUGUGACAAGGCAUAUGUUGUAAAGAUAUGUGCUUUUGACUUUGGAGAUAUUUUGUUCAAAAUGCAGUAAAAAAUGGAGUGGUAAUUAACAAUAUGAUAUUGAUUAUUUUGUUUAUCUUAACGACUUUAUUCAUUAUCUAAAAUUUCUAAUUUGUCCAUGCAUGAUGUGUAAAAAAAUAUGGAAUAUCCAUUAUAAAUUGAAUUGCAAUUAAUAGAAAUAUUUAUCUCAAACAAGUUUCACUUAAAGCAAAAAGGUAUAAAAGAAGAAAAACAUUUUUCACAAUUGAAACCAACUAACUCUCAUGCUUGUACUUGUAAGAAAAUCAACAUUCCAAUAAGUAAAAUCAUUUAGAGCAAAAGUUGGGUCACUUUUUCCAUGAUACAUUGCCUCCAUCUCCAUCCUUGUAUUGUAUAUAUAAAAAAAAAGACAUUAGAAAAUAGUUAGAAGGAAGAACACCAAGCUUUAUUAAAACGCAAACCUAGGAAAAUAAAAACACUUGAUUUGUCAAAUGUUAUGGCCAGCAAGGAUUGGCAGUUGUAAAUACUACUUUAGAUUCUGCAGUUAAAGCCAUUUUCUUUCUCUUUGAAACCCCACGAAAAUGGUGUCAGAAAACCCGAAUGCUUCAGAGGCUAUAUACUUGGAACCCUUAGCAGAUUCGGUGGAGGACCCUGCCAAGAAGACACGCAAACCAUUCACCAUCACCAAGUCUAGAGAGAACUGGACCGAACCUGAGCAUGAUAAGUUCCUUGAAGCUCUUCAACUGUAAGAAAAUGAAAAGUUUUCCUUUUUUUUCAUCUUCUUCUUCUUAUUUUGUUCUCAGAAUGUAGUGUGUGAAUUUUGAAGUUCAACUGAGACAUGGGUUUUAGUGGUACCCUUGUGUGUGUGUGUGUGUCACUGUUUGAGUCAUGGUUUCAGGAAGCUACUUAUGGAGAAUUUUCACAAUUGUUUGUCAAGGACUGAGAUUUUGGUAUUUCAGAUUGGUUUGGCAGGGGAAGAAUAAAAGAUGUUAGGAAUGGUCAAUGGGGAGGGUAGAGUUUUAUUACUACUGUUAUCAACUUAUCAUUGUUAUUUGGUGAUUGUUGUCAAAAUACACUAUGUGAAUCAGUGAAUGUGAUCAAUUCAUUCUUUUUGGGGGGGCUUCUUAUAAUGGUUGAACUUAGUUUACUAUUCCUAAAUGGAAUUUGCCAUUUCAAAUUUAAGCAAUUUGUUUGUUUUUCCUUUUUCCUGGUCUUGGUGUAACCAUUUAGCAUCAACUCAUUGUUUUUUUUCUUUCAUUUUGGAUCCAGAUUUGACCGUGACUGGAAAAAGAUUGAAGCUUUUGUUGGAUCAAAAACAGUUAUCCAGGUAAUUUCAAGUGCAAUCGUUGAUUAGAAAUUGUCAUAAGCUGUUACUUCUGGGUACCAUUGGCCAUAAAUAUUUUGGAUUGCAUUAGUUAUCUUAUAAUUUAUGGAAUCAGAAUGUGAAUAUUGGUUAUGUUACAUUAAGGAUUUCAUCCCUUGCCAGAUAAAGUGUUGGAUGCUGGAAAUGAAAUGCCAAAAAAGGAUAUUUCCCUUUCUCUCCCUGCCUCCAUUGCUAAUUGGACUGAUUUCUUGAAAACCCUGAUACAUAUGACUUUUCCUUUUGUUUGGUGGGACUAAAAUUGUGAAACCUGAUAGUCAUAUUCAUAUACCAACUUGCUUUUCUUUUGAGGAAAGUUCCAAUAGCAUUCAUUUAAGAUUAACUUAAGCUAUUAUGCGGGUUCCAUGUGCUUGUUAUACAAGGAUCAAAUCAUGCUGUGACUUUUAAGUAAAGAAAGUUGAGGACAAAGAAAGCAUUAAGCUUUUCAUAUUUUAAAUUGUGGACUAAGCACAGGCUCAUCAAGCCUCAUGCUGAAAUGCAAUUUAGUUUAGAAGAAUAGAGAUUAUAAGGAUUAAACUCAUGAAUAUUUAGUCACAAAAGUUUUUGUACCAAGUCAAAGAACCAACUAUCCUUGGUGUUUACUGUUUAAUAUGUUAGUUGUAGCUUUGGGAAUGUAUUUAUCGUCUAACAAGAAUGAUGCAAAUUUUCUUAAAUGGGAUACCAUCAUUGACUAACAUGAAAAGCAGACUUCUUUUAUGUUGUUAAAAGAAAGAAACAGUUUCAUUGGGGAAUAUUUUAGAAUAUCUUUUAAAUGUCUGUUAGUUGAGUGCUUACAGCUUAAUGGAUUCAAAGAUGUCAGUGCAUAUGACAGUUGGGAGUUGUUAGGAUUUCUAUUACUUUUUCAUGUGCUUCAAUGUUUAAUGGAUGCCUCAAGUACCCAUAAGAAUGACUGCUGAUUUUGUAGAUACGUAGCCAUGCACAGAAAUAUUUUCUUAAAGCUCAGAAGAGUGGGAAAAGUGAACAUCUUCCUCCACCCAGACCAAAACGAAAAGCGGCUCAUCCAUAUCCUCAGAAAGCUUCCAAAAACGGUUACAAUCUUCACCAUAUUUUGUUUACAACAUAUUUUAGAUUAAUUGUAUCUAAUGAUUGUAAGUGAUAUUUGACAGUUCCAGUACUCUCGCAUGUUUUAGGAUCCUCUCAAUCUUCAUCUGCUUUGCUUGAACCUGGAUCCAUCCCCAAGCAUGAAUCUUCGCCAAUUCUUAAAACUCCUAUACUUAACACUUCAGUUUCUUCCGGGUCAAACAACACUUUGCAGACAACAGCCAAUGUAUUACAUGGUACUGAAAAUUUAGAUUUUAUAAUCCUGGAAUAUAUUUAUGGAACUUGUUUGGAUAGUUUUCGUAUGAUACCAACUAGUUUGUUGUGUUUAAAUAUUGUGUGUUUUAGGUCAAAAAGUGAAUAAUUGUUGCAGCAGCAAUGAAAGCACUCCUAGAGCACGCGUGGUUGGUGAAUCUAAUGGUCAAGGAAAUAAUAACCAUCCAUUGAAAGGCAAGGGUUUAAUGAUUUUCCUUUCUAAUUUCAGUGCUGUCAUCUUUGAUUGUUACAUUAAAUUUGAUGUGUGCAUGACAAGGUUAUGGAGUGUUGUUGUAAGCAUAAUUUGUGCACAACUGCAUAUUUCAGCAAUUAUGUUAUUGCUUUAUAGUGUAUUCCUGUUUUAUUAUCAAGAAUAUAACUGUGUUGGGUCCAAAGUAAGUAUGGAGUCUCUUAAUUUCCAAUCCCCUUCUUGGACAUGAAUCUUGAUUAUCAUCAUCUGAGUCGCCAAAAUAUUCAUUUGAUAUUUCCUUGAUGGUACCUUCAAUUUAUGAAAUUUGAUACGCUUUCGUAUCUUGAACAUUUUGUUAUUUUAAUGUGUACUCAACAUGUGGAAGUGAUGUCUGUCCUGUUUUUCUUGUUCUGCGACUCAUUUCUUAUGAGAAUACCCAGAAAGCUGUCUUAUCCUCAUAGGAGUUUUACAAACUCCCACCUACUCAUGUCAAUAUAGCUACAUACAUUCGAAGUUAUGUGCACAUUUCUGCAAUAAUUUUCUUUUCAUAGAAUUUACGCAUAUGAUUUUUGUAUCUUUUUUAGUAUUUAUUGUUGUCUCACUGUUUUCCAAUGUCAAUUUAAUUUUCCCCUCAUUUGUAAUGCAGUUCUUCCUGAUUUCACUCAAGUAUACAGAUUCAUUGGCAGUGUAUUUGACGCAAAUGUAACUGGGCAUCUACAGAAACUUAAAAAGAUGGACCCUUUAGAUGUUGAGACGGUAUGUGUUUGUGUGAUUUCUUGCUUUGAACUCCCUUAAGACAUUAAAGCAUUAUUUCUUGCUUUGAAUACCUGUGUUAAUUUGUGUCAACUAGUACAAUUCAGAAGUUCUGAGACAUUUCUUCUUUUUAUGACCUUGAAUAUUUUUAGGUGCUGCUGUUGAUGAGAAACCUGUCUAUCAAUUUAACAAGUCCAGGUUUCGAGGAUCACGUAAGUAUUCAUGCCACUGAUCUUUGGAUUACUUAAUGCAUGAACCUCACCACUAUUUUGACCCAACAUCAAAUUUUCUCUUUAAAAGAACUUGUUUAAGGAUCCUUACUCCUUAGCUUUAGAAGGCCGUCCCUAUAUAUUCCUCAUCUUUUGAAAACUGUCCAUCUCCGACAAAAGCAUCUUAUGCAGAUUGGAAAUUUCAUCUUCAUAGAAACUUGAAUGACUAAAUUAGACAUCAAAUUGCAUGACCAAUGAAAGAAGGAACAAUAAUAAAUUUCAUUUAUAUGUGAACCGGUUGUAAUUCAUGCAGAGAAGGCUGCUCGCGUCAUAUGAGGUGGAACCCGAGAUAGAUAAUUAUAUCAAUGUAGAUCAAGCCAUGCAUGAUGAGCAGUUGAAGAGUGCUACUUAGAUGGAGGGGAGGUUGAAUAUAAAAUUGGCUGUUUUUCAUGCAUUUCUGCAUGAUGAGGUAAGAUGCCUCGGCAAGAAAACAAGCUGAGAUUCCAGCAACAGUCUUAUGAUCCUGCUCUAAUUAGUGGCUUAUGUUGCUCAUCGAUCAUCUCAGCUUAACAAGGCUUUUGAUUCCCACAAUUCGAUUCGGUGAUGUAUAUAUUAAUGAAACAUAUUAUAGAAGAAAAUAAUAAUGCUGGACUCUAUAGAUUUCAUAUUUUUGUAAUAUCCGAGACAGUACUAGCAAGUUGAUGACUUUGUAAACAAUAUAUACGUUUGUUUGCCUUAGGAAGGGAAUGCAAUUUCAAAAAGGAUGUAAAAUACUUCAUAUUAAUGUAGUGUUUAUUCUAUUUAAUUGUGUUUCUAUUAUUUGAUAAAAAUUGUUAUUAGAUUACGGAAUUUGGCUCUAAAAUAUAAUUUUUUACUAUAACUCAUUAUGUUGUAGUAUAUAGUUCUUCUACUAAAACUAUAACAUGUAAACAGUAUAUACGUUUGUUUGUCUUAUUCUGAAAUUUGUUGAGAAAAUAAUAAGGAACGGAAACUAAUAGCAAUGUUUACAGUGUAUAACACAGCAAUAUCAAAAAAAGUCUCUGCAAUUCAACAUUUCACGUCCUUGUUGGAAAAAGUAGUAUGCACCAAAUCUUUUGUCAACUGUUAGCCUUUACUGUGUGUCAUAGUAUGAAGUUUCAGGACAUGAAAUUUCCAUGUAUCUAGGAGAGAUCUAUUUAGUAUUUACACAACUUCAUUACUGUUUCAACAAAAGUAUGAGAAAUCUGUGCAGACAAUUGUGAUCUUUUUAGACUUUUUCAGACCAAUAUUCCAUCUACAUCCCAACAAUUGCUGGCAGUGGUUCAAAGUCUGCUACUGAAAACCUCCAACAUAAGGGUUCCAGUUCCUUGCGCUAUCACCAUGAAGAUCUAACAAUGAGUAGUUGACAAGAUCUAACAAAAUCAGUAACUAAAACACCACAUAAAUUUCAUUUCUAAAAUGACUCAUAAAAAACAUUUGACAAGUGAUUUCUUACCAAGACUCGGUGGUCUUAUGAAACCUCCAUAGCUCGAUUCAUGAUAUCCUAAGCAACCCUGCAUUGAGUUUAGCUUUUGGGUGCAACAAGUCAUGCGAGAUGCAGGCAGGUGUGGUGGAACUGGAACACCAGUUUGUGGUUCACACAAUGAGCUGAGAUUAAGUUUGCUUGGAUUUAUCAUCUGCUGGAAUUUCGAUUGACCGACUUCAUGAUCAAACCUUCUCAUGUCAUCUUGGGAAAGAAGGAAAGGUGGAGAAAUUGAGUUGGAUGGGAAAGGGUGGGAAAACAGAGAAAAUGUGGGGGAACCAAUGAAGUUUUCUUGAAAACUGUUAUGACUUUGUUGACCCCUUCUUGGAUUCAACUGAUUAGAACAGAGCUGAGGGUAAGGUUGCUGUGCAUGCACAGGGGGGUAAAAGCCCGUUCCAGCUCCAUGAUGCACUAUAGGAUCAUCAAAAUGUGGUGCAGGAGUACUGUCAUCAUCAUUGAGUAUGGACUCCACUAGCUUUUCGAUCAUCUCAUGAGGUGAUCUUGGACUGAACCCAUCAGCUUUAUUUGGACUUGUUUCAGGGUUAGACAUGAAAUUAUCACCCACAGCCGAAUUUCCCACCUCUGGCAACAAGAAUGAUCCAUCAAAUGCAAUUAAACUGUCCUCAUCAGGCCAGCAAAUUUCAGAGCUAGAAUUUGAUUCUCCAUCUAAGCUGUUGCAGGAAGAAUUUAACUCCAACUCCUCCUGAGAUUGGAGAUCAGGGUUGCAUCGAUCUUGCUUCGGGAUGACUGGAAUUGCUUGCUUGACAUCUUGCAAAGACAAAUUACUUAAUUGCAACUCCACGGUACCUUGCUCAUAUGCCACUCGACAAAGGUUUUUCUUGAAAUUUCCGCAAUUCUCUUGGUUAUGGAAGCUUGUUGGUCUACUUUUCUUUAGAGAUUCCAUAACUUGGCAAGUUCCUAUUGGAUAUUCCACAUCAAAGUUUGAACAUUCUUCAGACUUCAUUAGGUGAUCAGUAUCCAACGCUGAAAGAUGACAAUAUGUGUUUAUAUGGUUUCCAGACGACUGCCAUGGAUUUACUAUUUUAUCAGUAGUUAAAUCUUGCUGCCUUUGUGUAGAACAACUUUUAGUCAUCUCCGGCAAGGUGGAUGGAUGAACAGAAUUGCCUCUUACAGCUCCUUCAAUCAGACUUAGUUUCGAUGAAGCAUCUAAUUGCUCAUUGAUCAUAAGAUUGGAAAUAAACUGCAAGAUAUUUGAAUUUCUUGUUGCUGGUGUCAUCAGAAAUUCCUCUGAACGAUCCUUCGAAUCUAUGUUUUGUAUAGAAUUCCCCUUGCCCUCCUCCACUUCCCUGACUAUAUCUGCACAUGAUUUCUCUUAAUGUAAUGUUAAAUACUAAAAUUUAUACCUUCCAUUUCUUUAACAUUCUUUAAUGGUUUGUUUUUUUAUCAGCUCAAAGAAGCUGAACAGAAUUGGCUAGUCAUGUUAUAAUAGGAAAAACUAUAUAAUAACCUUGUGGUUGACAAAUUGAAGGCCUAAGAAGACAAUAAAGAAUUGAAAAGAGAUUUGACCUUUUCUCCAACUUUCCCGUUCUGUUUUCUCUUGAAUUGUUCCCUCAGAAGAUACAGAUGUGUCACCGUUAAGCAAGACAUUGCUGUCUCUAGGUGGAGGUAGUGCCUGAAAGAACAGAAUAUUAUGAAACAAAAUUUUGCAUGCCUAAGUCUACCUUCCUUUAUGAAAACCAUAUUUGUAGACAGACCUUGUAACGACAUGGAGGCCGAUACGGUUCAAUAGUCCUAUGGAGCUGAUGAUUAGCACUGUCUACAUCUAUAACCCUUGGAGAAAUUUUCUGAGGCAUGAUUUUCUGAAGUCCUGAGUCUGUGUUUCAAAGCACAAAUUUCUUAAGUUAAUUUUAUCAUAAUCCACAACAUGCAAUGAUGAUCCACACAAUACACAUUAAUGACAAGAAGAUUAUCAAGCAACAGAUUUUUCAAUAGAAUUUGAAAAUCAAACAUUACACACCUGAAACACAAGUAGGCACAGAUAGAAUUCCAGGUGAAUCUUGAAACACACUGUUCAAGAAACAGGCACAAAUUAAACAACCUACACAAAACAGCAGAACAAUACGCAUGGAAUCUUAUAAAAUAACAAUGUAGUAGAGUUUUCCUAACCAUGAAAUUGAGAGCUGAACCUCCUUCGGUAAUUUCACCGCAUUAGGACAAUCUGCUUUUGAUAAAGAGAGAAGAAACUCUCUCGAGUACGAAAUUUUCGAUCGCCUGAAAAUACCAAAUCAAAAGGUUCUUGAAUCACAAAUUCACAAUCACAUUGAAACAGAACAUCACAUGAAGCCAAAUUCAUCACAUUUGGCAACAGAGUGAAUCCUCACCAAGCUAAAGCCUCAACUCAUGUAAAAAUCAUCAAAAAUUCAAGUAUUCAACAGCGUUCAAACAAUUUUCAAAUCAUAAUUAGGGGGAAAACGUUACACGAUAGUGUAGUUGACUAAACAAAGAUUCACCGUAACAAGAAAUUACUACAGUGAAUCUUCACCAAGCUAAAGCCUCAAUUCCAAUAUUCUACUGCAUUCAAACGAUUUUCACAUCUAAUUGACUAGUUUCUCAGCCGCCAAACAGAAACAAAGAUUCACCGUAACAAGAAUCAAACAAUAAGAAACUACACUAGUUCAUGAAACCGCACUAGCCUAAAACAUGCAUUAACAGUAACAAUCAAACUCAAAAUUCAAUGAAUCAAAGCUUACUUGUUAGAAUCUUGAGACGGUGGAGCAAAGACAUUCGCGGUUCCAUUUUCCUGGCUCAUUUUCUCGAGAAAAUCCUCCGUCAAAUUUAGCGUUGACUACUCACAGUGUUUGAAUUUCUCCAAGAAACACCAGAACAGAACACAUGAACCGAACCUUACAACAAUGCUGCUAGAAGAAUCGAGAAGAAACUCGAAAACCUAGAAGAUCAAAUGCAAGAAAAUUACUCAGGAAACAGAGAGAAAUAGCAACGAAAAUAGCGACGAUGAGAAGAAGAAGUGAAGAACAGCACCUUGAGGGGUUCGAUACGGUGGCGGUGACGGUGGUGGAGUAGAGGUAAUAUCCAGAGGGAGAAACAUUUUCCGAGCGAGAAGUUUUCUCGGGAAACAGAGAGAAAAUGGGAGAGAAAAUGGAAAAGGCUUGCAGAGGAAGUUACAGAGAAAGUGAGAGACUGUGAGUGUUUCUAUUUGUAGAAUUUUGAUGGCAACGCGACGCAUUUAUUUACUCUCAGCUAGCAUAGCACACUGACACUAGUUGCUACAGGCUCACGUAUUUAGCAUGGCACAGAUUAAAAUAUUAAAUAUUUUUAUUUCUAUUUUUGUGUUUAGUUUGAUACUCUGAUUCAGCUUUUUAAUAAAGUGUGAUAUUCUCAUACCAUUGCCUAGUUAAACUAUUUUUGAAUAGUGUUGAUAUGGAUUUUUAGCUAUUUGUUUUUUUAGCCCUCUCAAAAUUUGUUUAUUUAAGUAAAGUACAUUUUAUGCUAAAAGACAUGUAAUGAUACCGAUUUAGAUUUGGUAAUAGUUUUUUGUGUUUCAUUUCAACAAGUUCAGCUACUUAAUGUAUGAUUUUGGAGGAAAAGUUUUGUUUACACUAAUGUGGAAAUAGAGGGGAGAGAAAGGAAAAAAGAGAGAAAUUUAUUCAUUUUUUGUUACGGGAAAUUGGGAGAGUAAAAGAGGGUAAGAAAAAACAGUGACUCUUUUUCAGUGGUCUGUCUAAUUUGAAGAUAAAGUCUAUAUUUUGUUUUUUUUUUUACGGUCAGAUAAAGUUAAUUUGAAGAUAAAGUGAGACCGUGUGUGAUUUUUGUCUACUUGCUUACUUUUGUUAGGGGAGGGUAAGAUCCGGAAGAAAAAAAGCUUCACAUUUUUUGCAAUUCAUACUUCAACUACACUUGCAUAAGAUAGAGAAAGAAAAAAAAUAUGACAAAUGGUGUGAUAUGAAAAAGAAAAGAUAUAUAUAUAUAUAUAUCAAGAAAAAUAAAUAAAAAUGAGACGAAACUGAAAAAAAUAAAUUAAUGAAUCAAAAUCUAAUUGUGAUCACCCUAAUUUGAAGAUAAAAGUGUAUGUAUUCUUUUUAUCCAUUUUCUUAUUUUAUCACUUAAUUAAUGUCAUGCUGAUAAACAUUAUAUGAAGAAUGGUAGCAAAACUUUUUUUCUAACACUCUUUUCAACAUUCUUUUUACUUAAUCGGUUGAAAUUCAUGGGAGUCACAUUAAAUUGGCUAAGAGACUUAUUUUUAGAGUGACUGGAUUUAACUAAAUUAAAACAUUACCAUAACUAGAGGGUUUGCGGAGUAAGACGCUUGGGCUGUGUGACAUGGGAUGUCCAUAGCACUUGGUUUAUUGGUGUUUUCGUGAGUUUUGGGCUUGAAAAUGCUUAUGGGCUGAGCUUUUGGCAGUGGAAGUAGGAUUGCAUCAUGCAUGGAAGCUUGGUUACAAAGAUAUUUAUCAUGUAUGAGACUGCAUUGAUGUUGUGUGAAAAUCCUUCCUAACAGAAAUGAUAAUUCAAACAUAUUGGGUGAGGGAAAGCAUCACUAAAAUUAGAUUCAUGCUUUCUUUGGCUCGGAAUGUGGAGGUUGAUUAUAUCCCAUGUGAGAAAAAUAAUAUUGUAGGUUUUCUAGCCCAUCGAGCUUUUAGGAAGAAGGGUACUCCUCUUUUAAUUUGGCAGAGCCCAUCUUUUAAUGUUAUUUGUGUAUGUGCGCUCUAGUGUACUUUAUUUUUGUUGUAGUUUCCCUCUUGUAAGAAAAAUAAUAAACAAUCAAAUUCAGUAAUAAGAGAUUUUAAGAAAAAACCAUAAUUAACACUGCUACUUUCAUCAUAAAACCACAUGUUAAAUCUACUAUUAGUUUAUCAUGUCCCGUCGAGUUUGGUGGUGAAACUAGUGACAAAAGGAUUUCUUACUUCUUUGCAGCCUUCUGAUUUUGAGCUGGUUGAAGUGGAACAAAAGUUCAUUCUCAAAUUGUCUUUGUUUGUUUAUUCUGUUAGAUAUGAAAAGUUCAACGAAUCUGGUUUGUUUGGGUCUUCUUUGUACAAUGAGCACUAACUGAUAACUACACACGCUUUAUAUCAUGGUUUGGUUCUGAAAAUGAACAUCAAUAAAAUAAAUUGAAAAGGAGAGGGAAUUUGGAUGGAAGACAUACACAGAUCAGCUUCAUUGAUGUUUGUUCUAGUAGUACAAAAUCAGCUUAGGCUCAUCAUAACACAUUUUGACAACACAAAACUAUAAACCAAAGACCAAGAAAGAAUAUAACACACUAAACUUUGUAGACAGACUUUCAGACACAAUGCAUCUGCCACCAUACUUACAUGAUAUAUGAUAUAUCCUUAGUCAACUUCCUCCAUCUUACUCUCCUCAGCACCAUCCUCCUCCAGUGGAGGCAUAUCUUCAUCUCCACCAGUCUCCUCCUCAUCAAUGCUAAGACCAAGCUUCAACAUCCUGUGAAUUCUAGCAGCAAAUGUGUUUGGAUCAUCAAGGCUGAAACCAGAAGUCAAGAGUGCAGUCUCAAAGAGAAGCAACACCAAAUCCUUCACUGAUUUAUCAUUUUUAUCAGCUUCAGCCCUCUUCCUCAGCUCCUCCAUGAUCCCAUUAUCCGGGUUAAUCUCCAUGGUCUUCUUGCUCGACAUGUAGCUGCUCAUGCUGCUAUCCCUCAACGCCUGAGCCUUCAUGAUCCUCUCCAUGUUCGCAGUCCAUCCGUAUUCCCCUGUCACCAAACAGCAGGGUGAAUCCACAAUCCUGUCAGAGACAACCACUUUCUCAACUCUGUCUCCCAAGAUGUCCUUCAUUGUCCUGCAAAGAUCCUCAAAUGACUUCUUCUUUUCCUCUUUCUUCUUCUUCUCUUCCUCGCUUUCAUCAUCCAAUUUCAAUCCCUCCUUAGUAGCAGAAACCAACUUCUUCCCAUCAUACUCUUUCAAUUGCCCAACAGCAUACUCAUCAAUUGCAUCCACCAUGAACAGCACCUCAUACCCCUUCUUUUUCAGCCUCUCCAAGAAUGGUGAAUUCUCCACAGCCUUCUUGCUCUCUCCUGUGAUAUAGUAAAUGUCCUUCUGCCCCUCCUUCAUUCUGGUAACAUAGUCCUUGAGACUAGUCAACUCAUCUCCACUCUUUGUAGAAUAGUAUCUCAGCAAAUCAGCCAAUUUAGCCCUGUUCUGACUAUCUUCAUGGAUACCCAGCUUCAAGUUCUUGGAGAAAGCAUCAUAGAAUUUGUUGUAAUCCUCUUUAUUCUCCGCGAUCUCGUUGAACAUCUCAAUGCAUUUCUUCACAAGAUUCUUCCUGAUCACCUUCAAGAUCUUGUUCUGCUGCAGCAUCUCCCUGGAAAUGUUGAGUGGCAAGUCAUCAGAGUCAACCACACCCUUGACAAACCCAAGAUACUCAGGAAUCAGCUCCUCACAAUUGUCCAUGAUGAACACCCUCCUCACAUAAAGCUUGAUGUUGUUCAUCUUCUUUCUUGUGUCAAACAGAUCAAAAGGUGCCCUUUUGGGAACAAAUAGAAUGGCCUUGAACUCAAGCUGACCCUCCACUGAGAAAUGCUUGACAGCCAAGUGGUCUUCCCAGUCAUUGGUGAGGCUCUUGUAGAAGGAAGCAUACUCAUCCUUGGUAAUCUCCUCUGGCUUUCGCAGCCAGAUUGGUUUCUGCUUGUUGAUGAGUUCCCACUCAUGAGAAACCUCCUUAAUCUUCUUCUUCUUAGAAUCCUUCUCCUUCUCUUCAUCAACAUCCUCAACUUCUCCUUCCUUCUCCUUCUUGGACUCAUCAUCCUCCUCAUCAUCACUGAUCUCCUUCUCAGUUGUCUUCUCAGUCCAGAGGUAAAUUGGAUAGCUAAUGAAUUCAGAGUGCUUCUUCACAAGAUCCUUAAUCCUUCUCUCCUCCAAAUACUCCAACUGUUGCACAAACAAGACUCAACCAAUUAACAAUUUGACUAAAACAAACACCCAAAAGAAAAAGAAAAAACAAUCGUAGUUAAAACUUCAAUUUCUUUACCUGAUCCUCCUUGAGGAACAAGGUAAUCUUAGUUCCUCUUCCUAAUUGUUCACCAUUCACAUCCCUGAUCACAGUGAAGGAUCCACCAGCCUGUGAUUCCCAAAUGUACUGUUCAUCGUCAUUGUGCUUGGUGGUCACAAUGACCUUCUCAGCAACAAGGUAAGCAGAGUAGAAACCAACGCCCAAUUUGCCCAUCAUGCUAACAUCAGCCCCCGCCUGUAACGCUUCCAUGAAUUCCUUCGUCCCAGACCUCGCAAUGGUUCCCAAAUUGUUCACCAAAUCUGAAACCAAACCACACCACAUAAACACACACAAUAAGAAGCAUAGCACAGCACAUUUAAUCAAAUUCUCACAAUAAAACCAUUGUUUCAAAUUGCGGCCGCAACAUAAUAUAUUUCAGGGUCACACCCAGUUGCGGCCGCAUCAACCUGCAUUUGUCUACAAUUCCGCGACAACUGCAACCGCGAUCGCAACCUCAAUUUAAAUAAAACGGAUAAAGAGGUACAUUACAACUACGUACCUGCUUUGGUCAUGCCAACGCCACUGUCAAUGAUGGAGAGAGUCUUGUUAGCCUUGUCAGGAACGAGUCUAAUGAAAAGCUCUGGUUGAGCAUCAAGCUUCGUCUUAUCGGUGAGUCUCUCAAAUCGAAUUUUAUCCAGAGCCUAAAUGUAACAAACACACAAAUCAAAUUGAGUGAUUAACGAAACGAAGGAAAGUAAAAUGUUAAUGGUGGUGGUGGAAGGAGGAGAGGCUUACGUCGGAGGCAUUACUGAUGAGUUCACGGAGGAAAAUCUCCUUGUUGCUGUAGAAGGUGUUGAUGAUGAGGCUGAGGAGUUGGUUGAUCUCAGCCUGGAAUGCGAAGGUCUCGGCGUCACGCAUUUGAACAUCUGCCAUUACGAAAUUAAUGUGGGAAUCUAACUCCGCACUUGGAACACCAAAAUAUGUGAGCUUAGAAAGCUAGCGAUGUUAUUUGUUGAGAGAAGGGAGAUGAAGAAGGGGAUUUAAAUAGCAUUAAGCAGAAGCGAAUGUUAAUGAAAUAGAGAGCUCUGGAUUCUUCUACCAUGCUCUUGAAUUUUCAUCUUUGGCGCGAGUUUGACGUUUGUUCUAGAGUGGGCUAGUUACAUCGUUUUUAGUUUUUGGUCAGUACAAUUAAAAUUAAUCUAUUUUAUUUUUAUUUCUUAAUUUCACUUUUAUUCCUAAAAACACGUUGUUUUAAAAUAAAACAUUAUUUUUGUUUAUAAAUUAUUUUUAUGUGUAUAGGAAGUUAGGAACAAUAAAUAAAUAAAUAUAUUCACAAAAUUUGAAAGAUAAAAUAGAAAAAUAAUUUUAGUGUCAAUAAGUUAUAUUUCGCAUUGUCUAUGUAGUUAUUAUGAAGAGAAUUCAAGAAUCAAGGCUCAAAGUGGGGGAGAACUGUGUGAUGUUUGAUUUUUUUUUUCUUUCUUUUAAAAUCUAUCUUCCGAGCAAAAAUAUUGCAUAUUUCUCUUUUGGGUUGGGCCUACACUACCAAGAGACCACAAGUUGAUAAUGGAUUUUUCUACAAUGUCAUACUUAUUCAUAUAGUAGGGAAUUGAUUUUAUUCGAUGCAAAACUUAUCCAUUAGAGGGAGGGAAGGUAAUACUGCAUUCAAUGAGAAGCAAAGUCUUUUGUGUUGACUCCCCCUGACAUACUCCAUGAAUCCAUGAUGUUCAAAAAAUGUUCAAUUAGGGUUUAUUAAUUUUAGAUAGAAACUUUGAAAAAUAGUCAAAUUAGUCUGAAUUUAUAAGCGAGUUUGAUUUUAGUCCCACGAACAAAAUAUGAUGUAUAGUGACGGUCAUUUUUAUAAUUACUGACGGCUCUUGACCACCACUAAACAUCAUCUUUGCAAUGAUUGACUAAAAUCAAACUCACUUACAAAAGGUUUAAUUUGACAUUAACCCUUUUUAAAACAUAAUUACAUAUUUUUUUACGAAACCGACAUUUUAUUAGGUAUGAAAGCGAGGAAGGGAUUAUAGUUGUAUGAUAAACAAAUAUUCAAUACUUCAGUUAAAUCUAAAGACCAUAAUGAACAAAUUUCUUAUGACUUAAUAAUAUCUACUUGUACUUUAAAUAAAUUUUGAACUAAUAUUGCAGAGUUCUCAAUAAAGAGAAACUCUUUCAAAAAUAGGCGUAUGCCGUUUGAAGAGCCAUGCACACGGUAUUCUUUAGUAAAAGGCGAAAGAAUAGUUCGCUUUGUGCAUAACUCACGGCUGCGUGUUUAAAACAAUUAAAACUCGUUCAAUUUAUAGGACAAGCAGCUUACAACUACUUAUAAACAACCGAUGUGGGCUUUGGUCAGUAGCAUAGCACAUAACUCAGCAGCUUUGGCUUUCCCCAAUUCUCGAGUCUUGCUACCCUCCUCUCAUCCACUCAAUGCUCACUCUCUCUUUUUCAUGAAGCUUCCUCCCAUAGAGAAAGACCAAAACCUCUGCCUGGUUUACAGGUUCCAUAUCAAUGAUUUAGAGUUUACAAGCUGUUGUUGCCAAAUGAUUUCACCCUUCUUUAAGGACUGGUGGAAUUCAUUUUUAACGAUUACUACAUUAAAAGGUCACUUAUUUUUAUUGUUGUGUGUACCUGAGAAUUAGCUAGAUUUACCUGUUAGAAUUCAAAAUCACUAGUACUUCCUACAUUUCAUUAAAAAUCAAUAUGAACAAGCAUUGCCACAAAUUGACAUUAUACACAGUUAAUAACUUGACAUAUUGAAAAUUGCAACAAAUUGACAUUACACGGUUUUUGAACUUGAGUUUGUAAAUGCUGAGAAAUGAGAAUGGAUUUUCUUUGACGUGAGACUUUAGAGGGAAUGGAAUUUACAGUUGCCAAAUAAUCCUCCUUUUGUUGCCAUGAUAUUUUGCUGGAAUUGUAGAACUAUAGUAUUGGAUUUGGUAGGUUGAUUGAAGAACCUUGCUAAAGUUCACAAUGCUUAUAUUGGUGGAAAAUCAUGCCAGGAGAGUUUCAAGCAAAUUGAGACAUGAUAGCUUUGAAAUUGUAGAUUCCCAGGGGCAAGCUGGAGGUAUUUGCUGAAUUCUUUUGUUUGGAAUGCUGUUAGAGCUGCCUCUUCUCAGCUUCUUGACAUCUAAUUGCUGUGUAUGGGAAUCCUAACUUUGUUACUAGAAGAGUUGUGGGCCUCACUUGGAGCUGUUGCAUAAUGAGAUGAAUGGUCGUUCACUUGGUUACUAGAAGAUUUCAAUGAUACAUUACAUGGUUUUGAGUGAACUUUUAGUACCGACCCUGCUCAGAGAAUGAGAGUGUAGAGACUGAAUGUCAUUGAUAAUUGCUUAGCUCUUGAUCAUAGUCCUUAGUUGCUAGCUUCUUUUAAAACAACUGGGAAGUAGCUGGCCAUUACCCUUUGAAGAUGAUAGAAUGCGAGGUGACAUGAUUUUGUGAGGCAGGCUUAAAUUAUUUGGACCAAAAAUAUAAAAAUUGAACUGAUUUGGUGGGGUGUGCCAGGCCCUUGCAGCAGUGUAAGGCAUGGGCGACACUCGAAGGCCCAAGUAGCAAGCUACUUCAGUGGGCCCUUCCCCUUAAAAAAUUAAUUUAAUAUCGUGUGGACAUAUGGGCUCUUCACUUGUCACGCUAUUUAUAACUUGUAAUCAAGGGCUCUUCACUGAUGAGUUUCGAUGUGGGACUCAUAUAUGAACACUCAGCACUGCAGUUACUGACUAUCUAUCGAAGAAGGGCUCUUCGCUGAUGUUUUUUCUUAGAGUUUCAAUUCUGCUGCAGUCACUGUAGAUGUUGGUUGGUCCAGACCUGAUAAAUCAAGCUUUGGAUGGCUGGCACGGUCUCAUGAUGGCAAACUGAUGUGUGUUGCAUCUCCUUUGGAAGAUUGAAGAUUGGAACACAUUGUAGCUGAGGCUUUAGCCCUCAGAUGGUGUGUAUGUUCAUGGCUCAAGAGUUUAAUUUGGACAUUGCUCAACUCUCAUUGAGCUUCUAGUGUUGGACUGCAAGAAGUUAGCUGAAUCUUUUGUCAUAGUUACAUUCUCAUGUUUGAAGGAAAGCAAAUUGCCCCGCCCAUGUAUUUUCUUCUUUAGCUUUUGAUUUUGAACAUCCUAGGGGCUUUUGGUGGGAUGAUCCCCUUAAAGUUUUGAUUUAAGCCUUUGCCGAAAAAAGAACAAUGUCUUACAACGCUUCAGAUCACUUCGCUAAUUGUUGCUGGCACAGCAUAAAUAAGUUCUGCCAAAACAUCAAACAAAUAAUGUCUUUAUUUUAGUAGAUACUGAGAGACUGAGAGAUUGAUGAGGUUUAAACCAGUCUCGCACAAUACAAGCAUAGCUAAUCAGUUUGCCUUGUGUUAAUCUAUAGUGCUUAACACAAUAGGCUCGGUAGAGAGACUGUACCUGUACCCUCUAGCUACAUCUACUUGUAUAAUUGUAUUGGUUUUAGUCAUUUCUAAUGGGGUCUAGACCUCUCGUGGUGCCACCAGAAAAUGAGUAUGUUGUCACAGUCUUUUCAAAUCCAUCUGAAUUAAUAUUAUGGAAGUUUUAAAAAUGCUUGAUACUUCCCCUCGCUUAUGGUUGUAGUCCUUUUAGAUAUCAGUAUUACUAUUACUAUCUCAAACUACAGGACAAAACACAAAAGCUUUGCUUCUUGGGGGAAAAAUCAACAACAGAGGUUAGUAGGCAUGUUAGAUUAAUCUAGGGUAUAAACCCCAUGCUUAGUUGUAUUGCAUUACUUAGGGUAUAAACCCCAUUGUUCUAAUAUUGCAUAAUUGUUUUUGGCUUAGAUAUCUACAAAUCAACUACUGCUUUUUACCGAUUAUGAAUGAAAUAAAUAUUAAACUAAUAAAGCAUAAUUAUUUACCCUCCUACUUCAUCUACCUCAAGAUCUCAUUUCUUGAUUAGUAAGGUUGGUGAUUUCUAUCGCUGUCACGCUGUUUCGGUGAAAAUUGGGUAGAUUUACAUGUUUAAACUUUAAACUAUAACCACUUUAACGCAUUUCAAUAAAAUUACUUUAUAGAGUAUGGACAAGCUUUGCAACACAUUGACAUUAUGAAAAUGACUUCACUUUCUCCCUUUUUUUCCUUGCUACACUCUCUAAACCCUUUGCUAUUAAAAAGAAUAGACAAUACUGCAAAUUCCAAUUACUACCAUUUGAUUUCUUUUUCUUAAAACCUCUAUAUGGAUGGAAAUAGUUUUGCUACUUCACAAGGCUUAGUGAGUUAGAUUAUUUGUAACUCUAGUAAAUAUCAGUGCAAUUUCUUUCAAGUUGCUUUUCCACCUUUACUCAUUCUGAUAGGCAGAUUAGAAAUGCAACUUCCAAUGUGAGAGACUCAAGUCUAAUACCUUGCUAUUGGACCUUAGCAUAUGGCAUUUCAAAUUAAAUUCCACACAAGUCCCAUUCACUUGUUACUGCAAUCAUCAGCAGAGACAAUGUUGCAAUCUUCAAUUCUAGUGUUUGUACAUGAAUCUAUUAAGAAGGAAAAACAAUGGGAAUAAUUACAUAAUGUAAUGUAUACCAGUAUAAUUAGUCCUUGUAGUUGAAGUUUUUUCAGUAUAGAUGUCAUCAUUGGGAUAAAGGAUAAAAGUUUAACAAUGUUAAUUAGUUCGUGUUGAGAAUGUUUUUAAUCGUAAUUUUCAUGAGAACGUUUUUCCCUCAGUAGCCCAGAGAUCAAAACAUCAAAGCAAACAAUAGGGAUAAGACAUGAAGAAAUUUCUUCCACCUAAACCGAAUUAGCCAAGGUUUAACUCCCAGAGAAUAAUGAUUUAUCUCACUUAUAAUAAUUUUUCUCAAAUACCAUCAUCUGUUUAGUUUUUUAAAUAUAAUUUCCUAACCUAAGCAGAGUAUGCUAUUUGAGAAAAAGCACUACAUUAUACCCUUAAACGUCAAUUUGUUACCUAACUUUUAUAAUAGGUAAUGAAGGGCUCUUUGCUGAUAACAUUCAAUGUGGGACUCAUAUAUCAAUGGAUAACGAACCUUCAACAUUGGAGUUACUGACUAUCUAACGAAGAAUUAUACUUGGCUUCACUUAAAUUUUGUGUAUCACCAAGAAGACAUCAGAAGAAACCAGUAGCCACUAGCCAUUAUCAUGAAUUGGUUAUCUGGCAUCUCUAGAAAAACUAAUGCGACAAAAUGGAGAACUGGUCAUGUAAGAAUUGUAUUGAUAAUGUUGGCAUUGCAUUGAUAAAUUCAAUGACUUCUCAAAUAAGUGCAGCAUUUAGGUUUGAGGAUAGCACACCAGUGAUUGACGUGAAAUAGAAAGUAAAAUCUAAAUUAAGAAAAUUGAAGUAGUAAAAAGAGCACAGCCAAUUAGCACAGAUUUCCUCCAGCUUUUUUCAUGCUUGGCACAGAGCUUCAUCCCAUGAAAAUUGCCCAAAACCUCUGCCUUCUUCCUGGUUUACUGGUUCUUUAUCACUGAGAAAUCAAUGAUUCAGUGUUUCCAAGCUGUUGCUGCUAAAUGAUUUCACUUGGAUCCUUCUUGAAGCACUGAUGGAAGUCAUUUUUAAUAUCAGUGUAAUUUCAUUGAAGUUUCCUUUUCCCUUUACGCAUUCCGGUAGACACAUUAGAAAUGCAGAUUCCAGUGAAAUGACCAUUAGAAAUUCCACAUGUGAAGCUAUCAGUAAUUGUAGGAAGUGCUUUGGGGUCAAAACCAGGGUGAGGAAUCAUGUGACCCUUAAGAGUCUAUCAUUAAAAAUACAUAUUUCAUGGUGUUCAAGUUCAUUCCAAGAAACAUAUUUCAUUUAAUUCAUAGUUUUCCUCUACCAGCUGCUGCUUUACUAGUCUCUUCAAGAAAUCAUUUAUUAGGUUAAUUAACUAGCACUCAAUCACAUUUACUGCCUUCAAGCAAUCAUCUGACUAGAAGAAUGAAAUAGCUUAAGCAUGUCAAUGUUUAGACUAAUAUUGCAGAGUUCUCAGUAAAGAGAACUCUUCCAAAAAGAGGCGUAUGCCGUUUAGCGAGACAUGCACACGGUAUUCUUUAGUAAAAGGCGAAAGAAUAGUUCGCUUUGUGCAUAUCUCACGGCUGCAUGCUUCGACCCAAUGAAAACUCGUUUUAUUUAUAGGACAAGCAGCUUACAACUACUUAUAAAUAACCGAUGUGGGCUUUGGUUUGUUGCAUAGAGACACAACUUAAGCAGCAGCUUUGGCUUCCCAGUUCCCAGAGUCUAGAGUCUGGUCACUCACCUCUUUCAUCAACUCAAUGCUCACUCUCUUUCAUAUUUUGUAUCCCAUAAUUCAUCUAAUUUAUCUCCACAUAUGAGAUUAAAAGAGGAAAAAUUAAGUUGUCAUUGAAGCUUUCUCCCAUAGAAAGGGACCAAACCUCUGCCUGCUGGUUACAGGUUCUAUAUCACUAACAAAUUAAUGACUCAGACUUUCCAUCUUGUUGCUGCCAAAUGACUCAAAUUUGGUCCUUCUUGAAGUACUGAUGAAACACAUAUUUCAUGGUAUUCAUGCCCUUUACACAUGUGCUCCUAUACCAGCUGCUGAUUUUAUUCUAACAGGCUGAUUGAGUAUUGAUAGCUGUGAUAUCUUUAAAGUUUUGAGUAAUAAAAUUUCAUUUUCUUCCCUCUUUUCUAAUUCUUCUACUACAUGUAAUUUGUGUCUUUCAACUAAAUUGAGUUGGUUAUCUUUAAACUUGAUUUUUGUGAUAUAUGGGGUCAUUAUGUACAUGAGAUGGCAUACUGAAAGAAGUAUUUCCUGACCGUUGUAGAUGAUUGUUGCCGUUUCAGUUGUGUUUGCUUUUGAUUUUAAGUCCAAAUUAGAGUCUCUCACACCCAAUUUGGGGUUGUGAUCAAAUAUCUUAGAUCAAACAAAUAUUGGAAAGAAACAAUAUGCACUAUUGAAUUUCGUAUUCAUAAGAACCUUGGGUUAAUUAUACCACAAAAGCUAGUAUUACUGAAGUGGAACUCAAGUAUCAUUAUCAUGCUUUGCAAUUGGAUCCUAGCGCUUAUUCAGGCGUGGACAAACAUUUAUUGAAUGUUGACAUGGUUUGUUUUGUAGUCUCCUAAUUUGAAGUAAUAUAGAGCAAGAAACCAAACUAUAGCGUUUAACCAAACUAAUUGCUUGUGCUAUAUAUGUUGCCAUUUUGCAAUCAGGGAGAAACACUAAUUGAUGACCAGAGGGUGUAUUGAUGUUGUAUCCGAUCAAACACUAAUUGGCCAUUUCAUGCCAUGUACUUGUCGAUAUAUACCUUGGCCAAACAUUACAGCUUAUGACCCUUCUUUUCUUAGCUAAAUCUUAUCUUAUGGCCCUGCUCUAAUUAGUGAUUAAAACUCCAUUGAUGUUGAUGUUAGGGAAAAAAAUCUAUAAGCGGUGUGGGACUUCCAAUAGCAUAUUCCUAAAGAGCAAGUUCUCAAAGAGGCGCACCAGUACAAUGGCUUUAACCUCAAACGCACCAAUCUUUUUCUCUGGUAGAGACCCUUUUAAUAAUAAAAUAAGUAUAUUAUUAUAUAAAGUUGUCUAAAUUAUCCCAUGAGAUUAUUUAACUUCAUCAUAGUGGACUAAUUUUUAAGACUAAAAAGUUAAAUUCUUUUAAAUUAUAUUGGUCCAUUAGAAUUUCGCUAAACUAGACAACCUCAUAUUAUAUUUUAACCAUUAGGAUUGGGUCACAGUGGCUAACUUUUACAUGAGGUACUAACACUUUCAUGGCUAGAGAUGAGUUAGAGAAGAGAGAAGAAAAAAAGUUAGGGUAGAGAGACUACUUUCAUCCUUGUUUGGUUGUAGGAGAUAGGAGAAGAGAGGUUGAAUGGGUCAAACACCUUUUUGAGUAGCUUUCCUAAAUGAAGAGAAAUUGGGAGCGAAUGAGUUCUUGUGGUUUUUCACAACUGUAACUUUAGUGACGAUGUUAAAUUGAUUGCCUGAAAAUGGGUUUUCUUUUUUAAUUUGAAAGUGGGUUUUUGAUUGUCAUAAAUUUUUAAUAUGUAUAAAUAUUUUUUCUUUCACCUCAACAUCAUUAUUUCUCUUUUAUUUUUAUCGUUAUAAAUGACAUACAAAAUUUAGUUAUUUUUCAACUUUUUCUCUCUAUUCAUUUGUUUAUCUCUUCACCCAAAUAAAUCAUAAAUAUUGUUUGAGUCUCAUUGCCGCAGUAGUAGAAGUUAAAAUGACAAAACUCAUGUAUAUUUCGUACGUGCCUAGCAUGUGUUACUAGAGUUAUCUUGCUAAUCAUCCAAAUAUUUGAGUGGCUGAGGGAGGAAGGAAACAGAAGUGGGAAUUAAACAUCAAAACUUUAUAAGAAAGUUUGGAUAAUUGGAUUAGACAUAAAAUUGAACCGACCAGCACUUGCUAGUUGCUACUACCUAAUAAUGCAAUUGCCAAUAGAUAUAUCAUAUAUAAACCCUGGGAAUUUGCACGUGUCAUAGGCAAAGCAUUUUAGUGGCACACGUGUUUUGGCGUAGGGGUAACGGUUGAGCCAAUACGUGUUGGAGACACUAACAAGUAACAACGUUUUGUUUUGUGUAAAGUGACACUAGCAACACAAUAGGUUCAAGAAAAAGGGAAUUAUGGAUGUAAUUGCUAGUUGUAAUCGUUAACAUGGGUGCUUAUGGUUGUGUUUGGGUUUGUGAGCAGACAUUCAGCGGCCUCAGUGUGCAGUGGCAGAAGAAGAAAAAAUUUGAGGGAGCUAAAAGAAGAUUGCAAUAUAUAAACUAUAAUAUUUUGUAUUAUUAAUGCACAAAUGUUCAUAAAAAAAUAGUUCACAUAAUAUGGAUGUUGAAAAUUUAUUAUAAGUUAGGUUAAUAAUCUUGAAAAUUUACUUUUUCUUUUCAAUUUUUGGUUAUGGAUAUAUAUUUUACCGUUAAAUAACUUCCUUUUAUAAGUUUGGAACUCUAUAAGUUUUAAUAUUUGUGCAAGAUAACUAAGGCUAGCUGUUAAAAAUGAAAAAAAUGUAAGAAGGACUGUGCGUGGUUCCCAACCACUGAACCAGUGUCGUGUAUUGUUUAAUUUUAUACACAUUUUGUUAUAUAUAUAUAUAUAGUAUUAACUGAAUAUUUUUUUUACCCAAAUACUUUUUUAAAAUUUUUGAGGCAUGUCAUCAAGAAGGUCCGCCACUGCGUCAGUGGGAUGUGGCUUUUUAGUUCAUCUACGUGUAAGUUAUUUUAAAUAUGUAACGUGCAUGUAACGUGUGGUACUAAUUUUAUGUUUUUAAUUUAUUAAAACAUAUCAUGAGAGAUUGAUUUUUGUAAUUGUUUUUUAAAAAAUGAUAGGGCUUGUGAUGUGGCCCUGAUUGUGAUUCGUGGUUAGGUCUGUAAGGUGUCUUUGCCCAACACACCAACACUGCAAUCCCACUCUGAUACCUGUCAUCGUACUUUGCUCCAACAUCAACCCUUGGUCAUUCUCCAAACUACGUAAAUGCCCAAAUGUUGCAUAAAAAUUAAAAUACACUACCAAAAAGCAAUGGCUUUGCUGUAAUUUAGGGAAAAUGUCAAUGGCAGAUGUCUCAAAGAACAUCCUACAGCUUUAAUUGUUCCACGAGUUCUGUUUUGUAUUGAAAUUGAAAUAAACCGACCACUAGUCGAUCACCUCAAUUGUGUGGACAAAAGAAUUCUGGUUUAUAUGCAACCCCUCUCUUUCAACUCUCCCCACAUCAACAACAACAACACUCUUUGCUUCAACUCCAACCUCAAUCCACUACUCCCCCCCCCCCCACCAACAAAAAACACCCCUUUUUCCUCCACCCCCACCCAAACCCCACUCCCCCUCUAGGGCGGCAGGCCCCCCCCCCGCCACAACCUUAAACCCCUCCAGUCUUCUCCAAACCUCAACCCUUUUCCCUAAGCUAACCCCAACAUUGUUCUUCACCCCCUUAACCUUAAGAACUUCCCAUCACAGAACAGUCCUUCAAACCCGGAGAAGAAUCAGGGGCUUCACCGUGUGUAUCCUUACAGAGGGUCCAAAACCAGGCAUACAGAUCAAAACAGAGGAAGAAGAGGAACCACCUCCCAACAUAGUGAUUCCUCAAAUCAUGUCAGCACGUGUGGCAGAUUAAUUGGCAAGGAAAAAGUCAGAGAGGUUUCCUUCCCUUGUUGCAGCUGUUAUGUCUAGCCUUGGUGUCACUUCUAUGGCUAUCUUGGCAGUUUACUAUAGAUUCUCAUGGCAAAUGGAGGUAGCUACAAAAAAUCCUCUAAAUUUAUGCUCAUUUUCUUUAUGUAUCUAAGUAUUAUGACAUUAAUUUGUGUAUGAAUGUUGGAUUGGAUUGGUGUAUAGGGUGGACAAAUUCCUAUGUCUGAAAUGUUUGGCACAUUUGCCUUAUCAGUGGGAGCUGCAGUAAGUCCUGACCCUUUUCUCAAUUCAGCAUUGUGAAGCUCUUGAAUGUGAAAUUUGGUAACUUUGGGUGCUAAAUCCAACUGGGUAUGUCUGAUUUUCAGGUGGGCAUGGAGUUUUGGGCUAGAUGGGCUCACAAAGCUCUCUGGCAUGCUUCCUUGUGGCACAUGCAUGAAGUAUGCUUCCAAUUCAUCAAUUUCCCUUUUCUUCAAAAUUGAACCUUAUCAUCAAAUCAACCAAUUCAUUCAAUCAAAACAUGAAUUUGAAUCGUUUUGCAGUCACACCAUCGACCAAGAGAAGGACCGUUCGAGCUGAACGAUGUUUUUGCUAUAAUCAACGCUGUUCCUGCCAUUGCUCUUCUCUCCUAUGGUUUUUUUCACAAGGGAUUGGUUCCUGGACUCUGUUUUGGUGCUGUAAGUGUAUCUUUCAUAAUCUACUUUUUAAUCAAUUAAUCCCUUAAUUAACGGUUUCAUAGGGAUCUGUUAAUUGUAAUUAAGGAUUAAGAAUGAUAAUGAUUUGACUGUAAUGCCCCUGGUGAUUCUCUUUAUUGACAUCAUUAACUUCGAGCAGGGUCUAGGAAUCACAGUGUUUGGGAUCGCCUAUAUGUUUGUCCAUGAUGGAUUGGUCCAUAAGAGAUUCCCUGUGGGUCCCAUUGCCAACGUGCCCUACUUCAGAAGAGUUGCUUCUGCUCAUCAAGUAAUUGUUAUUUUAACCUUAAUCAAUUGCUUAAAUAAUAGUUUACUUUUGAUUAGUACUUGAUCAAUGUGGCGUGUACGUGUUUGUUUCUGUUUCUACUGGACUAGGAUUUGAUCUGAGAUUACUUUGAUUUUGUUGUCUGUUUUCAGCUACACCAUUCGGACAAAUUCAACGGGGUGCCAUAUGGGCUGUUUUUGGGACCAAUGGUGAGUCAUCACAUUCAUAUUUCUUCUCCUUAGGUUUGGUUUCAUUAAAAUAACCCUUUUAGAUGCUAAGUUAAUAUUUUAUUAUUGGUUAAGUGUUCAUGAAAAAACCUAGAUACAAAGUCAGUAGGUAGUCGCUAAGCAUUAGAAUUCUCAGCAAAUGAACACACUUCAUUAAGUAUGGAGGACCCUCUAUAUAGUCGAGGUCUCCCUAGAUUACAAAUGUAGAAAAUCAAACCAUUACAAAAUAAGAGGGAGAGAAUCAAGUGAUUAUAUUAAUAUGAAAAACAUAAUAAAGUGAGCUAAGAUUCUAGCGCAGUAUGAGUGACUUAGUCGGCCUAAUACCCUAGUAAGCCACAACCCUCCAAGACUUGGAGUCAAGCAAGUGUUGGCGACAAAGCCUUACAAUCCGGCCCAGAAGUGGUUUCAUCUUAGACCGCAUUUGGGUUAUGUUGUCAGCCUACGUAGUCCUAACUGUCUACUUCACUUGGUAUUUGUAAAUUUAAAAGAUUUUACUAGUAGUGGAAUGAAAUAGGACCUUAUAAUUUAUGAAAGUUUUUUGACAUAUUUUUUAUAAUUUAACAAAAUUUAAUUAUUAUUCUAAGAAUUCUAUUGACAUUUUUUAACUAUAUGUCGUAUUUAUUUAAAAAAACCAAUGAAGUUGUUUUUUGAAACUAAACCAAUAAAGUUAGAAGAAUUAAAAAAGAAUACUAACUUUCACUUUAUUGAAGUUUCUUCUGCAUAUAGUUUUGUUGAAAGUAGGUUGUCACAUUUAAAUUUCAUUGAAUUAUUGUGAGAUAAGAUGAGCGUGUGUGUGUUAGAUCUAAAUUUUUUAAUAAGCGUUGUUUAAGGUUUGGAUAUUUCUUGUGGUGCAGGAACUUGAAGAAGUAGGAGGGCUAGAAGAGCUAGAGAAGGAAAUAAGUAGGAGAAAAAAAUCAUAUACUGGUUCAUGAGAAACUGACUAGCAUUAAAUUUAAAGGUGUCUGAAAGAAUGUGUGUAGAGAACUAUACAACAAAUGAAUGAAAUGAUUUGAUUCUUUUUUGCGCUUACACAGUUUUUGAUCUUAAUUAUAUAGGGAUAUUUAGCUAACAGAACAACAGGUUCAAAACUAUGUAGAUCAACCGAUAUUGGUGGUGAUCUUUCAUUCUUCAUUUUUAUUUUUCCUUCGUACAAACAUGCUCACUCAUGUGGAUACAUUAAUGCCAUAUAAAGUCCCUAAACCCUCAGAAUUCAACCAAGAAUCCAAGUGACUUUUUAGUGGAGAUUUGUUUUUAAUCAGCGUUUUAUUCUUUAUGAAAAGUGAAAACAAUUAGGGAUGAGAACCGUCAGUUUCGGGCUCGUUUAGCCCAGCCCAAUCCGACCAAAACUGACAUGGGCACUGUGCACCCAUAUUCGGCCCAAAUAUUGGGAUCAAUUUGUUCAGGUGAGAUGGCCAUCAUAUGGGUUAGCACGGAUUGGGGCACCCAAAAUUUUUAGUCUUCAUAAUUUAUGAGUUUUGAUUAUAAAAAAUCUGUAAUUUUCAAUUGACUAUUAUCUUGGGCCACAUUAGCUGGUAUUUAAUAUUUUGCUUCAAUUUAGUUUCAAGUAAAAAAACUUGACAAUAUGUACUUAAAAUAAUGGGCUAACAUUUUGUAAAAAGCUCAAUUUCAUAGAAGGAAAACAUAUGCUGAAAUCCAACAUGCAAUAUACAAUUUAAAAGAAUAAGCAUCCACAUGUAUAUUUUCAUAUUUAAACCUUUCUCUAGUUAUUUUGAGUUUAUCAUGCUCUUCCAUUUUGAUAACAUUUGUAUUAAUUUCAUAAACAAGAAGUUCCAACAACAAUUCAAUCCAACAAACUAAGAAGAAAUUCCAUACUUUGCCUUUUAUUUCUAAUUGUCUAUGUUUACUUGGGUAUCUUGAAACUAACUAAUGUUCAGAAAAAGCAUUUAUAAAAAUGGAUAGGUUGAAGUAGCAUAUUUUCAGUGAUACAGUAGUAUUGAACACUCGAUACACCCCCUUCACAAAUAAAUAUUCUUUUUUUUAUUAAUGGUCUACUUAAUCUCCAAAGCGUAAGAGUGGUAAGGAAUCGCUCAAGCGGGCUAGCCCAUAGAGUGAUUACAGCUAAUUAAGAAGUAAGUCCCUAAAGGCAGUAUCGAUGCCAGCAGGUUCUAAGGGUGGAAGUAGGCUAGAUGACUCGUUACGAGCCCGCAACCUAACCCAUCAAAUAUCUGGUAUGAGCUGACCCAUGUAUUAAAAAAAGUUAGGCUUAAACUUUCUAAAAAGCUAGAUUAACUUAAAAGACUAAGCUCAAACUAUAAAAAAGUAUGUUUGACCUAAUAGACCAGCUUGCUAACGUAAUAUUAUCUGUAUUAAUAACAUAACAUAAAUAAAUAAAUGAAAAUGUGAUGAUACGUAGAAAGAUCAAUUAAUUCGCUAACUCACUAGUCUUUUUAACAUUAUAUUUUAUGUUAAAUAUGUUUUUAAACAUGCUAAUAGACUAGAUCAUGUCCUCUUAAAGGCUAGGUCAAACGUUAGAAUCAGACUUAUGAUACGCCACAAGCCAACCUUGGUUCAUCUCAUUAGAAUGAGGGUGAGAUUUAGGUUACUCAAAGCUCUUAUGACUUAGGCAUAAACUUGGGAAAAGAUCCACAUUCCAUAACACACUAGAUCAAAAACAAAAUCUCAACCGUCCACCGUACCCAAAAGAUCGCCCAAAAGAUCCCCGAUCCAACGGCCAAGACAAGCCCGACGAACCUCCAUUGAGGUAGGUCCCAAUCUCGACCAAGACGGGGCCACGUGUCCGCUGGAGACCAACCAAAGCCAAGAUGUGAUCGCAGGAAAAAGAAAAGUCAGAAAUAAUUUUAUUCUAGAGCCCCCUUUUGCCAUCAUCUGACGCGUGUCCCCCCGCCAUUCGUAAUUGACAUCGUUGUUGUUGUUGUUGUUGUUUCCUUUCUUCUCUCAUCAUAUGUUAUCAACCGGUUACUUCUUCUUCUCUCUCUCUCUGUCUUUCUCUGAACAUUGAUUUUCACUUUCGUUUCCUACACAACUACGUUUCCUCUAGAUCCAACUACUUCCGUUACCACUAUUCGCUUCUCCUUUGUUUUUCCUACCUCAAUCGCACUCUGUUAGGUCCAAACCCUCUUUUCUCUCUAUGCCAUUCCCCCAGGUUUGUUUUUAUUUUAUUCUUAUGAAUUUUGCUUUCAUGGCUAAUUGGAUCUGGUUUUCAAUUAUGUGCUGGAGUGAUUGAAUUUGGUGAAUUUUGAUGUUUUUAAUUCUGGAUUCAGUAGAUCUUGUUGUUUUUUUAAUGCUGGGGGUGGUUGGGUUUCACUUCAAUUCAGUUCAUUGCUUUCUUCUCAACAAUUCGGUAGAUCUAGUCACGGUUAUAAUGAUUCUGGUUCGUUUCAGAUUCUCUUUAGUUGCAAAACAAGUAGAAUUUAAAAAACCUGCAAAUCAAGCUCAUUGAAUCUAGCCAUCUAGGUAUAAUUGGCUUGAAUUUUUUUGGGGUAUUAUGUUCAGGCAAUAAUUCAUUGAGUUUAUGGAUGAUAUAAGUUGGUGAAGGACUUCAAUUUGAUUGUUAGGUGGCUGUGAUGUUGGUAGAUGGUUGACUUUCAAUGUAUUAGUUAAGGCUUAGUUAGUACUAUCUAAGUUGUAUGUUGGUUGAAGCAGUAUUGAUACGAUGUCGACAUAGUUAUGUGUUUGUGAUAUUGAUCUAAGUCUUAAUUUGGCUUAGUUAAAUUUUUAUCAUUAUCCUUUCUCAGGUUUAUAUGGCGUUUUUCCUCAUCCGUUUAGGGAAGUGUCUGUUUUUUUUAUCAGUUUAUGUAGCUAGGAAUAAUAUAGAUUAAAACGUGCAAACUGCAUAUGUAUAAUGUAUUAAUGUGUCUUUAUGCAAGACACUUUCAUCCCUCCCUGCACUGUUCAUUCAUCUAUACACUUGACUUGAGAACUUGAUGUACUGCUUUUACAUGCUAUCAACAUGAUUUAGUCAUGCUACUGUUUUCUUUCUUUCCUUUUUAAUCACUACUACUUUUAUGAAAAUAAUAUAGAAUUUAUCACUUCUAAUAUUUUAAUCAAACCUAUUUAAUGACUGAAACUUGGAAAUUAUUGGUUAUAAUUUGGUAUGAACAUUUGAAUUUCUCCAUAUCUUCUAUUUUCAUAAUUGUGGUUAUGUAUGUAUAUAUAUAUAUGAUAUAAUAUAUUUGGUAGUUUUAAUUGAAAUUUCGUUAGUGGUGAAAUUCUUUGGUUCCUGUAAUUGUUCAUUUGCAUGUUCCAUGGUGGCUUGUCUAGUCACAUAAACUCCUCCAUGCCCCGAUUUCUUUGUCCCCCUCACCCCCAUUACCUAGCUGUAAAUAAAUCUUGUCUCUUUAUUUUUGACACUUUCAGUUUCUGAUGGUUUUGCUGUAUUUUUGCUUAUACUGCAGUUGGGAAGGGUGUACUGGAAUCAGAGUGUAGCGGCCGGGUGCAGAUUUAUUGAUAGUCUCGUCGCUUUUCAAGGAUGGGUAAGUGCAAAGGUUGCGGGAAGUUAGGAAGAAUGAGUACAAGUUAUGGAUCUAAGAGUAUUUAUGAAUUUUCUUUGAUGCUGUCUCCUGUUGUUUCUUUUUGGGACUGUAUAGUUCGCAAAAUGAGGUACUCCUACAGACCUGAGUGGGUGUAGUGGUUUCAGAACGCGUCAUUAGUACUAGCCUUGAUACUUCAACCUUCCGAUCUGUGAAAUUAUAGAUAAAUGUAUACUGCUCUGAAGAAAAUCUCUUGAAGGAGGAUAGGAGUUUAUAAAAGUAAUUUUAAGUAUUUACAUUGGUAGUAAGUUCUAUGGAUAGCAUGGCAUGUAACAAGGGGCAACAAGUGAGAAAGACGAAGAAGAAGCAGGUGAAAGAUGAGUUGGAUCGUCUGAAACAGGCUGAAAAGAAAAAGAGGCGCUUGGAGAAAGCACUAUCUACUUCUGCUGCCAUCAUCUCUGAACUGGGGAAAAAGAAACAAAAGAAGAAAGAAGAACAACAGAGACUUGAUGAAGAGGGUGCUGCAAUUGCUGAAGCUGUUGCUCUGCAUGUCCUGCUCGGUGAAGACUCGGACGAGUCGUGUAACGUUGUCAUUAAUGAAGGUGGGUGCAAUUCGUGGAAUUAUAAUCAUGGUCUUGACUUCUUCAUGGGUGGAAAAAGAGCUUGCUUUCCUCAUCUAGAUGGCGGAACAUGGUCUGUCACUGCUGAAAAUGGCAACUGGUCUUUCUCAUCUGGGCCUUUCGAAUUUGAAAAGAAUGUGCAUGAGCCACUUUACGAAGAUGCCGGAUGGGGUUGUACGGGUUUAUCUGCUGAUCUGAUAGCAGCACAAGCAGCGAGAUCGCUCCAUAUUGCAGAGGACACCGAUGAAGAUAGGAUUCUCUUCUAAUUCUAAUACUGUUUUGUCUUUGAUGGUGACUUGAUGAAGUCUCUUGUUAUUUUACUUGAGUUUGUCAUCUGUAUAUAAUUAUAUAUCAUGAGUCAUGUGCUUGUCAAACACAUUCUGCUUCAGUUGUGAUUGAACACAUCAUGUUCUGUUCUGAUUUUUCUUUAUCUGUAUGCUGUCCUGCUAAUUUUUGUGUGUAGUGACUUUCAAACUCGAGCAUAUUUAUACUUUUUUGAGCUGAUUACCAAUAAUAUGAUUGAUCACCUCGUUAUUUAUAUUCUUGCAGUGUUGGCUCAUCAAUUACAUCUCAUAAACAUGUUGUUUGCCAAUGUUAUUAAUCCAAGUUUUUUUUUUUACUUGCUCCUGUCAAAGUUUACUCCUUGCAUGGCUCUCCCUGUAUGUGUCUGGAUACAAGUUGCUCUAAAAGGACUUUAAAUCGAACAAAAUCUCCAAGUAUUAUUUAACUUUUUCUCUUGAAAUUCAUGUGAGUGUGCUUUUAAUAAGCUGAGUUUGUUGCAUUUUCUGUGGUGAUGUGCCUUUGUAGAUUGAAAGAUCUUUCUAAAGAACAAGGAACUUUACAUCAUAUGUUGGAUUCUCACUUUUGGAACAUCUUUAGUUGGUCUUUGUGCUUUAAGCUAGCACACACAAUUGAUUAGACUUUUCCUAGUAAUUCACUAAAGAUGAAUACAGAUGUACAAUGUCAUGGUGGUGCUGCCACUUUCAAUUUGAAGUCAUUAAAAGCAAAACCCAAGUGUGUGAUGCACAUGUCAAGUACUAAUGAACAAAGCACUGAGAAUGCAAGUUGGGAAGGGCGGCUGAAAAUUUAUAACAAGACCACAUAUGAUGCUGCAUAAAUUGGGGAAAUCCAUGUGAAGACAAGAGCCAUGAUGGAUGUGUUAUUAAUUUAUGUGAAUGUGAUGUUAGCAGAUUCGUUAUUGUUGACUACACUAUCUUUUUGGUAAUGGAGUUCAUUGCUUCACGUCAUUUGAUUUCAUUUGAUUUUAAUUUUGAUUUUUAAUACAUUCAUACUCACAUUUUUAUUCGCUCUAUUUUCACUCACUGACUUUAUUUUCACACAUUGACUUUAAAUAUUUUUAUCUUCUUUUUUAUAUGGCAUGAUGAAGUUUAAUGUGAAUAUCAAUGAAUAGUUGAGAGCAAUAUCGAAAUUUCACCUACAUUGUGAACUGCAAACAUGUUCUUUUGUCCAAUCACUCUUCCACCACCUCCCACCACCCGUGCCACCACCACCUUCGGCAACCCAUCCCCCCACCUUAGCCAACCACCACAAAACACCUAUCAUUCACUAUCUUUGAAUUCGAUCUCAAAUUUUAUAGAACAACAGUGCGUGUCUUUCAAAUUGGUUAAGAUUUUUUGGAAACUUUUGAUUCAAAACGUGAACAAAAAGAAGCAAAGUACAAAUAUGAUAGCGAAGGCAAUACAGAACAGAGAGUGAGUAUGCCAUCAUCGCUCAACACCAUACUUUUAUGGCGCCACAAAGUGAAAGUUGAAUUUUUUUCAUACUUUUAACUUUGUAGCGGAUUUCCACAAAAGUAAGGUGUUGAAAGUCAUCACCUUUUUUUAGUGGUUUACCUAUUGCCACUGGUAGUCGAAUAUGAUUUACACCAUAUCCUUUGCGACGGAGGUGUAUGACUUUGUCUAAUGGUGGUUGAUGGUGAAUUGGUGAUUCUGUUGGCUGACGGAGAAGAAUGGUUGGUGCUGGAGACUGAGAGACUCAAAUAAAAAGGUAACUUUCUUAAUGUAUUGUGUAUUGAAUCCGAAGCAUUAAAUAUUUUAAUAAAAUAUCGUAUGAUUGUGUAACAUACCGUAUUUUAUGUGACUCAUUUUAGACAACACAGUGUGAUAAAAGUAGAUAGCAGCUAGGUUACAUAAGAAGUGUAUUUUUGAGUGGAGACAACACGCUUCCAUUGCCCCCACUUUCUUUAGAAUUGCACGCAUCUUAUUGUUGGCUGGAUGGAUGUUAUCAACUAAAGUCGCUAAAGGUAUCCCCACCCAUUUAAUUUAUGGGGUCACACUUCGUGACAAGAAUCUGAAUUUUAAUUUUAUAAAAAUACAAAAAAUUACUAUAUGAAAUGGAAGGAGGGAAGUUAAAUAUAGUGCAUAAUUUCUGUAGUCCAUUAUUUGGAACUUGUAGGUCCAUCAAUACUGCUAAUCACAACUCACAAGCACAUUUUAACAAAAAAAGGAAUAUCACAAUUCACAGCACAUUUUAGUAGUUUCUAUGUUUAGCAAGUCUCCUGAAAGUUCUAAAAGAAAACCAUUACAUAUCCUAUAUGACAGUCACAGAUUAUCUUCAUUCUUCAGCAACACAAAGUAUUGUAAUUGAAAUUAGAACUUUCAAAAUAUCAAUUAUAUUAUACAAUCAGACCUUAAACAAACCUACAGCUGAUCACAACUUUGACUGAUUCAGCUCUAGAACGAAUGAAGAGUAUUGCACAACAUAAAAGAAUAAAGUAUACAACAAUAGAUUUAAAGCAUCCCUCCAAUGCCAAGAAACAGGAUAUUCAAACAUUUGUAAGAAACUAUCAAUGAACCAGUGCAAUAUAAGGAGCCUAUAGCAGUCUUCCAUGAGUAAAUAUUCAUGGUUUUGAUGCAAUUUCUUUAAAAGACAAAAAAACUGAUCAACAAAAAAUUUGAAGCCUAGGUAAUGUUGUAAUAACUCUUUAGCCAUGUGAUUUUUGCUUUUUCAAUACUUCUGCAAGAACUGCUUAGGCUAUGUUUGGAUACUCGCUAGCGCCAUUGUUAACUCAAUCGAUAUCCAAACACAUACUUACAUUUGCAGCAUUUACCUAUCUCUAUCUGCCAUCAUUGGUCAUUAGCUGGUAAAACACAUCACUCCUANNNNNNNNNNNNNNNNNNNNNNNNNNNNNNNNNNNNNNNNNNNGAAGGAUCUUGGAGCUGAAGUGCAUGUUCCAAAUUCCACAAGACAUCACCCAUAGUUGGCCGGUCAACACUAUAUUGAGCCAAACAUUUCUCUGCUGUUUCGCCAAAUUUCNNNNNNNNNNNNNNNNNNNNNNNNNNNNNNNNNNNGCCCAUUCUGCUAAAUUCACCUGUUCCCUGGUGAGUUGCGGAUCAACAGCAGGUCUGCCACAUAGUACCUCAAAAAGCACAACCCCAAACGAAUAAACAUCCGAUUUAUCCGUAAGCUGCUGCCUCCGGUAAUACUCGGGAUCAAGAUAACCGAAACUGCCUUUCACACCGGUACUCACAUGUGUUUCAUUAAUGCACGGCCCAGAUCUUGAAAGACCGAAGUCAGCAACCUUGGCAACAUAAUCUUCAUCGAGCAAUAUGUUGGUUGAUUUAAUGUCACGGUGGAUGAUUCCCUGAGCAAAACCAGUGUGAAGAUAGUGGAGACCUCUAGCGGCACCAAUGCAUAUCUCUAGACGCUGCUUCCAAGAAAGAGGUGGCAGUUUUGCUGAGCCAUAUAGAUGCUUUUUCAGUGGACCUUUUUCAACAUACUCAUAGACAAGUAUCAUUUCUGAAUUUUCUUCACAAAAACCGACUAGUGAAACAAGGUGGCGAUGGCGAAUUUUGGAUAAAAUUGUUAUUUCCGAGUGGAAUUCUGGAAGGCCUUGUCUGGAACCAGGCAUGCCUCUCUUGACAGCAACCUUUACAUUGUCUUUGAGCACUCCCUUGUAGACCAUACCGAACCCACCCGACCCUAUAAUCAAACUCUUAUCAAAAUUGUUUGUUGCUGAUUGUAUUUCUGCAAAAGAGAACUUCAAGCCAAAAUGUCCAUGAGAACCAUGUUCAGAUGUUCUACUAAGUGAACUCCCUCCAAACAUUCGCAGAGGUGUCCAUCCAACACUUUCCACUGACCUUUGUUUCGGUUUCUUCUUCUUGCAUUUGUAAGCAAGUAAUAAAGCAGAUACAACAAAAAAUAAGACCAAAAUUCCUCCAAUAAUUGAACCCAACACCACCCUCAACUUUUUCCUUUUGUGCACAACUUUAGUACUAUCCACAUCAUUGACCAUCUUCAUUACCUCUGCACCAUUCAAUAUGGCAUUCAUCCUUAUAGUACUGCUCAGGUCAGAAGGACCAACACUUACUUCAAUAACACCCGAAUCAUCUGAAUUUGUAACGAAAUCCACAUAGACCGGUGAUGCAAGCUCAUGAAUCGUAAGGGUUGACAAAUCAAGAUCCUUAUAUGCACUGUACCUAUUGAUAUACACAUCAAAGUAGAGCAAGUUCAGAGAAGGACUAACAAUAUCACAGAAAUGCAACCUUAUCAAAUAUGGAACACCGCCAGGAGUCACAGGAAAGUUCCAUGUUAAGUUGAAUCUUGAAGCUAAGAUUGUGUUCUCCUUGUUCAUCUGCUGAGCAGUCAUGUAAACAUAUUCAGGCGCGAUCUCUCGAGUCGCGCCUCCCUUCUGAAAAUUCGGUAUGUGAGUGCUUACUGCAGCCUUAGCUGCAUCCUUAACAACCAGAUAAUCCUCAUCAGGAAUCCAAGUCCUCCAAAGGGUAUCAUUAAAAGGAGUUAUUUUCAAGCCUCCAACAUUAAUCCUAUGAACAGUUUCUAAAACCUGAGAUGAAAGGUUUCUAUACUCCUCCACUCCAGAAGGACCAAUAAACCUUGUUCCAUAAUCUAUGAUGAAAUCUACAGGAGCAGUAAACACCUCCAAAGCAUUGACAAAACCAAAACCUGAAUUACCAACAGGUCUAAACAAAAUUUCAAGCAGGUUUGAUUCUAUCUUCAAAAUAAACUCUUUAAGCAACACAUCAUUUGGUGGCCGGAAUUCACUCAGAACAGAAACCCCAUUAACCAAGACACUAAAUUUAGCAGAUUUCAGAUCAAAACUUGAAGCUUUAAAAGGGAAAAAGUGGAAACGCACCAAGUGAGUACCGUUUCUCUUCAUGCUGAAUCUGUAUUUCUCAGUGCUUGUGAACACUCUGGCUGUGUGGUACAAAACUGGCAAAUUUGGAGGUGAGUUUUGGUUAGUGAGAGAUAUGGAAUCAUCUGCAGAGAGAAAACUGGAACCUGGGUUGGUGGAAUCACUGAUGAAGACUCUGUUGAAGAAGGAAGCAUUGGUGUGUGAUCCACAGUUAAGAAGGAAGUUGUCAGAGGGAGUGAAUGGGGCAGAGAAAGGCAUGAAAAGGAGAAGCAUUAAAAUCAAUGGUGUACGCUUUUGAGACUCCAUGUGAGAAGAGCUUUUGGAUUCUUGAAGAGUGUGAGUAUCAGGGUGAGGAAAAUCCAUGUCAUGAGAAGGAAGAAGGUGCAGAAGUGUGAACAAUUACAAAGGUGAAACAGCAAACAAGACAACAUAGACAGAGAGACAGUGACUUGACUCAGAGUGGAGAUUUGGAAAGGAAAAUAUAAUAAUAUUGUAGUACAAACAUAAAUGGAUUUCGUUACUGAAGUCAAAGGAUUUGCACCUCCUUUUUCAUUUUGCUUUUAGUUGGUAAAUUUGUCUUGAAACUCAUCAUUUUUGGAUGUUUCACACAAAUCUACUAAGAGAGUUUUCCCCUGCCUCGAGUUUAAUAUAGAGUGAUUUUAUUUUAUGCAUGUUUGGUUUCGAUUAUAGCAUUACUAAACAUGAAUUAUUUGUUACUUUUAUUAGAUGUCGAUCAAGUCUAGAGGUAGAUCUAUUUGGAUUUUCCUAACACACUUCAUCAUUUUUUAAGAAAAAUCACUGUCAUUAAGAUUCAUUGAGUUAUAUAAGUAUGAGAUACAAGUUUUGAUUAAUAAAGUGUUGCUUUAGUAGUAAGCAAGUUAGACGUCUUAUAAAGAUGAGAGCAUACAUUUAAAUUCGUGAAAAAUAUUCAUUACAAGAGACAUGCAAUCGUUUUUCAAAUGAAUAACGAUAUCCGUUAAAAAUAAAAAAUAAACAAAUUCUCACAAUAAUUUUAACAAAUAGUAAAAAUGGAAGUGUUAGAUAGAAAAUGUUAAUGAGCACUAUUCCUUAUAAACACACUAUCCCUCACCAAAAAAAUUGUACAGAAAACUGUUUACACACUCUUUUUUAGGCCAGCAUCUUGUGUUUACAUCCCAAAGAACUGUUUGCAUAUCAUACUUAAUUAAUGGGCAUUUGACAAAAUUUCUCAGCUUAGGUAAGAAAUCAUGCACCUUUCAAUCUCAAAAUCAUAAAUUGGCAUCCACAUAUUGUUGGGUGUACGUCUCCCUCAACCCUUAUCUUUUGAUAUAUCAGAAUAUAUCCAUGCGAAUAAGUUUUAGUGAGUUCCAGUUAAAAAUUAAGGCGUAUGCAUCUGGUGCGUGCCAGCUUCCCAAGGUAGUGCCCUGUUAAUUUAUUCUUUGGGUAUGUGACUAUGUGCUGCAUCAUUUCAUGGAAAUUAAAUAUUUAUAAUUUUGUUGCCACAUGUCACAUGGCCUAGGCCAAUAAGUCAAUAACACUCUAAACAUAAUAAUUGUCUUUCUUUCCCUUAACCUUAAGCACAGUCUAUCACUCUAUCUUGUUAGCAAAAUGACUUUCUCUAUCUAUGGCGUUUGCGUAGUCUUCUACUGCCGGCCAUUAUGAUCCACCCGUUGGUUCAGAAUCCCUUUCUCCUCCUUCUCAUAUUUGGCAGCCUCAUGUGCCACUUAGAAAAAUGUUGCAUCAUAUGGGUGAAGGUAGUAUAGGUAUUUCACUGACAUUUAAAAGUUUUUAAAAUUUUAAAUACAACACCAUUUGUAGUAUUUUUGAAUGUGUACCCUCUUAUACUUUGGGCCAUAACAUCUCAUUCAUCACUAGAUCUUCGAUAAACCAAACCUCAUUCCAACCGUAGUUGCAACAUCUACCUCAACCAUCCACAAUGAACUUAACUUCAAAAAAGAAGAGAAACUAACCCUUUUUUAUAGAAUCUUGUUCGGCCUUAAAACUCAAUCACUCUCCUCACUUAGACCUAGCUCUUGGAAUUAACAAAUACAAGAUUAGAGAAGAGGGGAUGGAGCGGUGCACAACACGCACAAGGAGAGAAAAUGUUUCAUGGAAGGACACACACUUAGUGAAUUGGAUAGAGAGAGAGAGAGCUAGAGAGGAGUCCAAAGUUGAGGAGUCGAGCACAUGGUUUCACUACAGCUACAAGAAGUGGUCUCUCCUCAACUUCGAAGACAAAGAGUCCCAACGCUUAGUUGGUGAUACUCUGCCAUGACGAUGCGGUCGAGGGGAGAGGCCACAAUCUGGAAACAAUGCGGUGAGGGAGAAUGUCAUAAUUCAUUUUCUUUUAUUUUUCACUCAAUCUAAACAACUUAAAAAUAAACACUUUUCAUUUAUAUUCUUCUCUCUUAAACAUUUUCACUUGUAUAUAUGCUAAUUUUGACAUAUGCAUCCAAACAAGGCAUUACACUGCAUUUGGUAGCAAAGAGAGAAAGAGUAAAGAAAGAGUUCAAGAGGAAAUUGUAUGAAGUGAGUUCAAGAGAGGAAAGAGUUAUAGAAGUGAUAGCAUAUAAAGCUAUAAAGCGAGUACCAUUUAAUUGCAUGACUUCCCUUAAACAUGUGAAGACAUCUAACUCUUCUAACUUUAAUUUUUUCACAAUUCCAUUUUUUUUUUAAAUAACAAUUCCAAUUUUGUUUUCUCAUCAUACAUAUUUUAGAAAUUACACGCUUUUCAAUUAUACAAGCUACCACAGUUAUGUCGAUUUUUUUGUGUCUUUGUUUUUUUCAAUUGAUUAUAAAACGAGGAAUAGAAAAUUAUUAUUAAAACUGAUAUUAAAAUAUUUAAUAUAAUGUAUGUUCUUAAUAAAUAUAAUCUUAGAAAAAUUUAUCAUGUAUAUUGAUUUAGUAAAAGAAUUUAAUGGAUAUGCACUAUUUUACACUGACAUCAAAUUGAAUUCUACCAAAUAAGUAAAUAUGUUUUUAAUUGAAUGUCAGUGUAACUCUCUCUCAUAUUUUACAUUGACGGCGCAUAUCCAUUAAACUCUUAAACAAGAUACAAAAUCUAUUUUAUUUCACGUCUUUUUUUUCUCCUCUUAUCAUCUUUCAACUCUCUUUCUCUCAUAAACCAAACACAACAUAAUGGUUUCCUUGUUACAAUAAUUCCAGACAAGCAAGCAGCUUAAUUUCAUCUUUUCCAGAAACGCAACACUCUGAAUUCUGGCAUUUUCCUACACCCUUCAUUUUUCCCAAAUUGGGUUGAUAAGUGCCAAUUUUACCUAAUUUCGAUGAGUAAUUUAGGCAUUUAUCCUUAUGAAUUCAUGAUAAAUCUUGAUCAAAUCCUACUUCUUUUGAUUAGAACUUAUUGAUAGGUGAACGUUAGGCUAAGAUGUGCUUAAGUUUGAUUUUAAUCUCAACUUGUAUUGUAGGAUUGAAGAUUCAAGGAAGAGGGCAUGUUUUGGCAAGAAAAAUGGAUUUUGAAGAUGUACUGGGCGCGACAUCGCGGCGGUUUCGGUUCUUCUCAUUCUUCUUCUCUAUUUGUAAAGCUAUCCAUGAAAAUGGAUAGUUAAUCUCUCUUUUGUUGGGAUUUGAUGUAGUUGUAUGAUACUUAUGCUCUCUAUGUGAUUCUUUUCAAUAUAAAGCAUGUUUUUAGUUGUUGAUUUAGUGAUUUUCUCUUGAUCUUCAUGCUAUAUCUUAGAUUGAUCACCUAGGGUAUUUUGUUUGAUUCGACUUGUUAGCGAAAGCUACAACGUUUCGAGUCCGAACUAGUGUUAAUCACAUAAUAAUCCUAAUUGCUAGACAUAGUGUUAGGUUUGUUAGUCACUUAAACACCUAAACUUCAUGAUAAUUAUCUUUCCUAAUCAUGUGAGACAUCAAUGUUUAGGAUUAGAUAGUUAUUGUUAUCCACUUAUGCGAGACAUCAAUGAAGUAGGUUGAACUGGUGUAGAUGAAUCAUAUUCUUAGGCUUGGUUUGUAUUUGAAUCACUAGAACGCACAAAGGUCAUUCAAUGAAAUCUAAUCCCAACAAUUCCUCAUACCUGUUGUUUCUCAAUUAGUUUAUUUUCUUUUCAUUUACUUUCAUGUUCUUAAACAAACAAUCAAACUAUUGUGCAACCAUCAUUAGAGAUUCAAACGUAGAGUGGUAAAAAAAUCAUUAACAUGGGUUACAUUCAUGUUAUUAUGUAUGAACAAAAUAACCCCUUAUGGAUUUCAACUGCUAAAUAAGAAAUUGAAUAUAAUCAGAACCAAUCCGCAAAUACAAAGUCAGAAGUGAAAAAAUUCAAGUUUUUCGUUAAAGAAGGAGAUAAUGUAGACCCACUUCCAUUCCACUAUCUGCAUAAAUGGGUUAGUGCAUUCAUUCAUUGAUGUGGAGAAUCCUAUAUAGAUGCAAUGGUUUAACACUUAACAAUGACACAACACAUAAAAUUCAACAGUCAGAAAAUAUUGAAAGAAGAUUAUAAGCAAGGAAGCACGGGUACUUAAAAAAUGAAGAAGUACUAGUACAGGGUACGUACCCGGUACAGGUACGCGAUGGGUACACAUGGGUUUGUACCCCAUAUGUACCUAAAGUGAUAUCAAACAAAAAAAAAUGGGUACUUUCUGAGUAUGUUUUUGGUAUUCUUUGGAUACUCCAUAAGUGUUUUUUAUACUCUUUUGAGUACUUUGAGUUAUAAUUUCAGUUUCAUAAUGGAAGCUUAUCUCAAUACACAUACACAUUAGUGAUAAUCUUAAAUAUCUUCAAUGUUAAAAUGUUUNNNNNNNNNNNNNNNNNNNNNNNNNNNNNNNNNNNNNNNNNNNNNNNNNNNNNNNNNNNNNNNNNNNNNNNNNNNNNNNNNNNNNNNNNNNNNNNNNNNNNNNNNNNNNNNNNNNNNNNNNNNNNNNNNNNNNNNNNNNNNNNNNNNNNNNNNNNNNNNNNNNNNNNNNNNNNNNNNNNNNNNNNNNNNNNNNNNNNNNNNNNNNNNNNNNNNNNNNNNNNNNNNNNNNNNNNNNNNNNNNNNNNNNNNNNNNNNNNNNNNNNNNNNNNNNNNNNNNNNNNNNNNNNNNNNNNNNNNNNNNNNNNNNNNNNNNNNNNNNNNNNNNNNNNNNNNNNNNNNNNNNNNNNNNNNNNNNNNNNNNNNNNNNNNNNNNNNNNNNNNNNNNNNNNNNNNNNNNNNNNNNNNNNNNNNNNNNNNNNNNNNNNNNNNNNNNNNNNNNNNNNNNNNNNNNNNNNNNNNNNNNNNNNNNNNNNNNNNNNNNNNNNNNNNNNNNNNNNNNNNNNNNNNNNNNNNNNNNNNNNNNNNNNNNNNNNNNNNNNNNNNNNNNNNNNNNNNNNNNNNNNNNNNNNNNNNNNNNNNNNNNNNNNNNNNNNNNNNNNNNNNNNNNNNNNNNNNNNNNNNNNNNNNNNNNNNNNNNNNNNNNNNNNNNNNNNNNNNNNNNNNNNNNNNNNNNNNNNNNNNNNNNNNNNNNNNNNNNNNNNNNNNNNNNNNNNNNNNNNNNNNNNNNNNNNNNNNNNNNNNNNNNNNNNNNNNNNNNNNNNNNNNNNNNNNNNNNNNNNNNNNNNNNNNNNNNNNNNNNNNNNNNNNNNNNNNNNNNNNNNNNNNNNNNNNNNNNNNNNNNNNNNNNNNNNNNNNNNNNNNNNNNNNNNNNNNNNNNNNNNNNNNNNNNNNNNNNNNNNNNNNNNNNNNNNNNNNNNNNNNNNNNNNNNNNNNNNNNNNNNNNNNNNNNNNNNNNNNNNNNNNNNNNNNNNNNNNNNNNNNNNNNNNNNNNNNNNNNNNNGAGCGUAGUAGGCAGCCAUGUCGUCAUUCGGAGCACGAUUGCAGUGGUUCGGAAGCCCUAAGAGUAUUUCAUUUCUCUCUCACAAACUCCUCCGUUUUUUUGGUGAAAAUUGUUGUGCUUUUCAUUUUCUUGACAAUAUUGGGCUGGCCCAUUAGGGAGCUGGUCUUCCUUAUCUGGGCCUGGCCCACUGGGAGUUUUGCAGUGAAAUUAAUUUAACCUACUAAGUCUAGACUAUAGAUUGACCAAAAAAAAAUUCUAGACUAUUGCAAAGGAAAAAGAAAACUGAAUGAAGAGAAAAAUUGGAAGCAAGCAAUUUAUUUUUAUCUUUCUCUUUCAUGAACUUUACAAUUUAUAGUUAGGGUUCAACCCUUGGGGUGUGUAUGUGAGUUCAAUUUUGAGGAGAAGGAAAGGGAAGAUGGAUGCUUGUGAGUAGAGGCAGGCGGAGGAACAUGAGUGGGGCCCAUCGAUGUCACAAUCCUUUCUAUCUUUUAGAUUUUUAUCUUAAUAUUAUGUAUGUAUAUUUUUCUUAUGACCUUUGUAGUCAGCUUAAUAAAAUAGAAUCAAUACUAUGUAUUUUUUUUAUGGCCCACUUCCAAACACGUACACAAGGUUGCUCAAAUAAAUUUAUAAAUUUUUGUAAUUAGAACGUUAUUAUCGUCGCAUUGAUUCUUUUUUACAGUACUCGUUAUGGUAUGUUGGAGUGUUUUUACAUGUGCCCAUAUACCAAUACGUCUAUAAAAAAAAAAGGCAAACUUAAAAAUGUUGGUUGUGUUUUAAACAGCCGCCAUGCCCCCCACAAGUAGCCAAUAAGAUGAUGCUUAGUGUCUCAUGUCUUUGUUUUAAGUUUCAAAUUGUACUCCCUAGACUUCUAAAGUUCUACAUUUUACUCCCUAAACUAUUUCCAAUUUAAUAAAAUUGAAGAAAAAUCUUUCUGCUGCUGCAUCAACCUAAAAAUCCCUUUCUCCUGAAACUACCUAGAUCUUCAUCUUCUUCCUUUCUUCAGCCGUCCCUGUGGUUUCGGCCGCCGUCGUUCAUAAACGUGCCAGCGCUGUUUCUAAUCGUAGUUCAUGGGCAUCGUUAUCUGGUUCACUUCAAGAGUACACUCUGUCGCCGCUGUAGACCCCAAUUCUUUUUUCGUCCUUCAUCGUUUGCAUAAACCAUUUGAACCUUACUCCGCCACAAGCCUUUUUUAUCUGAUAAGAAGCACUUCCGCUGCAAGCCCCUUUUGGGGUUUUAAAAUUAUUCAGAUCUCUAUGAAAUUUCUACUUUGAGAUACAUGAAUUGAUAUUCUGGGUUCAAAUUGAUAUUUUCAUUCUUGGUUUCCAUUCAAUUGGUUGUUCAACAAUUCAGUCUAGCCAAUAUUUUCUGAUAACAAUUCACACGAAACAUGUUAGGCACAUGUGGGAAUUUAUGAUCACCUCUGCUAUACAGUUUCACUCAUGGAGGAUGGGAGAGGAAGAGCACGACAUCACAGACGAAGAUGAACACAGAGGAGAGGAGGAAGGAUUAGAUUAAUAUUUGCCCCAAAUCAACUUGAAAUGUUUAAAAUCAACUAAGGUUAAAAUCAAUUUGAAAAUAAUCAGAAAGUAAACAUUUUCUAAAAAAAAUUGUAUUUUUAACACAUAGUAAAACUUAUAAUAGAGAUAUUUAGAGGAUCAAUUUAAGAACUUUAUAAGUUAAAAUGACAUGGCACAUUUCCACACUUGGCAUUCACUAAUUGAGUAUAAGAGAAACAACAUUAUAACCCCUCUCACCAACCAAGUCAUACAUUAGAAUCACAACACUUCCCAACUACAAAAUGAAUGCUGAAUAUAUAGCAAAUAAAUAAAUAGGAAAAUCAAAAACUAAACAAUGAUAUUAAAUUGUUGGUCACUUAAACAAAUGAUAAAACUGAACAUAUAGAUAGUGUAUGUUUGUAUAUAUUCAAGUUGAUCUAAGAUGAAGGUAGCGUUUGAUAGACAAGUGAGAAUGGAACAUAACAUGAAAUAUGAGUUUCAUUUUGUGUUUGUCAUGUUUGCUUUUAAGAUGGAAUGAAACAAGGCAAAAGGUUUCAGGGAUGAGACACUUUAGUUCCCUGAAAAAUGAUGGAAUGGAAACACUCUCUUAAGAUUUUUACAUGGUAAAAAAUACCUCUAAUUUAUAUUUAAAAUCUUUUGUAUCAAAAUAGUCUAAAAUCACUUCUUAAAAUAAAAAGCAAUUAUUAUAUUCAUAGAUAAAGUUAAAUCCAUUUCUGCUUUAAAAAAAUCACUUAAAUAAGGAAAUAUAUCACUGUCGUUGGUCUCGUGCCUUUUAUAUUGCUCGUGCCAUAUAGCAGAGCUGAAAAAGUAUAUGUGCGUAUACAAAUAAUUAUCUCUUUUGCCAAUACAUUUUUUUUUCCCAGAUUGAUUGUAUGUUAUCAAUGGCGGAAACGAUUGAUAACUAAUGGAGUAGAUGAAUUAUUCAUAUGACACGUCUUAUUUCUCUUCACCAACUUUUUGGGUUUUAGUAUUAUGAAUGAUAAAAUCAUCCUCAUAUUAUGGAGAUCUAAUCAUACCAUAAUAUGUAGUAUAACUUAGAAUAAGCAGUACUCGAGUUCCAUGCUUGAAAUUUUCUAAUGUCAGUUUAAUACACGUUGAAGUAAACAAAUAUUUUGAUGUUUACUUAUGUCAAAUUACAUGUGCAUGACAUGUGUAUAAUUAAUUUGAUUCCAUCUAUAAUUCUGAAAAUUAUUAUAUAUAGAACAAAUUAAAAUGUACUCAAAAUUGAGCAUCCUCGUCAUUCAAAAAAAAAAAAAAAAUUGAGCAUCCUCAACCUACCUUAGUACUCACAAAACAAUGGAGGAGCAAACUCAGUUAAAGUCUGCUUUCCUUCCAUACCCGGUAACAAGUCACAUAAUCCCCCUGGUCGACAUGGCCAGGCUCUUCGCCCUCCACGGCGUAGACGUCACCAUAAUAGCCACCGCACACACCGCCACCACCUUCCAAAAAUCUAUCAACCUCGACUCCAGCCGCGGCCGCUCCCUGGAUCCGUCACUGUCUUCCACGAUCUCCGAGUUGAUUUCAUCGUCACCGACAUGUUCCAUCCUUGGACUGUAGAGGCCGCUGCUAAAUUGGGAAUUCCCAGGAUCAUGUUUCAUGCUGGAAGCUGCAUGGCUUGCUCUGCAGGGCACUCUGUUCAACAAAACACACCUCAUUUGAAUGUUAAAUCAGACACUGAAAAAUUCACCAUACCAGACUUGCCACACGAAUUGAAGAUGACAACUUUGCAGUUACCAGGAUGGAUGAGAACUUCGAAUCAGUACACCAAGUUGAUGAAGGAGAUUGAAGAAUCAGAGAAGAAGGGUUUCACAUUGCUUUUCAACAGCUUCUACGAGCUGGAGAACGAUUACCACGAGCAUUAUAAAAGAGCUAUAGGAACCAAAUGUCUGGGAUUAGGACCCGUUUCGUUGUGGGUUAACCAUGAUGACUCUGAAAAGGCUGCAAGAGGGCAUGAAAAAACAGAGGAAAGAGGAUGGUUGAAAUGGCUUUGUUCCAAACCAGAGGGCUCUGUUUUGUAUGUUAGUUUAGGGAGUUGAACAAGUUCCCUUACUCUCAGCUAGUUGAAAUGGCGCAAGCACUUGAAGAUUCAGGGCAUUGUUUCAUCUGGGUGGUUAGGAAAAACGACGAGGGUGGAAGAGGUGAUAGCUUUCUAGAAGAGUUUGAGAAGAGAAUGAAAGAUAGCAAUCAAGGUUUUUUGAUUUGGGGUUGGGCGCCACAGCUGCUGAUUCUGGAGAAUCCGACGAUGGGAGGAUUGGUAACUCAUGCCGGAUGGAACACGGUGGUGGAAAGUGUGAAUGCAGGGUUGCCGAUGGUGACAUGGCCUCUGUUUGCAGAGCAUUUUUUCAAUGAGAAGCUAGUGGUGGAUGUGUUGGGAAUUGGGGUGCCAGUGGGAGCGAAGGAAUGGAGAAACUGGAACGAGUUCGGGGAUGAGCUUGUGACAAGGGAUGAGAUCGGGAGGGCAAUUGCUUUGUUGAUGGAUGAUGGAGAGAAAAGUGCAGAAAUGAGGAACAGAGCAAGAGCGCUUAGCGAUGCAGCAAAGAGAGCAAUACAAGUUGGUGGAUCUUCUCACAACAAUAUUGUAGAGUUGAUUCAGGAGCUAAAGUCCCUCAAACUUUCCAAUAGUAUGCCAUGAAGUAAUGUAACGAAAAGGUGGUUGCAAUAAAGACCUGAAUGGGAAUUCUAUAACUUGAAUAUAAAGUUAUUGUUGCUCGGGAAAAAAAGGUUAGGGGUUGUCUAAGUAUCCAUGGAUAAAGUUUCCUUAAAUAAUAUGAGUUUAAUUUUAGUGCACGGAUAGUGCAAAGUUUUUUUACACCAUCAACCAAUCAAAUUUUAAAAAUUUGUCAUGUUAAUUAAUUUAAUUAAAUAAAAAUUGCAUCUUUCCCACAUUUACAAAUUCUGAUUGGUUGACAGUGUAAAAUUUUUUUAUAUUGAGUGCAUGAAACUUUUUCUCAAAUAAUAUUUGUUUUAGAUUGAUAAAUGAUAUGUAAGAUAUAUAUACAUAUGAAAAUGUAUAUGCAAAUUUUUAGUCCUAUAUUAUAUUAUGUUGAAUGUUAUUGGCUCACCAAUGAUUAUAUAGUGAUUUUUCUAAAACUUUGCUUAAGAUAUAUAGACAACCUCAAACUUUAGAUAUGUUGUUUGACAUUGGUGCAAAGUCAGCCUUUGAGGAGGCAUAAGUUUGCAAUGUUAGUUUAGGAUGUCAAGGAUCGACCACCUUUGCUGGGAUUGGAAUAUUUAUUUUAUUCUUAAUUUGAGAUAGGUUAAUGUUUGUGUGGAUUUCACGGUGAAGUACCUUUUUUUAUAAGCAAAGAAUAUAUUGAAUAAGCACAAGGGUGUUAACCUAUUACAAAAGGAAGAAGGAAAAGAACAGGAAAAAACAGAUUCAAAGUAUGAGCCAGGACUUUGAAACAGACCCCAGCCAAGUUACUGUAGCCCUAAAUCCAACCCUCAAUGUGAGACAAUACAUAGAAAAUCCCAUCCAAUGUAUCCCCCUUAAAAACACACGAAGAAAACGGGAGGAUUGAGAAAUGAAAUAGAAACAACAUGCAAUGAGGUUGAGGUGAGGUAGUAUCGUGAAUAAGGAUGCAUUCUUGUAAUAACACAGAGGCAAAUUCUUGUAAGAAUGCAUGUGGUGAUGACACAUAAUCGAAAAGCUUCAGGUAAACUAAGGUACACACAUCUUCUAACUUAAACCCUAAUUAGUUAGACUUCAUCCAAUCAUAUCUCUAUUUUCUUUUUCUUUCACAAUCUUGUCCUAUAUCUUAUUUGUUUUAUUGUCUCUAUUUUAGUCAACAGUUGAACCAGGUAACCGAACACCAUGUGAAUGCUGAAUUGCAAGCAAAGCCAUGAAAAACAAAACAAACUAUAUUAUACAACAAUUGAAUCACUGUCAUAAAAUGAUAACAAAUCUUCAGAUGAGAUCAUGAGAUGAGAUCAGCACUCGAGUUCCACGAUGGAAAAAAACAAUUGUCUGAUACAGUAUACAUUGGUUGACUAAACAUAGCUAGAGUAUGCACUCGAGUUCCUCGUGGGAAAUAAACAAUUAUAGUUUUAGUUAACUUUCUAUUAUUUGCUCGGGUUAGCGCCAAAACAUAUGAGAAAAACAGCGAAGAUGAACAUAAAUGUAUGCAAUUGGGGCACCUAGCCUCGUAGAUUUAAGGCAAUCUACCCUGAUAUGCAAAAACAGAGAAAGAACAACACAUAACCAAAUACAAAAUAUACUGGUUUUUCUCACCUCAACCUUGCCAAAACUCGAGUAGUAUCAUGGAGAAGCAAGCUGAGCUGAAGGCAAUAUUCCUUCCAUUUUUGUCAACAAGUCACAUAAUUCCCCUGGUGGACAUGGCCAGACUCUUCGCCCUUCACGGCGUAGAUGUCACCAUCAUCACCACCACACACAAUGCCACCAUGUUCCAGAAAUCCAUUGACCUUGAUUCCAGUCGCGGUCGCUCCAUCAGAACCCAUGUCGUUGAAUUCCCAGCUGACAAAGUGGGUCUUCCAGUGGGGAUUGAAUCAUUCAGUGUCAACACCCCUCGUGAGAUGAACCCCAAAAUCUACAUGGGCUUGGCAAUUCUGCAACCAGAAUUCGAGCGUCUCUUUCACGAUCUUCAAGCUGAUUUCAUUGUCACCGACAUGUUCCACCCUUGGUCUGUAGAUGCUGCUGCUAAGUUGGGAAUUCCCAGGAUCAUGUUUCAUGGUGCAAGCUACCUAGCUCGCUCUGCUGCGCAUUCUGUGGAACAGUACGCAUCCCAUUUGAAUGUGGAUUCAGACACCGAAAAAUUUACCUUACCUGACUUGCCGGACAAGUUGGAGAUGACACGUUUGCAGUUACCAGACUGGCUUAGAUCCCCAAAUCAAUACACAAUGUUGAUGAAGAUGAUUAAAGAAUCAGAGAAGAAGAGUUUUGGGUCAGUGUUCAACAGUUUCUAUGAAUUGGAGAGUGCUUAUUACGAGCAUUACAAGAGAGUCAUGGGAACCAGGAGUUGGGGAUUAGGACCAGUGUCUUUAUGGGUUAACCAAGAUGCUGAGGAUAAAGCUGCAAGAGGGUAUGCAAAGGAAGAAGAUGAGGAAGGAGGGUGUCUGAAAUGGCUCAGUUCCAAGCCAGAGGGCUCUGUUUUGUAUGUCAGUUUUGGGAGCAUGAAUAAGUUUCCUUAUUCUCAGCUUGUUGAAAUUGCGCACGCACUUGAAGGUUCAGGGCAUAAUUUCAUUUGGGUGGUUAGGAAAAAUGAUGAGGGUGGAGAAGAUGGUUGCUUUCUGGAAGAGUUUGAGAAGAGAGUGAGAGAAAGUAACAAAGGUUAUCUGAUUUGGGGUUGGGCACCACAGUUGUUGAUUCUGGAGAGUCCGAAGAUUGGAGGAUUGGUGGCUCACGCCGGUUGGAACACGGUGGUGGAAAGUGUAAAUGCAGGGUUGCCAAUGGUGACAUGGCCUCUAUUUGCAGAGCAUUUCUUCAAUGAGAAGCUGGUGGUGGAUGUGCUGAGAAUCGGGGUUCCUGUGGGAGCAAAGGAAUGGAGAAACUGGAACGAGUUUGGGAAUGAGGCAAUAACACGGGAAGAGAUUGGAAGGGCAAUUGCUUUGUUGAUGGAUGAUGGAAAGGAAGGUGCAGAAAUGAGGGAAAGAGCAAGAGCGCUCAGCGAUGCAGCAAAGAAAGCUGUGCAAGUUGGUGGAUCUUCUCACAACAAUAUUGUAGAGUUGAUUCAAGAACUCAAGUCCCUCACACUUUCCAAAAAUCUGCCAUAAAAUAGUGUGUUGUGUGUGCGUGCCAAAAAUGAUUUUGAAUAAAGUUCAAUUUAACUUCUUCACAUCAGUCAUAUAUACUUAUAAAAACAAAAUGCAUUUCAUUUGAGCAUAGUUCUCUCUUUAGCAAUUGCAUGUUUCUUUCUGAAUUCACGUUCAACGUGGCAAAUCCAAACACAGGCUAAGCAUUCUACUUUCAGAACACUGAAGGUAGUUCUGAUUCGGCGGAUGUGAAAAGCAAUUUAUUUUUGUUCUAGGACAAGAUUUUGGAGAUCCAUUCUCAUCCUUCACAUGUUUGGAAAAAAAUAAAUAAACAGAAAACAGUUUUCAGGGAGAAUCUUGGCUUCAGAUUGAAUUCAAAGUGUUUAUAGAAACACACCUAAUUUUCACAAAUGAAAGGUCGAAGAAAAUUCUAGAUAUAGACAGCACAGAAUGUGAAGGAAGCUACUAAUAUAAUGCUUCAGGAUUCAAUAAUUUCGAAUUGUAGAUAUCGCUAGCAAUAUUGACUGACUGGAAUUACAUUAAAUGCCACUAUGUCAUGGUGCAUGCACCUCAUGAAUUUAGUAUGCGGAGUAACUACCAACUAUAAUGCAUCCUGGUUAAAAUGACCAAGAGAGAAUAUCCAGGCUACCAGACUUUAGAUUUGAGCGAAAAUGGUCAAAAACUCAAAAUUCCACUUUCUUCUGGUAUCCAUAACACAUUCAGGCAUCAGCAAAUAAAUUUACAUGAUAAAUUUCAAAAGCCAACCUAAGCAACCACUACCUCAACAUCACUAUGCCGAGAAUCAAUUAGGGUUGAUUGAUUCAUUCAAAGAGUGCAAGUGUGCAACACCUGGACCAAUUUAAUGAAUACUCUCCCCGCUUCUUUAUAGGGGGAGGAAUCCACAAGGUCAAUCAAGGAGCAAUCACAGCACAGGUCGAUGCUUCAUCAUCACCUGGCUUGGAAGCAAAAUUUUCAGUGAUAAUUUAUGCUGCCACGGGACAUGGAUAAAAGUGUCAAUUGACAAACCAAUAGUCCUUUGCUUGAUCUCCAGAAUGGAAACAGAAAAAUCAGAACUAAAAAAACUCAGAAGCCAUAAUGUCAUAUAGCUAUCCAUUUAAAUAGGAAAUGUACCAGCGAACCAGACACAGCAAUUGUCACCAAUAAGUAUUAUUGGUUGACUUCACAUUGUUAUAUAUUAACAUGUUAUCCAGACCUGAGAGCAAGUAGAAAUAGUUAAAACCAACCACGGAGUCUGCAUAUUUUGGCAGCCAACAAUAGCAUAACAAUUUCAACACAAGAAAUAGCAGGCAAAAUCUACCACACUAGAAUAGUUCCUAAAGUGAACAGAUAUAGCACUAGACAAGAGGUGGGUAUUGCUUUGCCUGCUGCCGGACCCUUCUCUUAUACUCUGUUGCAUCCUGCACGAGAAAUUCUAAUGUGAGGACACAUCUUUAUAAUAAUAAGAAAAAAAACUGACACCCUCAACUAAUUGGCAAUAGAGCUCACCAUUACAUGACACAUACAUAACAUAACCAUUUAUCAGCACCUAUUCUUAUGGCACUAUGUUCACUGACCAAAGAUUUAACUUGCAUAAUGUUUGGUUGGAAGGGAAUUGAGGGGAGGGGAAGAGUUUCCUUUAAGUUAUCUUGUUUGGUUCAAUUGGUAAGAGAGAAGGGGAAUGAUAAAUGUUCUUUCUCAUGUUAGUUUCUUGAAUCUCGAUAAAAGUAAAAUUGUUUUAAAAUCUCUUCCUUCCCUUCGAGAAUCAAACAGCAAAAGGGUUACUCCCCCUCUAUUCCCCUUGACCAAAGAGGAUAAGAUUAAAAAUCCCUCCCCUCCCCUCCUUUGAACCAAACACACCCUUAAGAGCUAAGAUAUUAUUAACAUUUCUUACGGUACAGGAGACAUAUCUAGAAAAUUUAAAAGUAUAAUACAGCCACUACCCACUUUGCCUCGAUUAAUACUGUAAGUUGUUCUUUACUCUUUGAGAAGUAGGAUUUAUCAGGUUAGCUACCUGGAUGAAUAGAUGAUAGCCUUCUGUCUGGGCAGGGUCAGCAGGAUUUGGCUGAUCAAGCAGGUCUUGGAUGCCCACUAGAAUUUGCUUCACAGUUAUAGCUGGUCUCCACCCCUGAUAUUAGAAUGAUUUUCAAAAUCAGUACAUUCAGAAGCAAGUAACAAAAACAGUAUAAUAGUUGUUAACAGUAUAGCGAUUAUCAAAAGAACAACACUUACACUAUCCUCAUUAAGUAUGGACAAGCAAACAGUUCCAGAUGGAUAUACAUUAGGGUGGAAGAAACCCUGAGGGAACUUGCACUUUGGAGGCUUGCUAGGGUAGUCUUCACUGAAGUGCAUCGUCAGGGGGGAAUACCCAUUUUCCCAAUCAGUCUGCAGCCAACGAAUGAAACGCAGAGUAAUUACCAUCAAGAAGAUAUAACAACACCCACUAUUGAACAAGCAGCUCAUUCAUUCACACAUCCAAUCCAAGCCAUGAUCUCAGAAACCGGAAUCCACAAGCGGAAUAAUUAUCAUCAAAUCAAAUGACAAGUAAAUAACAACAGCGCCGAUUGUCCAAAAAAACUGCUCAUUCAUUUUGCAAACAUAAAGAACAUGAUUCAUUAACCUAAGCUUUCAAUGACAAGUUAAACAGUAUUACAGUACUUGUUUCCCUUAAUCUCCCUAUUGUUUCAUGGGUGUAUGGACCUAAUUCGAAGCAGAAGCUUUAAUUGCGCACAUCAGUAACAAUGAUUAGAAUUAAUCUAGGGUUAAAAGUUAACAUACAAGAUAAUUUAAUUCAAUUUUCUACAAAAUCAGGAUAAGCAACAACGCAAGUACGAAUCAAGAGGGAGAAUUAGGGCACAAUUGAAGAGAGAGAGAGAGCGAGGAAGAAGAACGAACCCCAGUUUUGCCAGGAAUAGUGCAAUGCCAGACCAUCAUAUUGACGGUGCCAUCAGGUUGCGUCUCGGGCUUGGCAACGAAACCCUAAAUUGAGAAACGAGAAGACGAUGGCAUAAAAGUGAAAACAAGAAAUUGAGAGGACGAAAGUGUAAAGUUAAAAAAAAGGGGGGAAGAGAUACUCACAUGGGGAUGGUUCUUCCGCCAUGACUUUCUCUCCUCGGCGAGGCGUCCACGAGCAAUACCACCAGACAUGGCUUUCUCUUCCAAAAAAAAUCAAUUUCUCACGAAGAAGAAGAAGAAGAAUAAUCGAUUUCUACAAUAUUCGAUUCGAUAAACAACAACACUGUGAAACCCUAAUGAAUAAGAUGAUUCCACUACCCUGAUUUUCUGCACCCUUUUUUUUUUUUCUCUAGAACCUUCUUUCUUAAUCUAAUAAAUGGAAAGUUGGAAACUAGCACUAACCACGGAUUCAAACAAACAAUGUCUUACUGUCAACGCGUGAGAAUCACGCCACCCACCCUCUCUCUGCCCACACUGUUUCACGUGAUCAAUGCUACUUUUUUUUUUGACGGUGACCAAUGGUCCUUUUCCUCAAAUAAAUAUUUUGAGUUUAAUGGAUAUGCACUGAUAGUGUCAAAUAGUUUUACACAGACAUCUAAUUGAAUUCCGCCAAAUCAGAAAAUAUCUUAUUCUUUUAAUUAAAAUUAAAGUCAAAUGUGAUUAUUUCUCCUAUGUGGCAUGCUUUGAUUAAAUGACUGUGUAAAACUAUUUUACACUGUCAGUGUAUAUCCAUUAAACUCAAAUAUUUUUUAGGAAAAUAUAUCAAAUCAAAUAAACUAUAAUAAACUUCUAAAUUUAAGUUACCAAAAAAAAUUCUAAAUGUAUGUGUAAUUUUUUGUGUCCACUAGGGUGGGCAACUUUCUUUUUGGUCCACCGAUGGACCAAAGAGAUUUUCAGUAAUUUCCAAACAUCAUCCCCAAUCCUUCCCUUUCUCCCCCCACUGCUGCCCCACCCUUCUCGUUUCCCCACUGCCACCUACCUUCCCUCAAUAAGCUGCAAACAUUAAUCUUUUCUAUCUCUUAAGUGUAAACCUCUUUCUCAAUACUUGUAAAUCAAAUAGUUUUCUUCCUCGGUUUUUCAUUUCAAUUCCAAUUCCACUUUUAAACUACUACAAACCCAAAUAAUAUAAUCAGGAUUUUCUUAACCUUCCCAAUCUCAUUGAACCUGAGAAAAUUUCACUGCUUUAUUUGCACAAGAGGAAUUUAACUUAAUCUGGAAAGGAGGAAAAAUCUGGAAGCAAACUAGGUGUUUCAGAUCUGCAAAAAGAGGAAUUUUUCAUAUCUACAAGGAGUGUCGGUGCCAUUUUUCUUCUUCUUCUACCUUACUUAUUACACCUUCCUCCUCCCGCAGAUCUCACGCGCCUGAGGGAGAGGAGGGCGGCGCUGGGGCGUGCGAGCAAGACAGAGGUUGGAGCGACCGGUGGUACACUUGGGUGGUGCGGGUCGCUGGUCACACGCGGGCACAAGUGGUUUUGGAACACCAGAUGGUGUGGCCAGUGAUGGAACUUGAAACCUCACCGCAGCUGGGAGAAGAAGAGCUGGUAAUAGGAGUGGAUGUAGGAAUUGUCAAAUUAUAUUUUUACCCUUUUUAUCAUCAACCAAUCCUAACCAUUCAAUGAAAAAAUAUUCUAAGAUUCUCAAAUCUAAUGGUUGUAAAUGAUGGUCCAUGGGUGGACCAAAAAAAAGGUUGCCCACCCUAGUGGGCACCGUAAUUUUUUUAGUUUAAUAAAGAUAGACAUCAAUUUUACCCAAUAAUUCAAUUGAGUUUCAAAUCUUUGCGGGUUUCGGCUGACCGAAAUGAUAUAAGAUGACGUAAUAAGCUUUGACUAAACCUAAAAGGAGACGUGCAAGCAACAAACAAGCUAGUCGUUGCAAUCAUUCUCAAAUAUUAUUGUUCCCUUUUAUGAGUAGGUAUUUCUGUUUUCCUCCUCAACACAAAAGUAAUCACUCAAUUCACUUUCCCUUUCUCAUAAUUGUAAUCGUGUGAUCAUUGCCCUGGUAAUAAUAAUAUACCACUUAUUCAAGAGGCCUUAGUUUUAUAAAGGAUUUCUCAGGUCUUAUAUAGACAUGUUCACUUGAAAAUUCUUUAAGAUAACUUUGUCAACUUUGUUCUUAGGAUUUUUUUACAAGUUAUUGAUUUUUUUUCCAGUGAUAUUCUUAUAACAAUAGGUCUUGUAAGAAAAUGAGAGUGCAAGAAAAUUGUUGAAGAAGGAGAGCACAUCACUCAUUUUUUUUUUUUAUUUAUGGGUGCAAACACGUUCAAAAAAGUACGACAACACCUCUAAACAUAUAACUGUUUUAGCAAUAAAACUUAUCUCAUUACUCAUACAUGAAUUCAGCUCACUUACCACUAGAUUCCUCAUUCAUGUAUGUGUUGUAAUUUUGUGAGAAAGCAUAAUAUAUUACGUAAUGAUUGUUUUUGCUAAAGUGUGAUAUUGUUUAUACAAGGUUUAUCUCUAUUUCUUUGAUUUAAUUGUAGAUUGUGAUAGCAGUUUAUAACUAAUUCAUAUUGUAAAAAAAACCAAUAAUCAUGAAAUAGUCUUGGCCUUUAGAUAUUUUAUUUUUGUUACACUUGAAAUAAAGCCCUUCAGACUAAUAAUACAAAAAAUCAUUUUAAAUAAGCGAGAAUGCAUAAUAAAGUCAUUUUUAAAUUUGUUUUUAUUCAAUGUAGCAUUCUUUUUUUUUUGUCAAAAUGUAGCAUUCAUCACACCAACAAGAACUAUAAGAAAGCACAAAGGCCAAUACUACAAUUCAGCUGAGCCCAACAUGAGAAAAUCACUAAACUUUUUAAAAAGGGGAACUUCUAUAAGGAAAAAAAAAUAACUUGCCUUACACAAUGCAGAUCAAAACCGUAGUAACCCAUGAAUUCGCUCGCCCAAUUGGGGGCGAUGAGGAUACAAGCGGCCCACAUUUUCUUUGAAGAAACUUAAAUAUUGGAGAUUACUUUUGAGUUUUUUUUUUUUUUUUUUUAAAUUCCUUCAAAGAAAAAUAUUGGAGAUUACUUUUGAGAUUAGACAAAAAAAAAAAAUCUUUUGAGUUUGCAUACACAGAUUACAUUAUCGUUAGUAAAACUUUAUUUGUAGUUUUGCACGGUUAUUCAAUUAAAUUCAGUCACAUUGAGAAAUGAAUUUUUAUUUAAAAUUAAAAUUUAAAAUACGUUAUUCUUCUUUUUAAAUGACAUGUGUGAUUAAUUAUCAAUUUAAAAUUGUUUUUAUUUCUGGUGUAUAUCUAUUAAACUCUUGCAUACACCAUAAACUAAUAUUUUUACAAGUUCAUUGUAGUGGUUAGAUACUUUAUACCCUUAAGCAAGUGAUCACUGUUUGAAAUGUCAGCGCGCUGUCGAUAAUAGGAAUCAAAAUAUUUUAAAAUAAAAUAAGUUAAUCAAGAAGGGCGCACUUUAGAUAAGAAAAUGUAAAAAUAUAAUUGUUUAUUUUGAACUUAAAAACAUCACAAUUUAUUGUAUAUGUUAGCAUAUUCAGGUGAAUAGUAUUGAUUUACUUACCUCCAUUUUUUAUUUCAUACAUCAAUUUAGUGACAUUUAUUUUUAUUUUUUUAUCGGGUUGUCUAAAUGACCUAUGAUAAAGUUUGGGUUAAAUAACUCAACAUCCAAUCACAUUGAAGAUAAAUGAGUUGUAAAUAAAUUAAUAAAUAAAAUAUAGAAAUUUCAACUCACCUAUCUCCAGUGUGAUUGGAUGAUGGGUUAUUUAACCCAAACUUUAUCAUGGGUCAUGGGUCAUUUAGACAACCACUUUUUUAUCACUCUAAAUAUCUACUAUCAUUGAAUAUCUAACAAAGUCUUGUCUACUGUCUAUCCUUCUCUAACCAUUCAUUCCUUUCACCUUCAUUAUUGCAUUUUCAGCAAUUGGGAAUCAGCCCUAAGUAACAAGUAGAUGCUAAGUUGAACACUCCAAUAACAAUUCCAUUCGUUUUUGUUUUGUUUUCUUCAGAUAAUCACUUUAAUAUUAUGAUUACCACCAAGUACAAAAAUGAUACUCACUUGUACUUCAACAAGGAGCGUAAUCGUUGCAGGUACUGAGUCCCCUUCAUAGUGAGCUACUUGUUCAAGAAGUUCCUAAUAUUCUACACAGGUUACUUAGAAACUAGAGUUCAAAUCAACAAGGAAAAGCGACUUUUGGUUUGUAAUUAGAUAUUUGGUCGCUACAUUGUUUGCUUACACAUUCUCUCUUAUCCAAACUCCAACCACCCCGGUACUCUUUCUCUUCCUGCUCUCCCCUCCCUGUCCUCAUUUGGUUCAGCAUAAACUACUCUUCACAAAUUAAACAAUGUGCAUAUUAGGAGUUAACUAAGCAAAUUACCAAACACAUAAUUACCUGGAGAUAAGUAAAACCAAAUUCAAAACCAAAAUAACUACUUCGCUCUCAUCGAAGACACUUAGUGCAAACAUCUAACAUAUAUAUAUCUCGAGAAAUGAAGAGAAAAGAGACAUGAUGAAUGUGAGGUAUGGUAAACAAUAGAGAUAGUGAGAACAUUGGGGUGUAUGUUGAACGUCUGCACUGUUUGAGUCUCAUAUGUAUUACAUGAGUGUACACUACUUGAAAGAUAAGUGAUAUGUGAUGUGACGAAAAAAAAUAGAGAUAGAGAGAAAAAAAUGUUUCAAAGAUGUAUCCAAUAUUUAGUGAUAUAACUAUCUUUAUAAACAUCAUUUUCAGUUCUAGAACGUGGAGUAGUUUUUUUUCCCCUUCAUGUUGCUUAUUCAAUUCUCCCUGUUGCAAUUCCCAUGCUUCUUUAAAUCAAACCUUCUUUCCCACCUCUCUCCCAAGCUAGGGAGGAAAGAAAGAAAGAGAUUCAAAAUUCCAUCAUUUCUUUUCUCCCCAACAUGAAGAAUGGUAACACAAAACUCAUCCUCCUCCACCCUUACAUCCAAAAGCAAGGAACCUCAAAUCGCUUAUGGCUUCUAGCUUUCAUUUCAUUCUUCACCCUUGCCUUCCUUGCCACCUUAAUCUACACAAGAGAGCCCACCUCUGCCAUCCCCGCCGCCGCCUCUGCCUCCUCCCCUGUUUCAGGUUUCAGCAGCACACCUUUACCCUCCAUUGUAAUCAACACUCUCCUCCACUAUGCCUCAAAAUCAAACGACACCUACCACAUGCCUUACUCAGAUAUCAAACCAAUCUCCGACGUGCUCAGAAAGUGCUCCACACCCUGCAAUUUCCUCAUCUUUGGCCUCACCCAAGAGACCCUCCUCUGGAAAGCCCUGAACCACAAUGGCAGAACCGUCUUCAUCGACGAAAACCGCUACUACGCCGCAUAUUUCGAAGAAAAGCACCCAGAGAUUGACGCCUAUGAUGUUCAGUACACCACCAAGAGAAGUGAGAUGAAGGAGCUCAUAGCCAUGGCAAAAGAACAGGUAAAAAAUGAGUGCAGGCCAGUGCAGAAUCUUCUGUUUUCAGAGUGCAGGCUUGGGCUCAAUGACCUUCCCAAUCAUGUAUAUGAGGUGGAUUGGGAUGUCAUCUUGGUGGAUGGACCCCGGGGUGACUGGCCUGAUGCUCCUGGCAGAAUGUCGGCGAUCUUCACCGCGGGCGUUCUCGCCAGGAGCAAGAAGGGUGGGAAUCCAAAGACACAUGUGUUUGUGCAUGACUUCUGUGGAAAAGUUGAGAAGACUUGUGGGAAUGAGUUUUUGUGCAAAGGGAAUUUAGUGGAGGCAACUGGGACUUUGGGACACUAUGUGCUUGAAAAAAUGGAUGAAAGUAGCGUUCAUUAUUGUAAGAAUCACUCAUCAUCUUCAGGAACUGCUUCAUCAUCUUAAUUACUAUCAGCUAGCUUUGUUAAAAAUCAUCCUAUUCCUGAUCAUAAUUGGUCUAUAGUCCAUCGGGGUAUUUAUGAUCCUUUUGAGUUUUGAUUGUUACAUUUGGUUACUUCUUGAGCUUGUAAAAAAUAAUUCUUUCAUUUGGUGGGACUGGAAAUUCUAGUUUCUUCAAUGUACCCAAGCUUCCAAAAUUUCAGAUGAGGAUUCUGAUUACAAAAUAGAAUAAGCUGGUGUAUUAGGUUGUAAAUUUGUAAUGCCAUGGAAAACAAUAUAGGAUAAGGUGUGCAUAUAUGGUACAAUAAUUUGUAAGUAUUCUUUUUUGAGAAAUUAAAUAAACCUUAAUUGUAAUGUGAACAUAUAAUACCGUCAGAUCAAGGAGUUGAAGUAGGUAUACACAAACUAACUGCACAACUUCAUAUACAUCAAUUUAGUGACAGAUACUGAUCAAGAAGAAAAUGGCGUGAGCGACUUUGAAAAAGGAGCUAUAUUUAAUUUGUCACUCUUAGGAGGCAGGUGUGAAUAUGAUUAUUAGUUAAUUGACUCUGCCCUCUCAGUAAUCUCCAUGAAUGUUUUAACUUUUAACCUCUUCCAUCUUGGAUUUGUUAAUUAAAUUAGGCUUAAAUAAGUUUUUCGUCCCUAAUAUUUACGAAAUGCUUGGCAUUGGUCCCUCGCCGGAGUAAAGGUGGGUUUUAGUCCCUAACCUUUGUCAAAAAGUUUGGUUUUGAUCUCUCCGGAGCUCUAGGUCAACGCCGGAGCUCCGGUGGCCCAUGUGGCAUGGCCACGUGGGAUUAGUGAGCUGACAUGGAAUUUGUUUUUCUUUUCAUUUAAAAAACCUAAUUAAUUUUUAAAAAAGAAAAUGUUUAAAAUUCUAAAAAAUAAAAAAAAUAACUUAAUUUAUUUAACUUUAAUCACUAAUCAAAUCUUUAAUUUUAGUCCUAAUUUUUUUAACUCUAAUCCUUCUUCAUCAUCUUCAACCAUCAUCCUCUGCUUAAAAAAGAUCACCUUCACCAUCUUCAUAAAGAAAAGAGAGAGUAAAAGCAAGAAAAUACAAACAACAACACACAGUUACAAGGAAGGAAAUAGCUAAAGGGUAAGGAUGAAAAAGAUCCAAUUACAAAAGCAACCACCCAAACAAGAUUCCCACACACAACCAGCAAACAAAUGCACAAUCCCUCCUGGCACCCAAACCAGAACUUAUCCCUCAGUAAGUGAAGCACACCCACAGUUUGCAACAAGCAAAACGAAAUAGAAUGGGAGUUCAAGCAAUUAAUCACAAGGAGAACAAAACCAUCAAAUUUAGAGAGAGGAAAGAAAAAGAGUGAGUGGUGGGGGAUCAGAACCAGCAAACCCAGAUUGUAACAGAAAACCCAAAUUGAAAUAGCAAACCCAGCAUUCCUAGAUGAAGAAAACCCAUAAACCCAAAUGAAGAUCCCAGAUGAAGAACCCAUCAAACCAUUUUAACCAGCAAACCUAGAAACCCAAGAACUACCAAAACCCCAACUUAGAAAACCCAGAUCGGGAGAGGUAGAGUGAAGAAAAAUGGCACCGAUUUCUUCAACAACCACAACCGAAAUUCAGAAAGAUGAACAUAUUUGAGGAAAAGGCUGGAGGAGGGUACUCGAACAUAUCUGCACUUUCAAUUCCAAAAUCCUAAUUUUCUCUCAUCUCCUAUUCAUUCCCCUUCCAUCCACCAUCGUCGUUUCUCAACAAUUAAUUACCCAUUCAAUCAUUGAGACCAAUAAUUACAGUUCAAGAACUCAAACUUUUUCUGAAGUAGUUCAAUACCCAUCUCUCAAUUUUUCGAAACCAAAUCGCCGUCACACAUGGAGAUGGAAGAUCGAGCCCCUGUCUGUCGAGGUUGUGCCCGUCGGGGUUGAGUUCGUGGUCGCUGGAGAGGAUGAUGAAUUGGAGGAAAGUUGGAGGCUUUUGGGGGUUAGAUCCAUUGGAGGUUGCAGGCUCUGACAGAGAAUGCUGAGAUGAAGAAGAUUCAAGAUUUGUGUUGAAUUUCCCAUUUUUAAUGUAUUUAUUUAAAUAAUAUAUGUAAUUAAUUAGGGAGGUUAAUUAGGCACAUUAAAUAUUGAGAUUUAAUUUUUUUUUAAUAUUUUAAAUGAAAAAUAAAAACUAAUUCCACGUCAGCUCACUAAUCCCACGUGGCCAUGCCACAUGGGCUACUGGAGCUCCGGCGUUGACCCAGAGCUCCGGAGGGACCAAAACCAAACAUUUUGACAAAGGUUAGGGAUUAAAACCCACAUUUACUCCGGCGAGGGACCAAUGCCAAGCAUUUCGUAAAGUUUGUAUUUUAUAAGUUUUUUUACUGUAAACUUACGACAACCCUAACUAUCGGUAUAUUUAAAUGAUUGUGUAAUCAACGACGGUCUAGGUUGUGCGUAACUUGACAAGUAAAAAAAAUGGGCAUCGAUUAUUGCAAUUGAAGCCGUCAAUAAUUUUUAAAAAAUUAAAAUUGUCGGCAGCUAAUAACUUGUUUGCUUUUGAAAAUUAUAUCAUGGAUUAUUAACGAUCAUCCCUAGCCUAUAACAAUUUAUAAGUAUCUUACAAAGAACCAAUAGAAACCUAUAAAUAGGUGUUCGCGAAACCUUAUACUAACAUAUCAAUAGAUAAUAUGUAACCUAUAAAUAAGCAUUUCCGACCCAAAUAUAUUCGAAAUGCAUGUAAUGAUCUGGGCUUAAAACAUAUCAAUAUUGGUCCUUCAGUCUGUUUAUAUAAGUGGGCUAGCUAUAUUGACAAAAAAAUAGGUUGGCGUUUCUUUUUUUAAUUUUUUUUCCAAUGGACCAAAAAGUUCAUAGUUGACUAAAAAAGAAGACAAGAUUGUAGAAAAAAUCUGGUUGACCAAAAGUAGAAGCAAAGAACAAAAAGCUAGCUGAUCUUUGUUAUUAAAUUAAUCGAUAAUUUUUUUAGAAUCAAUAUUUAAACAAAGAAUUAAUCAAUAAAUCUUCACAAAGUAUUUUGAAAAAAAAAUUCCACAAAGUGAAAUCUUAGGAGGCCGAGACUGAAUCUACAUAGCAAUUAACCUCAGCCCUAUACACUUAAGUGAAUAUGUCAUUUUUACCUAUCUUGUCUUAACUCAUAUAUAAUAAAACCUACUUUCCCAAUUUACCCUCAACUUCCCAAUUUCUUCGCAACUUCUCCCCACUCACAUAACCUCUCCGUUCUAUUUACAAAGUGUCUUCCAAACGCACCACCCCCUCCUUGGUCAGUGAUAGUGGGCCUUUAUAUGGUACGCGAAGUCGGUCUGUGAAUUUAUCUAACUCCCAUAAAAUUGAGGUUGGGUGUGCCCUCACAUAACCAAAUCAAUCAUACCAUCCAAUUUCUUGACAACCUAUUUCUUAUAGUAGGUCAACAGAGUCUAUGAAGAAAGUUAGGAAAAAGGGAAUUUUGUGUGAGAGAUCUUUCAACCUUGUCUGGUUUAUUCACAUGGAGAGAAGAGAUAUGUUCUAAAUGUGUGAUCCACUUACUUAUUCAUAACUCUUCAAUUUGAGCAGAAAGUUGAUGACUAUGGCUUAUUUCAUUUUUCCUUAUAUGCCCUUUAAUAUUGAGGUUAAAAAUCGAUAGAAAUGAUUUUGCUUACGGCUAAUAAAUUGUUUAUCUUAUAUGUCAUAUAAAAAUGACAUUUGAUAAAAAAUAAUUUUUUUUUGUCUCUCAGUUUAUCCUCUAAAUUUUUUAUCUUCUCUUUUUGUCAUAAUUCAUUUCAAACAACCUUCAAGUUAUUUUUCCUUAUAUGCCCUGUAUGUAUUUUUCUUUUUCUUUCUUCUCUCUCUUUCUCUCCUAAACCAUACAACGGGUUAAGUUUCAGGUGAUCUCUAAUGUGGACCACUUUUAAAAUAGUCUAAUUUUAGACCACUUUUUUUAAUCUGCUAUAACAGGUCAACACAUCUUUUUUUAAAGAAAUUUAAUAUAUGACAAAUUUUUAAUGAUAUUUUUUCUUUAAAAAAAUAAUGUGUUGACCUUCUAUACUCGGUCAAAGUAGGUGGUGUAAAAUUACACCACCUAAAAAUGGUGCAUAUUAAAUUCUCCCUAACUUUUAUCACUAGGAAAACUAUAUGUUAUGUUAUCAAAGCGUUUAUAACUUUUACUUCUAGUCUAGUACAUGCUCUGAAUUGAACUGGUAAGAAGAAUAUUUCUUUGUUUGCAAGCAUGUGGAGCUGGCAACCCGUGAUUUUGACAGAUUACAGCUUACCACCUGCAUUUUUUCUUCCGUCUUUGAAUUUCUCUUAGCAAAUCAAACAAAGCCCCUGUAUCUUCAUGUAAUUACCUUAAAACAUAGUAAGAAACACCACAGAAUCUCUGUGGUAUAAUUUUGUACACUUCUUCCAAACAUUUCCGUAGAAACUGGUUAUGAUCAGUUGGAGGAAUUUGGAAGCGAACAACAUUGUUUUAUUAUAGUGUAGAGAUAGUUGGCCACAUUCUAAAGGAACACCUAUUGUCAUUUCAUUUGAGUCCAUUGAGUUUGUAACUGAAGCAACCCACCAACCUGGUUGGUGACAUGAAAAUUCUCAUUGCUUUUUUGUUUUCUUUUUUCCGCAAUGUCAAACUGAAAAAGUCUCUUAUUAUUUGCAGCAAAUUAUUUAAUACACCACCACCAACACUUUUGCCGGUGACGCAUGAGUAACACCUGAUGAAUACUAUAUAUCACUGUCAUUGCAUUUGCAGCAAAAUGCAAAUAUAUAUAAGAACAGUUGAUAAUUUAAAUCACAUCUUGCGUUUGAAAUAGUCAUGGUUGAAGUUGGUGAUUUUAUAGAGAAACAAGUUUGAAUAAGGUCAAAUAGAGGCAAAAUUUACACAUCAAAAGGAAAAAGUAAAGCGUAUGAAAUAAUUUUUGGAUGUAAUGUACAAAUAUGGAAAACAAAAAGAGACACGACAUAAUUGCUUCAAUUUAGGCAUUUAACCGCUCUAGCUUAAUUGUAGGUAGCUUUACAAGAUUUUGACAGUUACUGUUUUUUUCUCCCCUCUCCUAAUUUUAGAAAAGCAUUACAAUUUACAUGAAUGUCGUGAAUUAGGAAAAGGAAAAAAAUAAAGGAAUUUCCAUUGUUAUGGUCAUUGAGAAAAAUAUGGGAAGUGAGUAAAAAGUGUAGGAGUAAAGUGCAAUUUUGGUGUGGCAUUACGAAUUAUAGCAAGAAAACAAAUUAUAAAAAAAUCAUUUAGUUACUUUUUGACUUCCUUUGACCUUAGGUCUAUCACCAUCUAUAUGUAAUUGGAGUUACCAAAAUGCUAAUAUUUGUAUCAUAUUUUAGUUGGAUUCGAGUUUAGUUCCGGUCACCAUCACGAAUUAAAUUACAUUUUUCGGUACACAAGUUACUUAUAGAUCACCCACCAAUACAAUUUUCACAAUGACGAAAAAAAUUGAACACACAAUACUUUAAGAGGAAGAGAUUCUUCAUUACUAAUACAAUACAACCGAGUUAAUAAGUAUUGAUGUAUCCUAUAUUAGCUAAGCUACAAGCUCCAGCUUAAUACUACUACUACUAGGCCAGUCUCUUUGUAAAACUUCAUUUUCUUCUGAAUUAAUUAUCCAAACUGAAAGUUGUUAGAACAAUUAAAAAGAGAAGAAGCAAAUUAGAUUAUCCUUAAACCCAAAGUAAUGUUAGAUGAUUAAAUCACAGCACCACCAAACCAACCAAAAUCCUUCCUUUCCCUUCAAAACGUUACAAACUUCAAUUCAAAAUUCAAAGCAAACUCAAUACAUAAACAAUAAAUACUACCUGCAUUUCAAUUCACAAACCUUACACACACACAGAUGAAGCUCUCGGCGUUGCAGCAGAGCUACCUCAACCGCCGCGCCAACAGCUUCAGAGGAGCACCGCAGUUAGAUGGUUCCGGCGACGGCGCCGUCAAGUCGCCGGCAACAAUAUUCUGGCUCGUCCUCCACGGCGUCUGCUGCCUCAUUAGUCUCGUCCUCCGCUUUCCCUUUCCACCGCCACUCAUCUUUUUCNNNNNNNNNNNNNNNNNNNNNNNNNNNNNCCACGUGACGGGCGUGGGGCUCGCGUUGAUGCUGGUGCCGUACGAUCGGGUGUGGAUCGUGGGGGAGGCCGGAGGAGUCACCAAUGAAACCGCUUCCAUUGUUGCCAAGUCUGGGCUCAGAACCAUCCACAUUGGCUUCCAUCAGAAGAUGCCUAUGCGUCUUCAAGCUUUGAGGUCAACUUUUAGUCAUCGAAAUUUCAAUAUCUAUCUGCUUUCACUAUUGAGUAUCAUUCUAGAUUUUCUAGUUAGUGCCUAAGACACAAUCACAAAAUCAGUGUUUUUUUGCUUUGAUGGUUGUCAUUGUCCUUACAUGUAAUGUUUUGUUAUAUGGUGGAACAGAAUUGUGAGGAAAGAGAAGCUGGAUGGAGUUGUGAUGUUUGCUGAUGAUAGUAAUAUGCAUAGUAUGGAGUUGUUUGAUGAGAUUCAGAGGGUGAAAUGGAUUGGUGCUGUUUCGGUUGGGAUACUUCUUCAUUCAGCUGAUGCGGGCGAGUCUUCGUCAGGGGAGGGGGAAGCUUCCCUGAUCCCUGUGCAAGGUCCUGCUUGUAAUGCUACGGAUAAGUUGGUUGGGUGGCACACUUUUAAUUCAUUGAGAUAUACGGGAAGAAGUGCGGUUUAUAUUGAUGACAGGGCGCCUGUGCUGCCCAGAAAGCUUGAGUGGUCUGGGUUUGUGUUGAAUUCCAGGUUGCUUUGGAAAGAUCUUGAUGAUAGACCAGAGUGGAUUAAGGAUCUUGAUGCGGUUGAUGAGGGGAUAGAGAGUCCACUGUCGUUGGUCAAGAGCACCUCUGCGGUAGAGCCACUUGGGAAUUGCGGACGCCAGGUUUUGCUUUGGUGGCUGCGGGUUGAAGCUCGCACUGAUAGCAAAUUCCCUGCUCGGUGAGUUCUCUCCUCUUGAUUUUAGAUAUUCAUUUAUGUUGCUCUAAGUUUCAUUUUCCAACUGAUUUAUAACCUUAGGAAUAGCUGCAUACUUGCAUUGAUACUUGGGCAUCAUGAGAAGUAGACUCAUGUUCUAGGAUGAUUCAUAGUUGUUCACAACAAAAGUCCUAACGAUAGAGCUUAGCUAGUUGGAUGCCCCGAUAGUAGUCGAAAUCAGGGAGGAGGUUGUAUAUCACAAAUCACUAAAUUGCAAUUUAAUCGUAAGAUUUAGCAGAUUUAGCUAUUCUUAAAUAUAUUAACGCAUAUAAAUUCUUAUAUGCAUAUAAAAUAGCAUAUAAAUUAAUAGAAAUGUCAUACAUAAGCACUAUAAAAUUUAGAAAGCAUAAAACAUAAACAUCCAGCUCAAGUUAGGAAAUUUGCGACAUUAAAAUAAAGAAUAGGGAGCUUCAAGCAGAGAAAAGGGAGGAAGAAGAGGCGUCGCAGGGCGUCGCCACCAGUGGCCGUCGUCGCUUCCUGUGGAGCCCUUGGUCGAAGUCGCCUCUGGUUCUGGAGGAGGUGAGACGCAAGUGACUCGUAAUGUCGUAUGAGAAGCUGUCUCAAACUCGUAAAAAUUUUAAGGUUUUUCUCACCUGGUUCCUGCACAAACAGGUCAAAACUCGUUAAAUUUUGAAUCUUCCUAAAUUGUAAAAUCUCAUCAAAUCUCAAUUUUGGUCCAAUUUAGCGAUUUCUGGGUGAUUUAUCAAGAAAGAGAUUUAGCAAGCGAUUUAAAUCGCUCAGGGGUUGCAGAUUGUAAAUAUUUACCAUUUAAAUCGUGAUUUUUCCUACCAUGGAUACGUGUGAUGAGACUUGCGAGAAUCAUGCAGAUAAUCAAACCAUCCUUAUGCAGCACUUGGUACACUCCUUAUUCCUUAUAGAGUUGAUAGACCGAGCGGAUAGCAGAGCUGAUUCAGUCGAUUGGGACCUAGCCACGCACCCCUAUUAAUUGUAAUAAAUGCCCAUUGUGGGGGCGAUAAAUCCAGCCGACCAGUAUAUCAACGUGAUAUAACAGUCCAAUAGUGUUCCAGCUUAAGAUGAUCCAGCUAAGAUGAAGCACCAGCUAAGAUGAUCCAGUCCAAACUGAGAAAAGAAGAAGCUAAGAAAGCAAACUGCUGCAAAAUUGAGGCAGAAUCGUUCUAGAUAUCGUAUACUAGUAUAUUACUAUAGUUGUUAACCAUCUAGUAAUAUUUUUGUGCUGGCUGAGAAACUGAAAGACUCAAUGGCAGUGGCUACUAAGUGUGCUUCCCUUCCCUUUUGUGAAUAUUCGCCUUAUAUAGAUGGAUGAGGGAGGGUUCCCACUUCCCAUUGCAUGCAAGGUUACUGGGUGUAAGUGUUGAAACUCAAAACUGCAAUGCAGGGUUGAGGGAGGGUUCCCACUUCCCAUUGCAUGCAUUUUGGUUGUAUGAUUAUCUGGAGUAUGUUGGGGUGUAGAUUGCAAGCUUUUCAAGUCAUCUGGAUCUGUCUGAACUGAAAGUACCAAAAUUAUCACUAGGAUGUUGGAGACUUGGAGUACUAGAGAGCUACACUCUAUAAUUUCAGCCUGCUUAAUCAAUAUAAAUUGAUUUAAUGAUUGAAUUGAUACUAGGAACACCACUAGCACCAAACUGCAGAAAAAAUGAAUUCCUUUCAGUCCUUGUAUUAUGUAUGAAAUCAAUAGUAAUAAACUAAUAAUCAUGAAUUAACUCUUAGUAGUAAGCUUGUGCAAUAGCUCCCUACCAGAGGUGCCUUUAUUUCCCUAAAUUGGUGAUUUCAUUUCCCAUUAAAUGCCAGCAAUUAAAUGACAUAUCCAUGUAAGUUUCUGCCCUUAGAUGGACCUCUAGAUGAAAGGCCACAUAACGCCAAAUAGAACAACAUGCUGGUGAAGUUAAGUGGAAAUUUGUUGGACGUUGGUUAGUUACUAAUAGAUCAUAGACUUGAGCCAGAUCAUCCCAAUUCCCAAGGGUUGUUAUGAAUGUUUGGAUUAGAAUCUUUGCAUCCUUAUCCUAAAAUAGUGCAUGGAUUUAUGUAUUCUCUAAACUUGUUUAUUGCCAUAUUUUCUGCUCAUAACACUGACUUUAUGAUGCUAUUCCAUGCAGAUGGAUCAUUGAUCCUCCUUUGGACAUCACCGUCCCAUCAAAACGCACUCCAUGGCCAGAUGCUCCUCCUGAGCUCCCAUCGAAUGAAAAAGUGUUCACCGGCACAGAAGAGCAGACGAACAAGCACACUACAAAGAUCAAAACAACCAGAUCCCGACGCAGUAAAAGUAAGAGAAAGCAUGAGACCAAAGUGAUUGGUGUGCAAGUCUCUACACAUUCUGAACAAAACUGAGAUGGGAAUUUGCACAUCUGAGGAAUUUAUUGCCUUGUGUAUACAAAACUGUUGGCCUUUCGCAACAAGAAUUUGGACUUUGAUCAAAUGAAGAAGCUGAUAUCUUACUGAAGAUGCGUAAUUUUUAUGGUUGCCAGCACAUGUGCAUUAGAGUAUGAGAUUUCACCCAUUUUUUCUUUUUACAAUUUUUUCUUCUUUAUGUUGGGGGUGCCAUAUACCCGUUCGCUUGAGAGAUUGAAAGGUAAUGUGAUCUUAGUUUUGCAGCAGUUGCUUGCUGCCUUGCAGGAAGUGUAUUCAAUUUUAUUCCAUGUUAAUAGAUAUUCUUCUCAAUAGUUAUACAUCUUUGAUUCUUUCACACGCAGAUUUUCGUUACUUGUAGAGAGGUAUAUAGUAAUAAAAAACUAAGUCCAGAGGUUCUGGAUCCUACGAAACAAUCCCAAGCAAGUACUAUCCACAACAACGAUAAAUAAAUUUCACGUCUUCUUUUUUUCUUUUGCCCAAAGAGAUACACAAGGUAAAAGAACAACAAAGUAGUCCCUGGCCCAACCACCCUACAUUGUUCUGUUCAGACUUCAGAGUAUGAUCCCUGUGUUUGACAAAAAAAAAACGAGUAUGAUCCCUGUGCUUCGGGCACACAAGAACUGUGUGCAGGAUCAGUGCCAUGUGAUGAAACGACUGAUUGGAGCAAUAGUAUUUUCUUGUCUUCAAUUUCUAACACUUUAUUCUCUUGACAGCUAGCUUGUAUCAACUCAAGAAAAAAUUAUUCCAAAACUUCUUACACAUUAGUUGAAACCGCUAGAAAUGUGUAUUUGAGCCACCUAUUUUUCUCUCUUCUCCUAUAUUGGACAACCUAUAAAUUUAUUCUUUUUACACAUUUCUCUCUCUUCUCUCUCAUAAACCAAAGCGUAAAGAGAGGUGAUAUUAGUUCUCUCAUAACUAGUGUUUUUUACCCAUGCGUUGCACGGCGAUUAAAUUUAUUUGAAAGAUGAAUCAGUAGAAAUAAGUUUUAACUUAGUUUAGACUCUUUUUAGUAUGUAAAAAAAAUAUGGAACCGAACAUAUGAUACAAACAUGUUGAUGAAUGAACAACAUUAAAUAUAUUAAUUUGAUGAGGUUGUAUAAACCUCACACUGUCAACACUUGAAUAGUAAUAAGAACAAAGUUUUUAAGGAAUGCAUUCCAUUGAAAUUGAAAUAAGAUAAACAUAACAAUGACAACGACAUGAACGCUUAUUAGAAGUUGUAGUCCAUGAUUAAUGAUAAAAACUCCAUAACCGAUCUUAUUGUCAAUCAAGUAAAUUUGAGCUAUAGAACCUACAAAGACAACAAAUUAUAUAAGAGUAAUAAUAAUUAACCAANNNNNNNNNNNNNNNNNNNNNNNNNNNNNNNNNNNNNNNNNNNNNNNNNNNNNNNNNNNNNNNNNNNNNNNNNNNNNNNNNNNNNNNNNNNNNNNNNNNNNNNNNNNNNNNNNNNNNNNNNNNNNNNNNNNNNNNNNNNNNNNNNNNNNNNNNNNNNNNNNNNNNNNNNNNNNNNNNNNNNNNNNNNNNNNNNNNNNNNNNNNNNNNNNNNNNNNNNNNNNNNNNNNNNNNNNNNNNNNNNNNNNNNNNNNNNNNNNNNNNNNNNNNNNNNNNNNNNNNNNNNNNNNNNNNNNNNNNNNNNNNNNNNNNNNNNNNNNNNNNNNNNNNNNNNNNNNNNNNNNNNNNNNNNNNNNNNNNNNNNNNNNNNNNNNNNNNNNNNNNNNNNNNNNNNNNNNNNNNNNNNNNNNNNNNNNNNNNNNNNNNNNNNNNNNNNNNNNNNNNNNNNNNNNNNNNNNNNNNNNNNNNNNNNNNNNNNNNNNNNNNNNNNNNNNNNNNNNNNNNNNNNNNNNNNNNNNNNNNNNNNNNNNNNNNNNNNNNNNNNNNNNNNNNNNNNNNNNNNNNNNNNNNNNNNNNNNNNNNNNNNNNNNNNNNNNNNNNNNNNNNNNNNNNNNNNNNNNNNNNNNNNNNNNNNNNNNNNNNNNNNNNNNNNNNNNNNNNNNNNNNNNNNNNNNNNNNNNNNNNNNNNNNNNNNNNNNNNNNNNNNNNNNNNNNNNNNNNNNNNNNNNNNNNNNNNNNNNNNNNNNNNNNNNNNNNNNNNNNNNNNNNNNNNNNNNNNNNNNNNNNNNNNNNNNNNNNNNNNNNNNNNNNNNNNNNNNNNNNNNNNNNNNNNNNNNNNNNNNNNNNNNNNNNNNNNNNNNNNNNNNNNNNNNNNNNNNNNNNNNNNNNNNNNNNNNNNNNNNNNNNNNNNNNNNNNNNNNNNNNNNNNNNNNNNNNNNNNNNNNNNNNNNNNNNNNNNNNNNNNNNNNNNNNNNNNNNNNNNNNNNNNNNNNNNNNNNNNNNNAACCUUCCUCUUUUCUAAAGUAUAUAGAUUUAAAACAUAUCUUUGGUUCCAUGUUUGUAACUAUUGAAAUUAAUUAUCCAUAUUCAUAAUUAAUUUUUUGAAUAUUUGGAGGGUUCCUUCUACCAUUGAUUUUAGCUCAAAAUUCUUGAAUGAGAUAAAAAUCUCAGUUUUUUGGGUUCUUCUUUUAUGGAGACUGGUUGUUAUAACAACACUGUUGAUCCCAAUAAUGCAUCAAUAGAUCAAAAACAAAAUAGACUUAAUACAAAUUCAUGAGCUUGAUUAAUAUGGAUACCAUAAGAGAUGAUAGAUUAGAAGCGAAGAUAUUCUCAUUGUUGUAUACUAGGGUUGGGUUAGAAACACUUUGAUUUAGGGUUGGGUUAGAAACACUUUGAUUUAGUUUGGUUUCCUAGGUUCACUGCGUGAACAACCACAAACAUAAUUUAUUGUGAAAUUUUACAAUUAAAUUCCACAACGUUCUCCCACAAAAAUAUGUUUCUCAUAAAUGUAUAUAUAUUUAAAUCAUUAAUUCAUUUGUUAAGUAACUUUUUUAUCUAAAUAAAUUUUACCAAAAUUAAUUAUAUCUAUAACCAAUUUUAACAACUAAUGCAAAGACAAAUUAAGUUGCCAAUAUGUAGUAGCCUACUAGAGACUUUUUUACGGGAAAGUCAAGAAAAAACAAGAAAAUGGGCAUAUUCAAUUAAGAUGCUAGUUAAUUAGCGAAAUAAAGGUAUUGUCAACGUUGGCAUGAAUAGAUAUCAUAUUUAUUUUUGCUUCAUAAAAGGGGUCCUGGACUCUCAUCCCCGUGCCCUUCUCAUUGCUGAGAAGGUGUUUGGGAAGUUUGCAUUAUUGUUGCAAUUAAAGCAUGUGUUUUGUGAAGCCAACGCGGUGGUAGAUUUGUUUGCUAAGGAUGGGUUGAGUCAAUAUGAAGCUUUGAAGGUUUUUGAGCAGCUCUUUGUUUAGUUCCUCUUAGCUUUGAUUCCUGUAACGCUCUCUUUGAGGGAAUAGUUUCUUUUCUUAUUAUGCCCUGCAUGGAAUAAAAAAAAAGACAUCAAUAAUCAUAUUCACGCUUUAGCUGCUAAAGAAAAUAUUUGAUUGUGCUAAAAAAGAAAAAGUCACACGUCUAAAUAUACACUAAUUAGAAUAGGAAGUACACAAAGACUUGAGCAUCAAAGAAACAUGUUAGAAGUUUUGGAGCUGAGUUUAUCUGUUGCACGAAUAAUUUUGUUCAAUUUACUUGAAAGGAAUUUUAGCUGUAAAUGUGUGAAUACAACAAGUAUUAGUUUGAAGUCUCAUAUUGAUUAAGAAUAAAUAAGUUCAAGAUUUAAGACAAUAUAAGAGACAUAAUUUACAUUUUAAGUAAAGAUUUAGUGUUCAACUCUCGUUUAAGUGCGGUUGAAGUCUUGAAGACUUGUGUUGUUUUUUUUUUUUUUUUUGUCAAAAGAGAAAAGUUUCAUUCAUAGAGGCGGGCCAGACCCAGAAUAAAGCAAGGGAUAAAGCCCCAUCCAAUCAGGCAAUCAGCUAAUCUGCAAUUGCUUAAAGGAUAUGACAAAAAGUCUUUGAUAAAAAUUGACAAAAAAAAAAUAGGGGACAAUAAGACAAAGCUAGCUUAGUUGUCUCGGACAAAGCAAAUGAGAUAUACACAUUUCACUUUCUCUUCUAUCUCAUUUUCACAUAUUUUUCUUUUAAUCCCUCUUCAUUUUUUGUAACAUCACAAAUCAUAUAAUUAAUUUCUCUCUUAUUUUUAUCUAAUCUUACAAAGUGGAGGUGAAAUUAGUAUGUCAACGAAACAUUAUUCUUGUUUUAUCUACUAAUCCCACUAAAGCCGUCGUUCAAUAAUGUUAGCCAAAUUUUCAUUUCUUUCACCUUUUACCUUUUCCCUGUCCCCCACACAUACAUCCUUCUUCAAGCUAAUAAUUUAGCCUUGGCCUUUAGUCUAUUUAAUUUAUUUACUUUGUUUUCUAUAAUUUACCAAAUUAACAUUUUUAAACAAUAACCCAUCACUUUUAAACAAAGAAUAAGUUUUUUUGAAAUCUAAGAAUAAGUUGAUUGAACUGCAAAUGGAUGAACCUAACCCAUAAUCCAAUCUUGUUCCGUACGCACUUUUGACUAUAAAUAUCUUGCCUCCAAGCUCCCAUUUCAACUUGAAGCACCCACUUCGCCAUUGCAACAAUUUCUCUGCUCCUUUACCUUUCAAGGUACUCUUCUUCUCUGUCUCACGCUUUCGUUUUUUUUUUUUAAUUAUAUUUUACAAUCUACUUUGUGCAAUGCCAGGGAAAGUACACCAAAUGAUUAUUAGUUUAGUUUUAAUUUUUUUUUUUUUUUGAAAAUGAAAGAUAUAUUAAUAAUAAGAAAGCCCGAGCUAGCGAAGCAAACCAGGCACAGUACAUUUACAUGCCGCUGAGAAACAACAACCCACCACCAACCCGCAAAAUGGCAAAAGCGUAGUCCCAAGAAAGAGCUUCAUUAAAACCUUACUAUGAAAAACCCAUUGGGAUAAAAACCUAGCAAGGAAAAAGAGUACCACAAUCUUGGGACAGCCAUUUUGCAUCAAGAUACAAUAAGAAUCAGCCCCUCCAAUCAUGAAAAAAUUCCUGGAGUUCAAAGAGAAAAAAAUUGGAAAGUACACUGUUCAAAAGAAUUUUUUAGGCUAAAAAGCAUUUUUGACUCAUGAUGUUUUAAGUUUGUGCAAAUUCAGCCCCUACUCUAUUUUUGUCGACAUUUCUACCGCGCCUCCUUUUUUCAAUUUCACUUGUAAUUUCCACGUGCUAGGUCCAAAAAAUAUUUAAAAAAAAGUCAAAUCAGCUCAUUUCGUUAGUUUUUUAACGUCUGACUGACGGGGGGUAGACGGUGCACUGUUUGAAAACCUGAGGGGGGGGGGUCAAAAGUGCUUUUUAGCCAAUUUUUUAUUGAGAUAUUUAAAAAUUGACAACGUUGCUCACGUGAAAGUGAGUUUUGAAUUAAAAUGUCUCAUUAAUUAGAAUAACAACUUUACUUUAUUAAAUAACUUGGUGGAUGGGGGAAAUGAAUGGAUUUUCAGGGUGAAGGGUCAGGGUUCAAACCCUGGCGAAGAAACUAAUUUACUAAUAAUUAAGAACUAAAAUUUGCCUAUAAAAAAAUAACAGGGUGGGUAGAAACGAAUAAGAUCAAGAGGUAAACCCCAUGAGCCACAAUAAUUUUAAACAUUUAUUUCCUUAAUUUUAAAUAGUGAUCACUAUUAAACCAUUUAUUUCCUUCCAAAGUUAGAAUAUAUUCGUUGCUUUCUUUAUGUUUAGAGAUGACAACGGGUCGGGUUGGUUUUGUCUACCCAAACCCAAACUCCUAUAUCCAAACCCAAGUUUUGAGUGUACCCAAUCCGUUGCAAUCUCAAAUUCACGUUAUAAUCUGGCUCGAUGUAGAGAAUUUAUUUGCAAAAUAAAACGCAGCUUAUAUUAUUUUGUUGCAGAUAAAAUAUUUAUAUCAAAUUUUGCAAAAAGACAUAAGACUUUAAUGUUUACAUAUGAUCGAAUUUUUAACAAAUUAAGACACAGAACCCAUUAAAUUUUGUAUAUAAAAAAUAAAAUAAACCAAUACUCAGCCAAAAUACCAUAAUAUUAAUAUAUAUAUAUAUAUAUAUUUAUGGUUACAAACUCUUAUAUCCAACAUAACUAUAGAGGAUUUCACCCGUCAAAUUGGGUCGGGUUCAAGCGGGUACCCUAAGAUGCGGGUUUCAUUGUCAUCCCUAUUUAUGUCUAUAUAAUAGUUGUAGCUUUUGCAAUUGAAUCAAGCAAAAAAAACCAAUAAAGGUGUUCACGUUCAGUAAUAUUGUUCCUCUCUUCCAUUUCCAUUUUUUCUUCUAGCAGUCUCCAGAAGAAGAAGAAAAUGGAAGUUGUAUUCAACACAGAGCUCUUAAGGGGAAAUGGUGAACAUCUGCAAGAUGAAGAAGCUAGCUCCCCACUAUCUGAUUGGGUGAUCUCCAUCAAGGGAAAACUAGACAAGGCAUGUCAAGAUGACGGAGCAAGUUCAUGGGACAAUUUAUCAAUCUACAAAGUCCCUCAAUACCUUAGAAAUAGUACUGGCGAUGAUAAAGCUUAUGUACCCCAGAUUGUGUCAUUAGGUCCUUACCACCAUGGCAAAGAGCACCUUCGCCAAAUGGAACGCCAUAAAUGGCGCUCCCUUAACCAUGUCCUCAGGCGAACAGGACACGACAUUAGACUCUAUCUCAAUUCCAUGAAAGAGAUAGAAGAUAAAGUCCGCUCCUUCUACGAGGGACCAAUCACUUUAAACAGCAAUGAGUUCGUGGAAAUGUUGGUCCUUGAUGGUUGUUUUGUGUUGGAGGUUUUCAGAGGAUAUUCAUUGGGGUUCGUAGAACUCGGGUAUUUAUCGAACGAUCCUGUUUUCGCAUGGCGUGCAUCAAUAUUCUCCAUAAGCAAAGACUUGAUCAUGCUAGAAAACCAGCUUCCACUUUUCGUACUAGAUCGGAUUCUGGGACUUCAACUUGAUAACCCAGACCAGAAAGGACGCGUUGCUGGUCUAGCUCUCGAGUUAUUCGAUUGGUUAAAGCCAGAAACAGGAACAAUGAGUAAUGAUCAUCCAACAGAAACACAAACAAUAUUGAGUAAUGAUGAUUUAGAUGGUCUUCAUUGCUUGGAUGUCUUCAGGAGAAGUCUCCUACACACAGGACCAAGACCUCAACCAACACCCAAAGAACCACAAACAAUGAGUAAUGAUCCUCCUUCAGAAACUCAAACAAUGAGUAAUGAUGAUUUAGGUGGUUUUCAUUGCUUGGAUGUGUUCAAGAGAAGUCUCUUGCGCCCAGGACCUCAACCAACACCCAGAGAACCACAAACAAUGAGUGAUGAUGAUUUAGGUGGUCUUCAUUGCUUGAAUGUGUUCAGGAGAAGUCUCUUGCGCCCAGGACCUCAACCAACACCCAGUGAAGGGAUCCAACGCUGGUCAAAUCGGCAGCAGACGAUACCUUGUGUCACAGAGCUUAAAGAGGCUGGAAUCAAAUUCAAGAAAGGGAAGACAUAUCGCUUCUUGGAUAUAAAAUUUGAGAGAGGCACCCUGCAAAUACCGCGGCUCUUGGUCCAUGAAGGCACCAAGACUUUGUUCCUCAACCUCAUUGCCUUUGAGCAGUGUCAUCUUGACUGCGGCAGUGACAUCACAAACUAUGCCUUCUUUAUGGACUACUUGAUCAACUCUCCAGAGGAUGUGGGGUACCUUAUUGACCGUGGGAUAAUCGAGCACUGGCUUGGCAAUGAUCUAGAAGUUGCAAACCUUUUUAAUGGCCUAUGCCAAGAGGUUUCGUAUGACAUUGAAGAUAAUUACCUUUCCACAAUUUUAGGUGCUGUGAAUCUGUAUUAUGAGCGUAGAUGGAACAAGUGGUAUGCAAACUUGAGACAGAACUACUUCAGCAAUCCUUGGACAAUUAUCUCUUUAAUUGCUGCUGUUGUCUUGUUGCUACUCACUCUUGCACAAACCUGCUACACUAUAUAUGCUUAUUACAGACCACCUAAGUAACUCGUGAGUGCCCCUGCAAGAUCUUUCAUUUCCUAGCUAGUUCCUACUAAUUACACCCAUGCACCUUAUAGCAUUGAUCAUUUUUCAGUCUAAGAUAUUGAUGUGUGUUUGCACUAGCUUCAAGAAAGAAAGAAAAAAACUAGAAAACAGCUUGGAAGCAUGAAGCCUCAUUAUUUAAUUUGUUUUGGCUCAGAAGAUGCUGGCUUGUGCCUACUACUGUAAUAAAGUUCUUUUAACAAGUGUUCUUUUCUCAUAUUAAAAAUAGAUUUGAUUGUAAAGGAAAAAUAUAGCAUGGCAAUCCUCUUAUACCAUAGUUGGGCCAAACAAAUGAGAUAAUUUACACUACGAGGAUUAUCCACAUUACUGAAAUUUCAAAACAUAUACCUUUCUUCUACCAAGAAAGUAGAUAGUUGAAUUAAGAAAACCCAAUGAGACAUGUAAGAUUAGCACUGUUUCACUUUCAGCUAUCAAAAUCUGUUUUAUAUUCUUUCUACACAUUUUGGCUCUGAUUUGAAUGUUUUAUAAUUAACGAAGUCUUCAUGGAUAUAUCUAGAUCUCUGAAGAUUGUUUGCAGUAGAAUUCGUUUGCAAGUAUUUGAUAUAAAAGAAGGCUUUGAGUAAUUCCCCUGUGAACGUGCUAAGGUAAGAAAUGAUUCAAGCACAAAGAAGCAUGUUGAGUGUGGUCAUUCAAAUUCCUUUUGUUUUGUCAUUGUAACAAACUCACGCGUUUAUUUGAAAAUUUCUAGAUGCUUCUGUUCAAGCACAAAGAAGCUUUUUAAUGAUUAGUGUUUACUCUUUGUCAAUUUUUAACUCUGUAUAAAUUGAUGUUGUUCGUUUAAUUUCUUCCCUACAUUUCCUUUUUGUUGUUAGCUACAUGUAACUUUGUAUGAUUUAUAUUUACACCUGGUUUUUUAAUGGUAACUGGUAAGAAGGAUUACAAUGAUGAUGAAUAUUAUCAAGUGAGGUCAAUCAUUCAUUUGAUUAUUUGAAUGUAAAACUUUUAAUAGACCGAGAACUUUAGAUGAUAAAAAAGUUUGGUUUAAUUGCUUCAACAAGUUUUCUUUUCACAUAUUCAAAAUAAAUUUGACUGGAAAGGGAAAAUAUAGAAUGACAAUCCUCUUAUACCAUCGUUGGGCCAAGACAAUUUAAACUAUGAGAGACCAUUCACAUUGGACAUCGGGAAUCAUCCACAUUGUGCUUUUAAAGAACAAAACACAAGGCAUUUGGACAUUACAUCUUUCACCCAAAGCCAAGUUUUGGAUGAAAGAUGUGAUGUAUGUUCAACUCACUAGUAAUUUGCUCUUUAACCAGGGCCGGUCCCGACAUUUUGGAGGCCCUGGGCCGUUUCAGAGUUAAUUGAUUCUCCAAUUAAUAUCCACUUAUCUAGUGAAUUAGGUAGAAGAACCCAAGGAAAUCUUCCACCUUCCACAUUCCAAUGUUAAUUAAGCUCUUAAAUACAAAAGUACAGAACUGGUCUUAAAUGCAACUACUAAAUUUUUUUUUUUGGGGAAAGUUUAAUGAGAUUUUUUUUUGGCCCCUUCUUUUUAGAGGUCCUGGGCUGUGGGUCUGCCUGCACAGGCCCAGGGCCGGCCUGUCUUUAACCCAAUGUGGAUGAUCCCCAUAAUUUUAAUAGUUUCCUUUGUUUGGCCCAAUAAUCAUAACAUUGUUGAUUACAAUAAUGCCUCAUUAAACAACAAUAUGAAAAGCUGGAGAAAACUCAUGUUUCUCAUAACCUAAUGUUAUGAUCGACCCAACUUUAGAGUGAUCGGAUAAUGGCUCAUAAGUUAGAAAGAGUCUUGAAGUGAAGGAUACUUGAUUAAGAUGGUGAUCAUACAAGAUAAAAAAAAAACAUAAGGAUGAUACACAUUCAUGAGCGUGAUUACUAUGGAUACCAUAAGAGAUGCAUCGAUCAUUGUUGUAUUCUAGGGUUGGGUUAGACAAUACUGACUUAGUUUGGUUUCCUAUGUUCAUUGUGAAAUUUCACAACUAAUUUCAACAACGUUUUCCCACAAAAAAUCAUUUUUCUCAUAAAUAUAUAUAUAUAUAUAUNNNNNNNNNNNNNNNNNNNNNNNNNNNNNNNNNNNNNNNNNNNNNNNNNNNNNNNNNNNNNNNNNNNNNNNNNNNNNNNNNNNNNNNNNNNNNNNNNNNNNNNNNNNNNNNNNNNNNNNNNNNNNNNNNNNNNNNNNNNNNNNNNNNNNNNNNNNNNNNNNNNNNNNNNNNNNNNNNNNNNNNNNNAUAUGUAUCCUGACAAUCUGAAACAAUAUAUUGCUUUGAAGUCAUUUAAAUGAAUAAUUAAGACACGACCAAAGCAUGAAGUCACGACUAACAAAUUUUGAUUUCUUUCACGUUUUCCCCUCUAUUGUGCAUGUCCCUGUCCCCCACCUUACAUCCUUCUUGCAACUAACAAUUUAGUCUGUUUAUUAACAUAAAAACGAAUAGGACCAGGACCAGGAGGUAAACCCCACAAGACACAAUAAUUUUAAACAUGUGCAAUCUGCAGAAUUAUUAAAUUUCACAUGUUCAAGCCCCUUUUAUCCACCCUCUGAAUCUAAUCUAUAUUUGAAGUCUCUUUUCCAAGAUAAUUAAUCAUUCUACAGAUUAGCUGGAAUAAGAAUAAGUUUUACAUAAUAAUAGCACGCUUAAAAGUUGAAAGUUAUCGCGAACCUGCUGCAAUUUGGUUCAAAGGGGUCCCAUAUGAGCUGUUUAAUUUGUUCAAGUCAUAUCCUUCUAGGAAAUAGGUAGGUCCUUUGAUUCCAUAAUCACAAACUACUCAAUUUAUUUGUUUAUGAUUUAACAGCACCCUUCAAAGUUCAAACCAUUGACAAGAAACACAAACAGAAUAGCAGUCUCCAGAAAAGAAGAACAAAAUGGUAGCGGUAUUCAACAAAGAACUCUUGAGUUGGUACCUUAUCACCCUCAAACUCAGACAAACCUUAGAAUCCGGGCGUCCACCAUCUCCUAAUUCAGAAAACCGGUCAAUCGAGUUUCCUCCUCAGCAGCAGCAAAAGCUUCAGCAGGAACCUUCAGAAUCAUUGCAUGUCAUCGUCAAUGAAAAUGGUGAACAUCUGCAAGAGGAAGAAGCUAGCUCCCCAGUAUCUGAUUGGGUGAUCUCCAUCAAGGAAAAACUAGACCAGGCAUGUCAAGAUGAUGUAGCAAGUUCAUGGGCCAAGCUAUCAAUCUACAAAAUCCCCCACUACCUUAGAGAUAGUACUGGCGAUGACAAAGCAUAUGCACCUCAGAUUGUGUCAUUAGGUCCUUACCACCAUGGCAAAAAGCGCCUUCGCCAAAUGGAACGCCAUAAAUGGCGCUCCCUUGACCAUGUCCUCAAGCGAACCAAACACGACAUUAGGCUCUACCUCAACUCCAUGAAAGAGAUAGAAGAAAGAGCUCGCUCCUUCUAUGAGGGACCAAUCAGUUUAAGCAGCAAUGAGUUUGUGGAAAUGUUGGUCCUUGAUGGUUGUUUUGUGCUGGAGCUAUUCAGAGGAGCUACAGAGGGGUUCAAGGAACUCGGGUAUUCAAGGAACGAUCCUAUUUUUGCAAUGCGUGGAUCAAUGCACUCCAUUCAUAGAGACAUGAUCAUGCUAGAAAACCAGCUUCCACUUUUCGUACUAGAUCGGCUUUUGGGACUUCAACUUGGUAACCCAGACCUAAAAGGACUUGUUGCAGGUCUAGCUCUCAGGUUCUUCGACCCCUUAAUGCCAACAGAUGAGCCAUUAACAAAGAGUGAUAUAAACAAAUUGGAAUCAUCAUUUAAAAGCAGUGAUACCUUUGAUCCUUUAUCUGAUUUAGGCGGUCUUCAUUGCUUGGAUGUGUUCAGGAGAAGUCUACUGCGCACAGGACCUCAAUCAACACCAAGAAUAUGGAUCAAACGCUGGUCGAAUAACCAUAGAGUUGCAGACAAACGGC
Molecule: long non-coding RNA, 103214 nt
Filed under: Lotus japonicus
Lineage: Eukaryota; Viridiplantae; Streptophyta; Magnoliopsida; Fabales; Fabaceae
Description: long non-coding RNA (LJAP_LNC001434)
Source: RNAcentral